Molecule: long non-coding RNA, 136336 nt
Filed under: Pelobates cultripes (western spadefoot toad)
Lineage: Eukaryota; Metazoa; Chordata; Amphibia; Anura; Pelobatidae
Source: RNAcentral
AGUGUGGCUGGCUGAGCAUUCUGUGGAGUGUAGUCCGUCACAGCUUGCCCGCAGUGGUGUAAGCUGUGCGAGCUAAACACCGAGCCCGCAGCAGGUUAGGCUUUGUUACGCUGUCAGUGAACAAUAAAGUUUUGCUUGUUGUCCCGGCAUCUCCUUGGUGACGGGAAGAUGGCGGCGCACACGCUGGGAGCUCGGCCUCGGACCGGCGAUGUGCUGCAAGGACCCGGGGAAGCUCCGGACUUCCACUCGCUGCUCCUAUCUCGGCCCGUGCUGGAGGGACUGGAGGCCGCGGGGUUCAGCAGGCCGUCCCCGAUCCAGAGCAAGGCCAUACCGCUAGGGAGGUGCGGCCUAGGUGAGUGCGGGCAACACACCGGAGUACGGGGGAAAGAGAGAGACUGUCAUACCGGGGGAAAGAGAGAGACUGUCAUACCGGGGGAAAGAGAGAGACUGUCACACCGGGGGAGAGAGAGAGACUGUCAUACCGGGGGAGGGAGAGAGACUGUCAUACCGGGGGAGGGNNNNNNNNNNNNNNNNNNNNNNNNNNNNNNNNNNNNNNNNNNNNNNNNNNNNNNNNNNNNNNNNNNNNNNNNNNNNNNNNNNNNNNNNNNNNNNNNNNNNUCACAGUGAGAAGCACGCAAGCGCCUCUAGUGGCUGUCAAUGAGACAGCCACUAGAGGAUUAGGGGGAAGGCUUAACCCAUGCAUAAACAUAGCAGUUUCUCUGAAACUGCUAUGUUUAGAAAAAAAUGGGUUAAACCUAGCUGGACCUGGCACCCAAACCACUUCAUUAAGCUGAAGUGGUCUGGGUGCCUAGAGUGGUCCUUUAAGGACACAUGACAUGUGUGACAUGUCAUGAUUCCCUUUUAUUCCAGAAGUUUGGUCCUUAAGGGGUUAGUCAGUAAAUGGGAAUUAUUGCAAUUUAAAAUUCAAAGGGAAAAAUCAGGCAAACUAAGCUGAUUUGGAGAAAUUUUCCAACUCUGCUAUAGUAACAUCUUGAUAAACUUUAGUCUACAUUUUGCCAUUUGGAUUUUAAUUCGCUACAAUUGAGAAUUUUAGUGGGUAGCCUCGAAAGUGUUAAUAUGCCUGUUGAUGAGCCAGGCUGUUGCUCUAGGCUUUCUGUUCAUGUCAAAUAAUUUGUGCAUAAAAGUUUAGAUGUGACAAAGCUUCUAAAAACUAUUUGCAGACACUGCGCAUAUUUAUGCUCAGUGUAUAUGACAGCCAGGCUAAUGUAAUCUCCACCUAUUAAACCGAGCCUCUGUCUGUGCAUCAUGCAAAUGGCUUCACACGGACUCUGAUACUGUGCUGUCACUUUUCAUCUGCAGCUCAUCAGGCCAAGAAGCCGAGAGACGAAAGCAAGCGAUUCUACGACAGGUAAAAAUCAUUCAGCUCCUGCUGCAUCUCACGAACAACAAAUCGAAAUAAGCAACCUCUGCUCAACAUUUAACUUAAUAUUUAACACUAGAAUAUUUAUUUGAUAUUCUUUCAUCUUUAUUUGCUGACCUGUGGCCAUGCCAGCUGGGCAGACGUUGGAAAGGAGACACUAUCAAUUUUUAUUUUUGUAUUUUUUUUGUUUUUAAUAGAACAAUAAAGGAAGCAUUAGGAAAGAAAGCACUUAUCCAAAAAGUGUCUGAUGACUGUGGAAAACAUUCUAGAAAUCACAACACAGUGAAUGCAUUCAAGAAUGUCAGUGUUACCAACCUCUCUUGAAAAGCUGCACAGAUAUUUAAAAUUAAAAGAGGGAAGGGAAUUAUAGAUAUUUGUUAGGGGAACUUUGGUGACCCAUCUAUUAAUUUUAGGCCUUCCAACCAGGGAUGUAUUUAGCCCAAGGCAAACUAGACAUUUGCCUUGGGUGGCACUAUUUAGGGGGCUGCAUUUUUGUUUGCCCACCGAGGCGUCUCCUGUGAUUCCCCUGUCAUGGGGGAGAGCCAAGAGCUGACCUGUUGGCCAGCUAAUAGAGACCUCCACCCCCUCCCUCCCUCUGGGGGCGGCUGGCUGGCUUACCAUCCAAGGCGGUGGCGUGGGAGCUGUGAGCUCUCUGCUCUGCUCCCUCACGCGCCACUUACUGAUGAAGUGGAAGCCGGAAUAUGAUGUCAUUCCGGCUCCCGCAUUAGUAGACAGCCCACGCGGCGUGAGGGAGCAGAGAUAUCACAGCUCCGUCACAGUCUCAGUUGGUAAACCAGCCAGCCUCACAGCAACCCCACUGGACCCCAGGGACAGAUCCAUGCCAGCUCUCCAGGUAAGGAGGCUGGGUGGAAAAUGUUUAAUUAAAUUAAAAAGUUGUGAGUGUGCGUCUGAGUGUGUGUAUCUGUGUGAGUUUAUGUGUGUGUCUGUGAGUGUGUAUGUAUGUCUGUGAGUAUGUGUGUGUCUGUGAGUGUGUAUGUAUGUGUGUGUCUGUGAGUGUGUGUGUAUGUCUGUGAGUAUGUGUGUAUGUCUGUGAGUAUAUGUGUGUGUAUAUGUGAGUGUAUAUGUGAGUUUGAGUGUAUGUCUGUGAGUGUGUGUUUCUGUGAGUGUGUGUGUAUGUCUGUGAGUGUAUGUGUGUGUCUGGGAGUGUAUAUGUGUGUGUGUCUGUGAGUGUCUGUUAGUGCAUGUGUGUGUCUGUUAAUGCAUGUGUGUGUGUGUGUCAAAUCAGUGAGUCUCUAACUAUGUGACUAUCGGUGUGUCUGACAAUGAGUGUCACUGUGUGUCUGUCAGUGUGCGUGUGUCUGUCAAUGAAUGAGUGUAUGUCAGUGAGUGUGUGUGUGUCAAAUCAGUGAGUCUAUGUUUGUCAUUGAGUGUAUGUAUGUGACUGUAAGUGUGUAUCUGCCAAUGUGUGUCCGUCAAUAAAUGUGUGUCAAAUCAGUGUGUCUGAAUGUCAGUGACGUCUGUGUGUCUGGCAGCACAGCACUUGCGCAUUAUUAGACACACUCACUGUGUGCAACUGGCAUUAGGACAAUGCAGAGAGCUGUAGUAGCGCUCUCUGUAUGGUCUUAUGGGUGGGGGGCUGACUGGAGAGGUUGUCUAUAAGCCUGGCUUCAUUACCCAAGACUGGCAUGCCCCACCAGUGGGUGGGCCCACAUCAUUUCAGACGGGACUGCAAAGUAUGGUCAUCAGCAAUAACGCAAGUUGUGUCACUGGCCAUGCCACCCAUGGACCACCCACCCCAUUCCAGUCUCAUACUUUCCAAUGGAGGGGAAGUAAAAAAUUCAACAUUCUAUUCAGUUACUGGCAAAAGUAGCUGCCGGGAUUCAAACUUACAUCACUGUAUUUUUGUGCUUGUAUGAAAGUAUAAAAUAAAGAUCUAUGGAACCCCCCCUCCCCCCAAGACCCAUAGAAUUUGUAGCACAUGAGCUGUGAGAUUCAUUAGGCAACUAUUGCACAUGACCACAUCAUGUAUCAAGAUGUCUGUUCCCAUCAGCCUUUGUGAGUGAUCCUUUAAAUAGUAAGAUGCAGCUCUGCCUUCUACCACAUUUUGACAAAAAUCUGCUUGAAAAUAAGGCAUAAUAGUCCCUAAGAUUUAUAUGACAUUACAAAACAGUCUUGUUUUCAUAGUGAUUCUAUCAUAAAGUGGCAAUGUAGCUUUUAACACUUAUUGCAAACACAAAUAAACAAAUUAAUAGCUAUUCACCCACACAGAUGUAAAUUACUUUAGCAUGCUGUUUGUCUAUUAUUGUUUAGAAGGUUGUCACUAUUCAAAGGUGAGAGUUUGAUAAGCCAAUGUUAGUCACAAGGUGUUAUUUUUGAGCAGUUCAGACCUAUUCCUUAAACUGUGAAUGAGUGAAAAACUGCACAUUUUAAGCCUAAACAAUCAAGCUGGAAAUUAUUUAAUAAUUCAGAAAUUGUAUAGAAUUGAGGAAAGAAUUGUGCAUUUAAUGCCAAAAUAGCAUACUCAGUAAAAGUAGCAAAUUAUAUUAAUAGCCACCCUGUCAUUUCUUCAUCAAUCCUAUUUUAAUGUAUAACUCCAAAUAGAUUCUUCUAAGUAGGGUUCUAGAAUAUCCUUACUGGGAUCUCUUCUCAACAGUGAUAAACUCAAGAUGGCCUUGUUUCUAUGAAUUUAUUAGGUGGGACUAUUGUAAGAGAAGAGGUUACCAUAGAUAGGAAAAAGUGCCUGAGGAGUAAUGUGGGCAAUUUUCUGUAAUGCCAAAUGUCCAUAUGGCUCUCUUUUUAUGGGGAAAAAAAAUCAAAUCCUUGAACACAGUUUAAGUGGUAUUUUCACAAAUAUAAUGUUCUUUACAAAUACACCCCACAUAGACAUCUCCUUACAGGGCUCAGGGGUGGGGGGGAGGAGGGGAGGCUUUUUUUUUUUUUUUAAAGCUGGUGGAUAUUCUUUACUAAGUAAAAUAUGAUUUAUUCUUUUAAGAAUGUUGUCUUAUCAUUCUUUGUUUAUUCACCAUAAAAAGCUUGUCAUAACAGCCAAUGUAGGCACUGGGCAUUGGGCUUAGUACUAAAGGGAAUAUUAAAAAAUGAUGACUAACCAGAAGAGAUUUUUUUGUGGCAGUGACAUGGUGGCCAAAGACAGGACUACCUACCUGCUUAAAAAGUAAGGCAAAGACUCUUCAAUCAUACCUUGAGAUUCAGGGUAAAAACAAGAGAGGUCUAUGGUAUUCGUCACAGAGAACACUGGCUGCCUAAAGAAAAAAAAGUAAUUCACCCGAAAUGAGUGAAAUAUUGAAGUAGAACUCCAAUGUUAUUGAAUGAAGCGGUAUAAUUUUCAUAGAAUAGCAUGAAAUGCUUUAAAUUAAGUUUCUUAUCUCCACAUUUUCACUAAUUACUAAAUCCAUUCCUACAGCCUGUUACAAUAAGUAUGUUUAACUCAUUCAGGGCCAGAACAAGGCAAAGCAUUUGGCAGCGAUGACAGUGCUGAUGUCAUUGGUCCUAACGGGGUUAAUUUGAUCAGGAUUCUGAAACUUGAUAAUAGUAGUUUUUUGCCAUCUUCCUAUUGCACGACCAUAAAUAAUAUGUUGGAGCUUAAAAAACAAACAAAUAAUCAAAUGUAACAUAAUAUGGAUUAAUUGUGUCUCACUUUCUGUCUAAAGCCGGGGUGGCCGAAAAGUAGAUCCCAAACUGUUGUUGAACUACAGCACCCAUGAUGCAUUGCCUUAAAAGAACACUAUAUGCACCAUAACUGGUCAUAGUAUCUGGAGUUCCCAGGCAUUGUCCAUCCAUUCAUUGUAAAACUGAUUUUAAAGUUUUAAUGAUAAACAGGAAUCCCCAGCAGCCUGUCCAUAGAGUGUCAGCUGAUCACAUUCAGCCUAUCACAGUGCCAUUGCAGAUAUUAAUUGGUAUGGCUACAAGGAGCCAAACCUUCAGUGGGGACAGGCUAUCUUUGGAAGCCAAUGAUUCUUACUAAUAAAAUGCUCUAAAAUGGUUUAACACUGAAUGGAGAGACAGUGCCAGUUGACUUGAGGCACUAUAACCAAGUCAAUGAGUUAAAAUAGUUAUAGAGCCUACAGUGUCCCUUUAACCCAUUAAGGACACAUGACAUGUCUGACAUGUCAUGAUUCCCUGUUAUUCCAGAAGUUUGGUGCUUAAGGGGUUAAGGCUAGUUUUGCAACAGCUGGGGUUAUACCUUUUAGCUGCCUCCGAUCUAUAUUAUGCUAAAAAAAAUAGUGUUCAUACAAAUACCCAAAUACCUGUAUUAUGUGUUACUGUGUGCUUUCCUGCUAGUAGAACUGCAGUGUUAAUGAACAAGGCUGAUUUCCAUAGCGUAGCUCCCAGUGCUAGAUAAUAAUUCAGAACAGAUUUAGAUUUCAAAGACACCAACUUAAAUAUCCCAGAGUGACAGUAACUUCAAUAUGCUUUAGGACUGGCUAAAAUUAGUAAGGUCACUGCCGCAAAAAGUGGGUGAAUACCGGUGUGGGUUCUAUGUAAAGCUUGCAUGCUUUCAUUUCUUAGUGCCCCAGGAACUAAAAAUUAUACUCCAGGGUCUCUAAUGCCAGCAGAACUCCCUGUGCAGUAGUCCAUAAACUCUCAAUUCUUUUGCAUUCCUCCCUGUGCUUUGCAUCGAAUAUAUAUUUUAUCUGCUCUCCAGGGGAGCAGAGCCGACUGACCUAAUUUAUUGCUUUAUACAAGACUUCUUUUCAUUUGCAACUCAGGGUUGGUUUGAUCAGAGAGAGGGAAUGACUAAGAGACCAUCUGCACGUGAUGCCCCAGGGCGAGGAAUUUGGUAAAAAGGAAGAUCAACGAUGGCAGGAAAGUCCGGAGAUAACAAUUUUCUCAGCUCUAAUCCCCUAUACACACCCUUUUCCUCCGAAAAAAAAGCAAAAUAGUGAGGUUUUUAUGUUUUCCUGCAAACUGAGGGACAUGGGAUAGUUACGAACUUGCUGUAAUAGGGAACAAAAGUUUAAAAGGACAGUACAUUUCAAAAAAGAAGAAAAGAGGAUUGCACUCAAUCAUAAAAAUCAUAGGGAUUUUUCUUGAGAUUUUUUUCUUUUAGAAUUGUCCAGUGAGUGCCUGAGAUGUUUUCUUUUAUAAAAGGACAGCAAAGACUGUGUUUACUUCCUAGAAGCUUUUAUGCAAGUCCCAAGCUGCUGAUCUUUGAGGCUGUCAGGGUUCCAAAUGGUGGAAUCUGUUUUCUUGCCUGCAGUGUGUACCAUAUUGCCUUUAAUUAAAUGGAGCCUUAAUGGGAGCCUUAAUGGACCUUUGUCUGAAAGGUUAUUCACUAAAGUGAGAAUUUCAGUAAAUUUAAAGUAAAUUUCAAAUUUGAGGUCAAAUUAGCCAAACUGAAAAAAUUGCUAACUCAGCUACGCUUCCAGUACACCUGCUUUGACCUUAAAUUUUAAAUUCAUUUUGAAUUUAAAGUCUGUUGUUUGUAAAGAAGUUGCCUAUAUCAUAAGUACACGGUUUGUGGUGGUUAUAUGGCUAGAUACAACACUACUGCUAACUAUAUACAAAUAUAGGAUAUCUACAAAAUAAGUGAAAAUGUGUGAUAAUGUAAUUGUACUUAUAUUAAGUGAAAGUUCAAGAUCCAACUCACAAAAGUGCAGAGGUAUACGAGCACAUCAAACAAUAGUGUCCUCUCUUCAAUGGGAUCCUCCAGGUAAUCAGGAGUAUAUGUGAAAAUAAAUAAUAAAAACCAUGGUGGGGUACUGUGUAAAUGAAAAUCACUGCUUUAUUGUAUUGCACUUACAAGAAGUAAAAAGUUGUAGAAUCCCAUCAAUAAAAAGAGUCAGUGUCUGGAUACCAAGAAAGCCUUAACCUCCCCUGGAUUGAUGUGAUAGGAUGCACAGGUCUUAAAAAAAAACAAAUAAAUAAAUAAUACAGCCCUACGCGUUUCGUCUUUCUCAGGGGAACACAUACACUGCAUGAUAUAAAGCAUUGGAACACUACUUCUAACUACUAACAAUGCUGUUAAUGUAAUAAUAACAAUUUGUUGUUAUUAUUACAUUACCAUACUUUGUAAGGUUUUACUGUCUUUUGCAAGGAUCUCUGAAAACAAUUUUCUCUAUAUAUUGUGCUAGCCAGUGAUAUACAUUUAUAAAUAUUAUAAAAUACUCUACAUUGCUUUGUUGUCAGUCAGAUCAAAAAGCAUCCUUGUUCACGCAAAAAGUAAUCUCGAAGGCAACCUGCACAUGAGCUCGUGGGGGAUAUUUUAUGAGAGAGCAUCCACAAAAAAUAGUUUUACAUUUUAAGGGUGACAUCAUUAUGCAUAUAGUUAUAAAGACAGCGAAUGUAAGAUGAUCAUGUCAUCAUUCUACUAAGACCUGCUGACUGUAUCAUACUGAUUGCAGCUCUGAAUUUUGUAAAAGUGCUCUCAUUACUAAAUAUGAUGUGGCCACUUUAAGGGAUAGCCACCCUUUACCUAUACCAAAUUAUCUCUUGUUAUAAAUUGCAGAUUUUCUUUCUUCCCACAUACACUACACUUCGAAACAACUACAGCCCACUAGAGUUAAUAGCAAUUCAAAAACAACUGACUGUAGAAGCAAUAGCAAGCAGCUUAUAAUACUUCUUGUAGGUUAUACUUGGCUUUUGAUCCAUGUGCAGGUCAAUGUGAUAUGUUCUGUUGAAGGGAUGCUCCAUGCUCAAUUUAAAGAAGAACUGUCUCCUCUGGAGAAGUGACAAUUCUUUGUUAUUUCACCAAUGUAAAUGCUAUUUCAGCAUCUAAUGGGAUGAAUAAUGCAGUGGAGGUAAAUAUAAAAGUUAUGUUUACUGCACUUCUGUGUCUUAUGAUGUCUCAUGCUCUCAGAGUUUUUUCCAGCAGUAAAAUACGCAAGCAUGCAUCGUGCAUGCAACACAGAGAGCGUUAACUAAUUUACUUACUUUGCCUGGCCCUGGCCAACAAAGUACGCAAGUAAAAAUAUAAAGGUAAAAUUGUAUUUAAAAAUAAAUAAAUCAUCAGCAGCAGUAGCAGCAGAGACAUUUCCUAUUUAAGGUAUUAAGGAUAUGCGUUAACAGAAUGUGUUGCUAAAUAUCUACAGCUUCUACAUGGGUGAGUAAGUCGUUUUCAUAGGUUUUCUGCCAGUUUUUAUCCUCUUAUUCUUUACAAACUGAAUCCCAUGCAUAUCUUGUAAACCAUUGCCCAGUAGAUGAUUAAGGAUUUGUUGUAGGUUAGUAGUCAUGAAAACUUUUAAGGCAAAUAAACAUAAAAACACAUUGCUGUCCUUGAUAAUUUCUAGAGCAGCCUCAUUCAUUUAUUUCCAUGGAUGAAUAUGCUCACAGCCUUGCCUGCAUGAAGGUGCCACGCAAGUACAAACCCAUAUCCAUAUUCCAUACAAGAACUUGUACAGUCAGGAGAAACAUUGUUUCUCCUCUGAUAUCAAAAUUGAGGAGCCAGGCGUGGUGCUGUUUGCAAACCGUUGCCAUUGUAAUGAAUAGCAUAAAAAGAGAGGGAUAGGUAGUUCAUUACACCAUGAUUUAUCUAAGAAGCACAAGAGCUUUAGUUGUUUGACAUCUUCAUUUAUCUGUGGAGGUUUUUGUUUUUAUCUAUUUUGAGUGUUCAUUUAACCAAUGAUCUGGCCCCAAGCUGUUCUACUAGAAAGAAACCCGGUAUGGUGUCAGGUAAAAUCUCAAAUUCCUGACCAACCUCCUUGACAUACGUGAUGGCCUUUGGAAUAAUCAAUGUUAUUGUUUUAUAUCCUUACAUAUACUCUCUGCAUCAUGUCUUGACUCCACAAACCGCAGAAUACAUUUUUUCACAUUUUUGGGUGCAUUUUACUGAGCAUGCAAUGUGCAGUUAAUCAACACAUGUUUUUUUCCUCACAACAUUUGGUAAAGAAGGUUAUUUUUAAAGUGUGUGAAUGGAACUGCUGAUUACUUAGAAGUAUAUUUAAAGUGUUCAUAUAAUAUAUGCUAAGCUAACCAGAGCAGUAUCCCUCAUGAGUAGAUUCUAAUGAUGAAUAAAAGUGUAAUACUUUAAAUUGCAAAUUUAGCUUUGCACCUGGUUUAUGCUUUCUUUACUUUCCAGCCCCCGUCCAACAUGACUGUGAUGUUUUCAGGAAAAUCUUUAACAUCUAAAGAGUCUCUAAAAAUGCUUACACGUGCAAUGGAAGUGGUGUUGCUUGCAGUUGACUUUGAAGAAUGAAAACUGAUUUUAUAAAUUGGCAAAGGCUGUAGGCCACAGCCUUAUUGAGUAAUUCAUGUACCGACAUUCUUAAAUUAUUUCCAUGCCUUAUAAGAAGCAGGUAGUUCACCAAUUGCGUAACAUAAAGCUCAUGUCUACUAUUUAUUCCACUAAGAAUGGGUAUAGCCAUAGUGAGUGGCUUGUCUUUCUAUUCCUGCAGUAGCAAGGAGCUUUCCGAAGUUGUAACAACAAAUUAGAAAAUGGACAGAAAACCAAACCACAAAUUAACAUAAUGGGAACUAUGAAGGCAUGUUCAGGACUCGUCGUGGACCUAGGUCCUGUUCUGCUGUCUAGAAUUAAAAGUGUAAGCGCUUCCCUUUCCUGUGAACAUACAUUCCCAAUAUGUGAAAAAACUGUUCUUAACACCCUAUCACUAUUAAUUAUGUAUAUUUAACAAACAAUACCAAUAAAGGUUGUCUUUAGUAAAAUACUUGCUGGAAUAGUAAUGCAGUCAUGAACCAUUGGUGUUCCUGAAGGACUGUGCUGGUAGUUUUUAAAGGACCACUAUAGGCACCCAGACCACUUCAGCUUAAUGAAGUGGUCUGGGUACCAGGUCCAGCUAGGUUUAACCCUUUUUUCUAUAAACAUUGCAGUUUCAGAGAAACUGCUAUGUUUAUAUUAGAGUUAAUCCAGCCUCUAGUGGCUGUCUCAUUGACAGCCGCUAGAGUGCUUCCGCGCUUCUCACUGUGAUUUUCACAAUGAGAAGACAACAGCGUCCAUAGGAAAGCAUUGUUAAUGCUUUCCUAUGGACUGGCUGAAUGUGUGCGCAGCUCCUGCCGUGCAUGUGCAUUCACCUGAAGAGGAGGAGAGGAGGAGGAGAGGAGGAGGAGAGCUCCCCGCCCGGCGCUGGAGAAAGAGGUAAGUUUAACCCCUUCCUCCCCCCCUCAGCCUGGCGGGAGUGGGACCCUGAGGGUGGGGGCCCUUUAAUAUCACAACCAUUAUGAAUGUUUGACCACUGUUUAGAUGAAAAGUUACGUAGAACAUUAAAAUCCAGAUGUAUUUUUGGUUAAUAUCUAGUUCCCAUCAGCUACGUAAAUAAUUUUUUAUGUGCUGGCAAAGAUAGGUUUAAUUAAAUAUGGUUACCAAAUGGUAAUAGUUACCAAAUACAGCCAUAUUACACUUUUGUUUCACCCAAAGGUGGACCUCAGCUAACAAGUCAAAUCAUUCUAAAACAGUUUAACUAUUUACAAUGUGGGGGCACCUUUGUGCUCCUGGCACACUUUAGUAGAUAUGGUGAUUGGAGUGUUCUUUUAAUAUGUCAUUACCUAUUUAAAUAUACAUACCUUUAUUGGAUCAAUUUAUAUACAUACAUUCAGUAUAUGCAGCUAUAUACUUGCAUGCCCUGCUCUGCUGUUUUCUUGUUUUUUGUUUUUUUCUUGUUUUUUUUCUCCUUUUAACCCCUUAAGGACACAGCUUCAGAAGCUGGACAUACCCUUAAGGACACAAACAAUUUUUGCAUUUAUUGCUGUUUGUGUUCAAAUACAAAUUGCAUCUCUCUCAUUUAUUGUACCAACACAUAUUAUAUACCGUUUUUUAGACAACAAAAAGGGCUUUAAUUUGAUGUGACAUAUACAUAUUCUCAUUUAUUACCAAUAAAAUGCAAAAUAAUGUGGAAAAAAACUAAAAAAAAAUGCUUUUCCCCUCAAGUUUUGCCAAUAAUAAUGUGUGCAUAAUAUGUCCAGCUUAGGAAAAGUAAUUCAAAAUCAAUUCAUUUAUGUGUCUUGAUUUACAAAGUGCAUAAUAUGUGUAGGAUUUCAGUUUAUUUUGAAAGUUACAGGUCACAAACUACAAGGUCUAAGAUAAGAUUUCAAUGUGAAACAAUUUUAGAAUUUGGUAUGUUUGUCUUGGAAGUUUAAUACCCAUUACAGGAAACAAAAUUGCCACACAAAAGUAUAUAUUUAUAUAAAGUAGACAUCACAGGCUAUUUACCUAAGUUUAGUUUGACACUUUUUGCGUAGCCAUUUCACCGCCAAUCUCUGCUAAAUAUUGGAGUAAAAUUUAAUUUUUUCUCUAUUUUGGCAUAUACACAUAUUACAAGGUUUUUGUAAUGUGUGUUUCGUAAACCUAGUGUGUGCUAUCCCUGUACAGAACCCCAUAUUGUGUUCAGCUGUAUCUGCUGAGUAAAACUAUACCCCCAUUGUAUACCUUUGCCCCUGUUCUGUGAAGCUACAAUGCCAUAUAGGAGACCAUGCUAUUUCAGUUUCUAUAGUUGGAAUUUUCAUAGAUGGCCAUAUGUCUGAUUUUGUGGCAUUAUAGCCAUUUGACUGUUCAAAUAACCCCACAGAGGCCUUCCAUUUGAGAAAGCAGACACUGCAGGGUAUGUUAUUAGGCAUUUAUUAUACCUUAACUUGCCACCAUUUUUUUCACCAAUUUAUUUCAAAUUUUGUGGUGAGAAUUUUUUAAAAAAUUAUUUUUACAUACAUGUUGUAUUUUCGCUGGGUAUUUCUUACAUUUGAUAAGUGCCACUGUCAUAAAUUCCCCCUAAGUAUGCUCAGUUACCUCUUCUGAGUAAAACAAUAAGCCCAAUGUAUGACCUAGACACUAUUUUGUGAAGUUACAGUGCUGUGAAAGAGACGUGACAAGUUCAGGUUUUUAAGUGUGAAUUUACAUGGAGAGUUUUAAUGGGUCCGUAUUCUAUUUUUAAAUAUGUUAGCAGGCUGCUUUUUCCAACUAGCCCAAAAAGGCAUACUAUUUCUUAAAGAAGACGCCUGAGUGUAUUUCAAAAGGCAAAUUUUGAACCUUAGCGUGGGAUAAUUUUUCCGUUAGCUUGUAUGAAAUGUAGUGGUAAUAAGCAUUUUUUUCUGCCUUUUUGACACACAGUGAGUUUUGUACUGUAUAUUUUGCAAACCUUAUGUGUGCUAUGGCUUUAUAAUACUUUAUAUGUUGCUCAGCUAUGUUGUCUGAGUACAGCAAUACCCCCGUAUGUACCUUUUCCAGGUAUAUGUGGAAGUUGAAGGGGCACAUUUCAGACACAGCCAUUGCAGGUUUUUUUGAACUUUGAAUUUUUACGCUGUGUUGUUACCCCACUUUAGAGUUUUUUAGCAGGCUAUAUAUUCCAACUAUCCCAUAAAAGCAUACCAUUUCUUAAAAAAGACACCCUAGGGUAUUUCAAAAGAUGUAUUUUGAACCGUAGCGUGAAAUAAUUUUUCCACUUGCUUGUACCAAGUGUAGUGGUAAUAAGCAUUUUGUUCUGCUUUUUUGACACACACAGUGAGUUUGUAUUGUGUAUUUUUCAAACAUUAUGUGUGCUACGGCUAUAUAAUAUGUCCCAUCUUGCUCAGCUAUGUCGUCUGAGCCCAUCAAUACCCCCAUAUGUACCUUUGCCAGGUAUAUGCGGACAUUGAAGGGGCACAUUUGAGACACAGCCAUUUAAGUUUUUUCUAACUUUACAUUUUUACACUGUGUCCAUACCCCACUUCUGAGUUUUUUUUGUAGGUUAAUUAUUCCAGCUACCCCAUAAAGGCAUACCAUUUCUUAAAGAAGACACCCUAGGGUAUUUCAAAAGACGUGUUUUGAACCUUAGCGUGAAAUAAUUUUUCCACUAGCUUAUACCAAGUGUAGUGGUAAUAAGCAUUUUUUAUGCCUUUUUGACAUACUCAAUGAGUUUGUAAUAUAUAUUUUGCAAACCUUAUAAGUGCUACAGCAGUAUAAUACUUCAUAUGUUGCUCCGCUAUGUCAUCUGAGUACAACAAUACCCCCGUUUGUACCUUUACCAGGUAUAUGACAACGUUGAAGGGGCACAUUUGAGACACAGACAUUUAAGUUAGAAUUUUUACGCUGGGUCCAUGCCCCACUUUGGAAUUUUUUUAAUAGGUUGUGUUUUUCAAUUACUUCAAAAAGGCAUACCAUUUUCUAAAGAAGACACCCCAGGGUGUUUCAAAAGGCAUAUUUGAAACCUUAGCGUGGUAUCAUUUUUUCACUAGCCUGUACAUAGUGUAGAGGUGAUAUGCAUUUCCCCCCUUUUUUAAAAUUUUUUUAAAACUUUUUAAAAGUUUUAUUUAGCUUUUAACAACUUAUUUUACUAUUUUAAAACUUUGUUUAAACUUUUCAAAAGUUUUUUUCACUUUUAAUUGUUUUUUUUUAACCCACUAACUUCUAUCCACCCUAGCUAAAUAAAUAAAUAUUUUAAAAUAUUUAAAUUAAUUAAUUAAAUACAUUUAACAUUUUGAGGAUUAAAAAAAAAUAAAAGUUAACCCUCGGGGGUUAAAAGAAAAAAAUCAGAUCACGGUGAAAUACUGUGAUCUGUAUUUUGAUCACUGCAGGCAGUGAUCAAAGGGCAGGCAAGGGGUUACAUUUUAUUUGAAAGAGGUGAGGGGGGGGGGAUUUUAUUGCUAACACUUUUUUUUUUUUUUAUACAGGGAGAGACAGAUCAGCACCAAUCUGUCUCUCUGCAGUUCACAGCUCACACAGAGCUGCAGGGAAACAGAUCAGGUUUCACUGCAGCUGAUCGCUCUGACUCCUGGUCAGGGCGAUCACAUGGGCUGAGUCAGUGAAACUGCCCAUGGUAGUGUGCCUCCGAUAGUGUGGCAAUCGGGGUUAAUUUUAAUUUUGGACGGAAAUUUUCCACCCAAGGUCCUUAAGGGGAGUUCUGCAAUGAUGGAAAAUUUCCGUCCAGCGUCCUUAAGGGGUUAACUAGCUUAUUGUCUAUCCUCUGUUUAUUUACGUUUUCUGGCUAUUCUCAUCCAACCUGCACUUUUCACUUUCAGGCACCUCUUCUUCUCUAACAUCAGUUGUUUUAAGUGUUUCAGUUUGAUCAGUAUUGCUUCAGACCUGAGGAAGAGAGGAAAACUCUCGAAAGCUUGUCUUUGAAAUAUUAUGUUAGUCCAAUAAAAAAGGUAUCAUUGCAUACUGCAAUACUCUGGUAUUUUGGCAUCUUAUAUAUAUUUUUCAACCUGCUUCCAAGAAAAGAAUAACUUUGUGUCAAAACUAUUCUGCAUAAUGGUAAUGCCAACUAUUAAAUAUCUGCUUGAUGGUAUUAUCAUUGUACGUCAAGGAUGUCACAGGAUGUCAUGACCAGAUUUUUUUUGUUUCUUUCCUGUUUUCUCUUGCAGAUAGGUACAAUACAAAUACUACAAACUAAAGACGAAACAAGUUGUGAAAGACUUACUUAAGUCCCUUGCCUGUAUAUCUGGUCCAAACUAAAGGGAGACAUUGGUGAGUUUAUUUUUAAUAAGUUAAUUAUAAAAUGAUUCUACUUUCACAUUAGAGAUACAAUUGCACUCUUCAACUGUUAUGCUAUUAAAGAAGCCUCAAACAUUGUAUUUUAUGACUCUAGAACGUGCCAUACUAUUCAAAUUACAAAAAUAACUGAAGAUGACAUAUCUGUUAUUCCUGUUGUUUAAAACCCUGGUCAUGUAUUAAACAAAAAAUAUUUAAUAACACAUAAAACACACAUAAAAUAAACACAGAUUUUUCAUUGAGCAUAAAAAGAAAACCCAACAGCUUCAUUGAUUAAUAAUUAAUCAAGCAGAGAUGAUUUACCAGAUGCAUGCAAUCAAUAUCCAAAUCGCUGAUUUAACAUGUACGCCGCAUAAUGUUUUGUGUCAGGACUGUUUUGGUUUUUACUGAAAUAAAUACUGCUUUGGAGAGGGAAGAUGUUCAAUUCACGGUACAUACUCUUGCUCUGUUUUAUAACAGCUCUCACUGUUACAGGGAUGAUAGAAGCUAGUUCUAGUCAGCAUAAUUCAAUUUUUUGGAAUUUAUCUUAUAUUAAAGUUUAGGGAUUCAUUAGGGAGAUAUAUGUGUUCUGAUAAUACCAUUCUCAAAGAGUAACAUUAUUAUUAGAAGAUAGAAACAUGCAGAGAUUUCUUUUCCGCUCAUUUUUAAUUGCUGUUAAAAAGCACUAUCAAACAUCUCUGAUGAAGUAUUGUCUGAUAUAAAGCGGUUUAAAAUAUUAUGCAAGUUCAACUGUCCGUGUUUAGUAGUAAGUUUUUGAAAAAAAAGACUAGAACGGUAAAAGAACAUAAAUACAAAAUGGUAGUUGGCAAAUAAACUCUAUUGCUUUCCAGUUACUAGGGACCACGUCUUUUUUAUUGGAAGGGAACAGAGAAAAAAUCUUUCUGCUCUCUUGUGAAAAUUGCUACAGAACCAUCACAUUUUCUGAUAUUCAUACACAGUUGUAGAGUUGCUGAACCCUUUUAGACUCUUGUCUUUCCAUACUCCUUGAGGUUUCUUCACUAAACACCAGAUUGUGGUUGACUCAAAAACAAACUGCAAAAUAACAAAAAAAAAUCCAACCUGUCACUAUUACCGAGUUGGAUUUUUUUUCCAAAACACUUGCUCUAUCCACUUUUUGCCUAAUUUUUCAAUUUGGUUUUCAACUAAUUGUAAUCUGGUCUCAAGGUGAACAAACCUCAUAGAGCCACUUGAUGUCAUAUUUAAAUAUACAUUAAUUUGGGGAUAAAGGUCUGAUAGUAUCGCAAUCAGAAGGAACGUUCCAUUGUUUUGUGAUUGCUCUACUGUUAGAACUCUGGCCCACCAUUACCGCUUUUUACAUAUACAGUAUAUAUGUAUUUUCUAUACUUCAUUUAUCAAACAGCCUAGAUAUAUAGUCCUUGCAGUGGGGGCAAACUGACAACUUCCAGAUCAGAUCUAUUAUCCCAGACAUAGAGUAUCUUAAUUCCAAAUUUAUAGGCAGAACUUUAUAAGAUUUUGAGACUAUUUUUCUUUUUAGGAAGGAAAAUAUAAACCAUCAAAAGGAGACUACUUAUGUUUAUCAAAAAAACGUGAAUCAUGUGUGUGCAACUGAAUAUAUAAAACAUACAGGCAUGGUCAACACAUUUAGGUGCCACUCAACUACGCAUUAACAUGGGAAAGAUGAAAAAGAAUGAUAAAUCAACUGAUGUCAAUAACAGAUAUGUAGGUUCUGAUGUUUCGGAAUCAUAAGACAUGUCUGCAAUAAACAUUAUUUACAGUGUGCAGAAUUUCCAUUUGUUUACAGAGACAAGCCAAAUAACAAUUCUAUCAAAAACCCUCAUAGCCAUUCUUGCCAUCAGGGUCUUAUCGGGGGGCGUUGGUAAAAGCUGUUACUGAUGGUGGUGCAGUCCUCCCAACUGUCCUGCUUUUGUUGGGAUCGUCUAUAUUUUAGGGUUCUGUCCCAUCAUACCAAUUUUGCUCCCUGGUGAACAUCAGGGAACUGUCCCCAGGUAGCACUAUGCCAGCGCAUCUAUGACCACGCAGACCAAAGCUCAGCACUGCUCUCUGCAUGACCUGAGUUGUGGACCAGCCAGAGUGUGCUUGCUGCCAGGCUGAAAUGCUCCUUCAGUGGGUGGCCUGCAAUAACCCAGCCCAUCCAGAUUCCAUACCUUCCAAUGUGGUGGUAUAAGGGUUCCUUGGUAUACACUGGCACACAAUUAGGCACACUUAGAACCUAUUAAGUGUCUGUAGAAUGUCAUUGCCUACCUAACAAUUGUUGCUAAAUGUUGCUAAUUGUUUCAAACGGAUCUUCCAGCAGGAUCAUACACUAUGUCUCAACGUGCACACCUUCUAGAACUGGUUCUAAGAACAUGACCUGAUCAGGAUACUCCAAGGACUAGCACAGUCUUCAGAAACCAAUCCGGUAAGGCACAUUUUAGAGUGAGUUUGAAAUUAGCUUGACAUCAUAUUCUGUAGAGAGUAUCCAACGACUUGGAAUACCCUCCAGCUAAAUCUCCCCUUACCAUACCGGCUUAUAAUCAAAUAUCUACUGUAAAAAAAUAACGUGCUUCAGAGUCCAGGUGUGUGAAUUGUAUUAUGGAUGCUGGCAAAACAACACUGUUUGAUGAUCUGACAGUUCCUUUAUACUGCACACUAUAAACAAUUUAAUACAUGAACUUCCAAGACAGGGGCAUCCUUUGAACAGCUUUAUUUUCUUUGAAUUACUUCAAGCCAACUGUGCUGGUCUAUAAAAUACUGCAGGGCCAGUGAUAUGGAUAUGCCAUUUCCUCUGUGGAUCACGCAUCAGCGUGUUCCUAAUUCAAAUUUUUAUUCUCUUUGUAUAAACCUGCUUCUCGAGGCGCAGAAUAUACCUUUUUUCCUUCCAAUUUAAUCAGACCACCUAUUGACAUUUUGUUCUGUGAAGGUUUUCUGUACACAGUUCCCUUGGAUCUGAUUUUUUUAUUUUUAUUUCCUUUAUAUAGUAGCUCAGCUUAAUUCAGUGAAUUAGUACCUUUCAUAUAUUUGUUUGGUGUUUUUCAGAGUACAGCAAUAAUACAAAUAUAAUAUGCCUCCGUCUUAAUAUGAUGAAGAAAACUCAAAGAGAAUAUAUUCUUGCAGCAUUUUGCUAGUGUUUAUGCAUAUUCUCUCCCCUCUAUCUCUGUAUACAUAUAUAUAUAUAUAUAUAUGUAUAUAUAUAUAUAUAUAUAUAUAUAUAUAUAUGUGUAUACACCUGACACACACAUACAAACACACAAAUAUAUAUAUAUGUGUGUGUGUGUGUGUCUGUUUGUGUGUGUGUGAGGUGUAUGCAUGUGUGUGCCAGUGUAUAUAUAAAUGUGUUUUUUGUGCAUAAAAAAAUAAUAAUAACUAAUGUACAGAAAAAAAAGCAUUUUGGUCUAUUCACUAAAUAAGGAGAGUUAAAAAUGUAGACUAGAAAGCACGUUCUGGUGCAUACAUUUAUGCUCAAAAUAAAAAGCAUACAAAUCGAUCUAUGCAUUUAUACUCAAUAACAUUUGGCCCCUGUCCAACCUUUCUAUCAAAUCUAAGUACUGUAUUUAGUAUAGGCAGGGCUUGCAAUUGCACAGGAUACACACGGAGAGUGAUAUCACUGCACUGCUAGUGAUGCUAGCCGAUUGUGAAGUCCACAGAAUUCCUAAAAUGACCAAUACACAGUCAACUCACCUCCAUCCAAUCUGAUCACCCAUGUUUCCUUCAGCAUGGUGUUCAGGGCAGGACUUUGCCCUCCUAUUCAAUCCUAAACCCCACAGAACUGUCACCAGUAUAGUGGAAGAAAGUUGAGAAUUUGAUGUUACAUCAUGCACCUGCCCCUCCACUCACAGCUCUGCCAUAAGUUGAACUAGAUUUAAGCGACUGCACAGGAAGACUAAGCACUGCCCUGAAUACUGACAACACAGCCAAGCUACACUAGUGCGAGCAGGACCACCAUGGGGGCCUGGGUCCCAAUGACCAAGUUGUUAAUGUACUAAAGUUGACUGGUAUGUGGCCCGAAGGCACAGGGACAGUGAGAGGCCCAGCCUCAAUUAUGUAGUAAUUAGCCAGUUGGGGAAAUAAGAAGACCUCCCUAACUGGCUCGGCACCAUUGUAUUUCAUUCAUGAUGCCAACCAGUUGGUUGUGGAACUUUUACAUGAUGGAAUUCUCAGGUUAGCUUUGUUUGGUGAAUAGAGGAAGGGAUAGGAUGUUACAUCCUAUCCCUUGCAGACUACUCUAAACAUGUAUUUCAGCACUCUGAGAGCACUGCAAGUAAACUGGGUGGAAGAGAGACACAAGUGAGGGGAGGCAUCUGUAAUUUAGAAGGGAAACACUUGUAGGAUUGAUGUAGAGACCAAUAAGAAAUGGAGUGAUAGAUGCAAGUUCGUGGCAUAAGAGAGUCAGGGGGUUUGGUAGAGGAAGGGAAACUUUUAGAGAGAGAUAGGAGAGAUUGAUGCAUAUUCAGGAUGGAAGUGGUGAUGAUCACUCAAAGGUUUCUCACAAGGUGUCUGAAGAUCUAAAGCCUACCUCACCCACCUUCGUUCAAACAUGGCUGCUAUAUUAACAUCUGGCAACCUCACGCAAGGUCAACAAACAUAUAAUACCAAAUCAAAUCUCUAGAGACCUGACUCUGUAUGAUAAAAGCUUCUCACUUCUAUCUGCUUAGCAUAGCGAUGGCAAAAUAUCUAUCAUAAAGCUGCCUGGAAUAUUUAGCAUUUAUGUAAUUUUCUCUCUGCACUUUCAAUCUGUACUGCUAGGUAAGCAAGUGGCGAACAUACAGCUGAAUGUAGCUUGGCUUAUGCUUUUAUUUCAUUGGCCUGUGUUUCAUUCUGGUGAUGGUAUAUCCAGAAGGACAUAAACAAAUAAAGUUACAACAUCAUACAAAAUAUGAUGAAGAAAUUAUUUCAAAGGGUUUUCUCUGGAGAAAAAAAGAGAAGCAAAGAGGCCACAGUAGAACAUCUCAGUCGUUUCAGAUAACAUGUAGCAUGUAUGGCAAAAUAAAUAGAUGAGACGAAAUUCGGGUAGUAUUUAUAAAACUCCAAUAAAACUCUCUUAAAGGUUUGUAUUGUCAGGUCGCCAGAUUACUGCUGUCACUUCCCAAGAUUUUGAAAAUAUGUUUACUUGACGCCAUAUAUUUAACAUAUAUGUUUUUGUGAGAUUUGAAAAAUAGCUUUUAUAAAUGGCUCAGCAGCAUGUGAGUUGGACCAGUAAUAUGAGUUUUUACUGUAAUGUGUGACAGUAUCACCCUAUGGUCUCUCUCUUUAUUUAUGUUUUAGGAUUGUAUCCACCUACAUUUGUGGUAACUUUCAAUACCUACUGAGUGCUCUCAAUUUUUUAUUGCUUCAUUUUGCAUUUUAUUUGUGUGUGUAGAGUGAUCCACACAGGUGAUUGCAGCACCAUAUUUUACCCUUUCCAACUAUUAUAUUCGAUUAUGAUAAUGUUUUCUCACAGGGCUAUUCACUAAAGCCUGAAUGGCCCCAUACCGAAUGAGACAAAACCAUGUGGCUGCACAUGGGGCCCGUUUGGAAUGCAAAAUCCAGCCAAAAGUUUAAAUUUGGUCUGGAUUUUAUUCGGAACGAAUAAAGGCAGGCAGAAUAUCUCAAAUCCGGCUCUGGAUUUAAAAACAAAAUCUGAACUACUUAAUCGUUAAACACAAUCAGCCAGUGGGCAAAUAAGGGUUAAUUAUGUUGUCGCUGACCAGCAUUUAUUAGUCAGCCUCUACACUUAAUAGUAAAAAAAAAUAGGAAGAAAUAGCCUGAGAUCAACGAGACUCCCAUAUUACUAUUGGGAGAUGGGGUUGUUGGGGGAGAGAGGGUUAAAACCUCCUAAUGCCCUUACUUACUAUCCAUUCUAUUUCAUUAUAAAGAGAGAAGCUUGUGUCCCCCCGGCCCCCACCAAUGGGAGGAAAUAGAAGGUACUUGUAGAGUUUCAUAAAAAAGAUCAGCUCCCUAUGUUGUCCUUACAUAACCUUGGUAAUCGCUUGGAAUGAAAACUGAUUAACCUCCCGACUGCUUUCAUUCAGACUUCUAAUCUUUCUUCUGUAUAGAAUUCAAAUAUUCUAUUACAUUGUCUUAAGGGAUCCAGAUGCUCAGCAAAUACUCUACUUGGUUUGUAGGUAAUACGUUAUUUAUAAUAAUUAAAGUGUUUUACCAGAAAAAAAAAACCUGAUUUCUACAAUGUAAGAUUACCGAAAUUACAUUUGUUGUACUCAAAUACCCAUACAUUAAUUCCCAAACAAUUCCUGACAUACUACUUUUGUAGAGUAUGGGUGGCACUAUUGGUUGACACCAGUUUAGGAGAUUGAUUGGACACUUAGUGCAAGUGGGGCUGAGCAUCAGACUAGCACUGUGUUUACAAGGGCAUCAGGAUUAGGGAUAAUCUUGCUCAUUCUUGGUCAAGUUGUACCCCUAGUAAUGUGGGGGAGGGUGGUAGUUUUGUGUUGAGUAAAACAGGUUUCUUCUUUUGUCUAUUUUUUUGAGUUAAAGGGUUACUCCAAAUAUCAUAACCACUAAACCUCGCAGUAGUGGUUGUAAUGGAAGACGUAUCCCUAUUCCCUGGCCUGGAUUUGCCCUCUAACCUGGGUCCCUGUUGGCUCCGAAGCUCCAUGUGGCUCUGGUGAAGUGCUGUAAACUUCAACAGAGCUACAAAAAAUGGAAUCUGACACUGUCAUAAUUUAUUGACUGGGAGUAUCAGCUGACCACUAUCAGCUAAAAUCACUAUCAGCCAAUGAAUUGGGCUGGCUGAUGAUGCCUCAUGAUGCUGCCAGAGGUGGAGUUACACCUACAGCAGCCAAGGAGUUAUUCACUGUCUGAGUUUCACAGCAAAAUACUGCACAUACAGACUUCAGGCACCAUGACUACUUUAAAUCACAGAAAUGGUCUUGGUGCGUGGAGUAACACUUUAAACACUCACCAGUAACUGAGGGAGGAAGCUGGGGGAACAGAUACUCUCUCCUGGUUAUGGGUGGGUCCGGGUUACUUGCCGUUUCUAUCUGAAUCAACGGUAUCCCCUACUUUUUUAACCUCUUACUUUAUGCACAUGAGUGAAGUAAAAAUAGUGAAUUAAUUUUUGUUCUUCAAAACUGCCAAAGAAUGACUUGAGCAGUAUUUCCACAAUAGUCAGAGAGCUACAUUUUGAUUUCCUAGUUAUAAAUGAGAGUUUAAGCAAAGUGACAAACAGAGCAGGUUUUAUCAUUCAGAUAAUACAUAUCAACAAUAAAUUCAGACUCCACUUUUCUGUUUCAAUACCACUAGGAGGAGACCUUGUGUUUCAGUUCACUAAUCUCCAAAACCCUGAGAUUUUAAAAUAACAGCGUCUUGAGGGAAGCUUUUAUAUUACAGAAGGCAUCACUAACAACGUCUGACAUGCUUUGAAGCAACCCGUCCUAACAAUAAUUAGGUUUCUUGUAGAAUACUUGACCUCUGGCCCCCGUGAGACGCACAAAUAACUGGUGGUCAUAACCUUGAGUUUAUAUAAUGCUAUUAAUAAUCAUAACAACAAUGUGUUUUUUUUCUGGUGCUUAGAAGGAGAAAGAAAAAUAAUGCUAAUUGGGUUUAUUAAAACAUACAAAUCCCUUAUCUGCCAACAGUGCAACUUCUCUUUGGUCAUUCAAGCUUGUGAGUAGAGACCUGAUGAAUGUCCACCCUGUAGCAUUAGUUACAUUGACCACAGAGUGAGGAGCUGCACAUGCUAUAAGACGAGAAGCUGUACAUGCUAUAAGGUGAGAAGUUGUACAUGCUAUAGGGUGAGAAGCUGUAUAAGCUAUAGAAUGAGAAGCUGUACAAGUUAUAGGAUGAGAAGCUGUACAUUUUAUAGGGUGAGAAGCAGUACAUGCUAUAAGGUGAGAAGCUGUACAUGCUAUAGGGUGAGAAGCUGUACAAGCUAUAGGGUGAGAAGCUGUAUAAGCUAUAGAAUGAGAAGCUGUACAAGUUAUAGGAUUAGAAGCUGUACAUGCUAUAGGGUGAGAAGCUGUACAAGCUAUAGGGUGAGAAGCUGUAUAAGCUAUAGAAUAAGAAGCUGUACAUGCUACAGGGUGAGAAGCUGUAUAUGCUAUAAGGUGAGAAGCUGUACACAGGGCCGAUACAAGGAUUUUUCCUGCCCUAGACGAAAAAAAUAUUUGCUGCCCCAUUCGUUCCACCCACUCAUGCAGACUUACAUGACCCAUACACAUACACGCUGACCCAUACAGACACACACACUGACCCACACACAUACACAUACGCCCACACUGACCCCCCUCUACACACAUUGACCCAUACAGGCACACACACUGACCCACACACAUACACAUAUGCCCACACUGACCCCCCUCCACACACACACUAACCCAUGCAGACACACAGAGACCCAUACACACCUAUACAUACAUACACACAUACACAGUCUCAUACACACACACAGUCCCAUACAUACACACACAGACCCAAGCAGACUGACAUACACAUACUGACUGAAACAUACUGAUACGUUCUAUGAAACACACUAUGCAUUCUCUCUUACCUUCAUUGCACUUUGCUCUUCAUUCCUGUCUUUUUUACUGUGCCUGGCGGCCAACACUUUUUCCCAAGCCUCAUUUCCUGUUAAUCUCCCACCCCCUUGUCCCCACGUACAGGAAAAGGGUGGGAGCGAGUGAAUGGCGCGUCCUUGCGCUGCUUGACUGGGAGAGGGAUCCUGACUUAGCAGGCUGUGGUGAAUGCCUGACCUAAGUGCUACUAGGCGCUAGUCUACAAAUAAGUGCACCCUAGCACCCGGUAACUCGGCGGCCCAUUAUAUAUAAUCAAUCCCACUUGAUAGGGGGGUGGCCAGACAAGCAGUAAAGCCACUGCUGGCACCCCCCUAAGUAGGCGUCCUAGGCGCUGUCUACUUGGCCUAUAGGACGUGCCAGCCCUGCUGUACCCUGUACAUGCUAUUAGGGGGGGAAGCUGCACUGACCACUGAGUAACAAGUAGCAAGAAUCUCUGACAACAGAGUGAGAAGCUGCACUAGCUAUAAAGUGAGAAUCUGCACUAACCAUAGGGAGAGAAGCUGCACCGACCACAGAAUAAAAAACACGACUGACCACAUUAUUAUUAAGUCUUCUUGCAUAGCAAGACCACUUAAUGUUAUCUCACAUAUAUAUUAUUCUUAUUAUAGCCAAAUUUACCACCCUAACUCCUCUCACAGUUUUAACACUACAUAGACCGUAAUAUACCGAAAUGUGCGGAUUGUUUCCGAUUGGCAUGCUAUUACUCUGUGGAACGUUUCGACGAAUGGUUCACAGAAUAUCGUCAUUCUUGUAGCGAAAUUGGUCCCAUAGGAAUGAAUGGCAAAAUGUUCAAAACUAGAGUGGGAGCUGGCAAAAGCUGAAAAAUCAGGACAUGAUUUCUAAACUGCCACCACUCCCUCAUUUUCAAGCCCACCUACACAAAUCUUAUAUCAAAAUGUUCAGCUAUCUCUGCUGCCACUAAAAAUCCAUGACUAAGCCAUAGUCCUGAUCGUUUUCACAAUAUGACCAUUUGUUUGCAACUCACGCUGUCCAUUGACAUUCAUUGAAACUCCACUCUAGCCAGCUAAAAUUUGAAGGGCAAUUUCUAAACUGCGACUGUACCUUCAUUUUUAAUAUUUCAGAGACAUACUAUGUAUCAAAAUGUAGGUCUGGGUCUUGUGAUUCUCACAAUAUAAAGCUCUUCGCUGUAGGAUUUAUAGUUUUUAAAAUACGACCAUUUGGAAAUGGCAACCACCAAAAUACUCUGACCUGUACCAGGCUGGAGCAGCAAGUGAUGUCAUAGACAGGGCCUUUUGUACACCUGCUAAUGUUAAAUUUACCACUCUAACUCCUCCCACAGUUUUUACACUACAUAGACAGUAAUAUACCGAAACGUGCGGAUUGUUCCCGACUGGUGUGCUAUUACUUUGUGGAAUAUUUCGCUGAAUGGUUCACGGAAUAUUGUCGUUCUUGUGGCGAAAUUGGUCCCAUAGGAAUGAAUGGCAAAAUGUUCAAAACUAGAGUGGGAGCUGGCAAAAGCUGAAAAAUCAUGACAUGAUUUCUAAACUGCCACCACUCCCUCAUUUUCAAGCCCACCUACACAAAUCUUAUAUCAAAACGUUCAGCUAUCCCUGCUGCCACUAAACAUGUCCACGGCUAAGCCAUAUUACUGAUAGUUUUCACAAUAUGACCAUUUGUUUGCAACUCACACUGUCCAUUGACAUUCAUUGAAACUUCACUCUACAAAGGUCAAAUUUGAAGUGCAAUUUCUAAACUGCGACUGUGCCUUCAUUUUUAAUACUUCAGAGACAUACUAUGAAUCAAAAUGUAGGUCUGGGUCUUGUGAUUCUCACAAUAUAAAGCUCUUCGCUGUAGGAGUUAUAGUUUUUAAAAUACGACCGUUUGAAGAUGGCAACCGCCAAAAUACUCUGACCUGUGUCAAGCUGCAGCAGCAAGUGAUGUCAUAGACAGGGCCUUUUGUACACCUGCUAAUGUUUUUAUAAAUGUAUGGUUUAACCCCUUAAGGACGGAGCCAAAUGUACACAUUGUGAACAAAACAAAAUGUAAACAAAAUCUGGCAUUUGCGCUACAUGUCUGUCCAACCGUAAUACACCUUUCAUAGUAAAUGCACCCACCCUUAUUAUAUAUCAUUUUAUUCAGGGGAAACAGGGCUUUCAUUUAAUAUCAAAUAUUUAGCUAUGAAACAUAAUUUAAUAUGAAAAAAAUGGGAGAAAAUACGUUUUCUUUGGAUUUUUUUAGUUCUACAUUAUAUUUUAACGGUCAGUGUCAUAAUACUGUUUGCUUUUACUGCAAUAAAAUACACAUAUUUAUAUUCAGUAAAGUCUCACGUGUAAGACAGUACCUCCUAUGUACAGGUUUUAUGGCGUUUUGGGAAGUUACAGGGUCAAAUAUAGCACGUUACAUUUGAAAUUGAAAUUCGCCAGAUUGGUUACGUUGCCUUUGAGACUGUAUAGUAGCCGGGAAUGAAAUUUACACCCAUAAUGGCAUACCAUUUGCAAUAGUAGACAACCCAAGGUAUUGCAAAUGGGGUAUGUCCAGUCUUUUUUAGUAGCCAUUUGGUCACAAACACUGGCCAAAGUUAGCGUUAGUAUUUGUUUGUGUGUGAAAAAUGCAAAAAGCGCCAAUUUUGGCCAGUGUUUGUGACUAAGUGGCUACUAAAAAAGACUGGACAUACCCCGUUUGCAAUACCUUGGGUUGUCUACUAUUGCAAAUGGUAUGCCAUCAUAGGGGUAAUUUUCAUUCUUGGGCUACCAUAGGGUCUCAAAGGCAACGUAACCAAUCUGGCGAAUUUUAAUGUGAAAAAAAUGAAACGCAAGCCUUAUAUUUGACGCUGUAACUUUUGAAAACACCAUAAAACCUGUACAUGAGGGGUACUGUUGUACUCGGGAGACUUCACUGAACACAAAUAUUUGUGUUUCAAAACAGUAAAAAGUAUCAUAGCAAUAAUAUUGUCCGUUUAAUGCUGUUUGUGCGUGAAAAAUGCAAAAAACGUCACUUUUACUGGCGAUAUCAUCGUUGUAAUACAUUUUACUGUUUUGAAACACUAAUAUUUGUGUUCAGCGAAGUCUCCCGAGUAGAACAGUACCCCCCAUGUACAGGUUUUAUGGUGUCUCGGAAAGUUAUAGGGUUAAAUAUAGUGCUAGCAAAUUAAAUUCCCUUUACUUUCGGCAUGGGUUGUCAGGCAGGUCCCGCUAAUUGUAAUUAAUUAAGAUACCUAAUUAUGUAAAAAUAUUACAUAAAUAUAUAUGUAGAAUUAAUAUAUGUAUAUAUAUACGUAUGUGUAUAUAUAUGUAUAUAUCUAUAUAAUUUUUUUAAAUAUUUUUAUUUAUAUAUAGGUAUAUAUAUAGUGAUAUAUACGUAUAUAUUUAUGUGUAUAGAUAUAUAUAUUAUUUCGUUCUAUGUGUAUUUUGAUAUAUAUAUAUAUAUAUUAAUUUCACAAUACAGUUAGAACGAAAUACACACAUCUAUAUAUUUUUUAAUUAUUUAUUUUUAAUUAUUUUUUUAAUUUUAUUUUUUAACGUAUUUACAUUUUAUUUUUUUUAUAUUAUAUAUAAAUAUAUAUAUAACAAUAAUUAUAUAUAUAUUUAAUCAGUAUCAGUCUACGUGUAAUUUGAUAUUAAUAUAUAUAUAUAAUUAUAUAUAUAUUAAUAGUAAAAUACACCUAGACGGUGUACAUGUGUGUAUGUAUAUGUGUAUAUAUAUACUUUGAUCAUAUAUAUAUAAUAUAUAUAUAUGAUCUAAGUAUAUAUAAUUUUUUUUUUUUACACCAUUAACUUAUUUUAUUUUUAUUUCCAGCCAGCAGGGGGACCACCUGUAAUUACAGGCAGCCCCCCUGCCGGCAAUACAGAAGCCAGCUAUACCCGGCCAUGUGAUUGUGGGGUCCUCGCUAGGACCCCACUCUCACAUGGCCAGGGGGCUUCCAGGAGGACGGAGGUGCCGCGGGGGGCUCCCUGGGAGUCCCCCCAACCGCGAUCGCCGGCGUGGGACCGCCGGCGACCGGGUAAGUUAACAAAAACCGGAGGGCGUACAAUUACGCCCAGCGGCGUUUAGAGCCGCCUAUUAGAGGGCGUAAUUGUACGUCCUCCGGUUUUAAGGGGUUAAUGUAACUGUGAAGCACUUUGGGCAACAACGUUGGAAUUAAAUGUGCUAUAUAAAUAAAUAACAGUUACUCCGCCCACUCCAGUUGUAGACUACUGGUGGAGGCAAGAACACUUCACACAAUUUCCCCAGAAAUUAUAGCUUUUCUAGUUAUUAUUGGUAUUUAUAUAGCGCCAACUUAUUUGACAGCACAUAGUAAGAAAGUGAAAAAGCUAUUGAAUGAGGUGCACUGACGACGCCCUGAGCACAUAGUGAGAAGCUGCACUAACCAUAGAGUGCAAAGCUGCACUGAGCACAUAUUGAGAAGCAGCACUAGCUAUAGAGUGAGAAGCUGCACUGUCCACCCAGAGCGAAGCUGUACUAACCAUAGAGUGAGAAAUUUUGCUGACUACAUAGUGAGUAGCUGCAUUGAUCACAGAAUGUGAAGCUAUUCUGACCACAAGGAGUGAAGCUAUGCUAACCAUAGAGUGAGGUCAGUCAUGUAAUACCAAGUGGGUAAGGUAUGCCUUUCACCAUUUCAAGGUCCUCAUUAUAUUACUACUGUUAGCUGGGCAAUAGUAAUAUCAAGAGUUCAGGAGAUCAUCAAAACGAUAGCUGUACAAUUGCCGGUUAAUACUUUGAUACUACUAUGCGUAUAACAAAAAUAAUAUAACAAAGAUUGUCAGUCCAUAAAGAAUAUGCUUGCCAUCUAACCCUAUUUUAUCUGAAACAGUAGUUUUAAACUGAUAUUUAAAGUGAUGAUGAGCUAAAACAUUUUGACAUGAUAUUAUUGUUCCCUUCAGCUUUGCAUGGACACACAACUGAUGGACUGCAUCCCAGUCUUAAAUCCUGGACGGUGAGGUUCUCUUUCUCUCUUUAUCUGAUAUUCAAAGAGAAUUAAUCAGUGCUUGAAUGGCUCUUCUCCCUGGCUGAACGACCUUUUGGACAACAAUUGUGUAGGGUUAUGAUGACUAAGGAAGUGCAGAACCACAGAGGAAAGUAGUGAAGACAUUGAGAGAUCGCAGGUGCCUUACUAAAUGGAGAACAAGGACUGGCCUCCUCAUCUUUCUCCUACAUGCUAAGAUAUGUGUGUAGGUCAUGUAAUCCAGAAGGUAGUAGAGAGCCUCUAAAUUGAUCAUCUCAUGGGUUAAAUGUGAUUAAACACCACUUAAAAACACCCAUCUCUACAAAUAUGUUGAAACUGAACAGUUUAGUAAGACUCUUAAUCCUAAAAAAAAAAGCAGAUUUUUAUUUAUUUUUUGUUGAUUGUAUAGAACUGAGUUGACAAAAGCCGAGCUGUUUUCCACCCUCUUCUAUAUUUGCAGCAAAAAAAGAAAAGAGAUAUUUUCUUAUCUACAGAUGGAGAGAGCCUUAUGUGGGUAAAAUCCAAUUUGAGUUUCUUUGCAUUUGAUUCAGGAGCUGUGAAUGUCUGACAGUCCAAUUUUGGGAAUAAUAAGCCAUGAAGAAUAUGAAAGAAGACUGCUUUUAGGAUGUAACCUUUUCACUGUCUAAGGGACUUUCAACAAAAUGUAAUUGUUGUUCCUGUACAAAAGUAACCAUUUUAAAGUAUAGCUUCUUUUCACCAUGGCUUCAGAACCGGGUUUUGUUGGAGCUUGAGUGUAGGUCAAGCAAAAAGGCAUGUUGUCCAUAUACAAUAUUUAAUAAUAUCAAUAAUAGAGCAUGGACACCAUAAAGGUACAGUUCUAUAUUCUCCAUUAAAUAUUGUGUUUUUAUCAUUCAAUAUUGUAUUAAUACAUAUCUGUUUGAUGCUUCAAUACCCACAUUUUGAGCAGACUUAAUUAAUCAUGUCAAAGUUCUCUCUAUACUUAUUUUUGUCAGGUCAGAUUAAUUCCAGCCUGUGGCCAUGUGACACAAGGAGUUAGGCAAAUCCUUUUAAAUCAUGACGUAUAUGGUGAUUUUCACUGGUCAUAAUGGGUUGUUGUUUGUAAAAAGCUGUUGAGAAAGGCACACAUUGACAGAUGUGCAUAAUAUCCUUGCUUGAUAUUUUAGAGCACUGCGUUCAUAUUAUGUCUAGAAUGAGCACGCAUUUAUCCCUUUAGUGACUGAUGACAGGUCCUCACUGUCACAAUAACGUGGGCCUUGCUUAACUCUUGCCACAAAGGAAAUUAAAAUAUAUUAAAAUGAUACACAAUGGAACACAUACUGCAAAUACAUCACCAAGGUAAAUUUACAUCAAAUUUACAUAUUACCACAGCAACACAAUUGUAAAAAACAUUAAGAUAAAAUUAUUGUUUGUAGUCAAUAAUGUUAAUUUUUAAAGAGCAUACUUUUGGUUUGUAUAUUUUUGUCCCGUAGUGCAUCCUGCUAACAUCUAAACAAGGCACACACCCCACCAUCCACCUGAUCUAGAAAAAAACGUGAUUCAUCAGACUUGGCAAACUUCUUCUAUUGCUGCAUAGUCCAGUUCUGAUGCUCAUAUCCCCAUUGAAAGUGCCUUUAGUGGGGAACAGGGGACAUAAUAGGCACUGAAACCUUUCUAUCACAACCAGCAUUGAGUUUUCCAGCAAUUUGAUCUCCAUUAGCUAUUCUGUGUGAUUGGAUCAAAAGGGCUAGCAUUCACUCCCUAUGUGCCUUAAUGAGCCUUGGGUUUACAAGUUGUCCUUCCUUGAAACACUAUUGGUAGGUACUAACCACUGCAUAACAGGAACACCCCACAAGACUAGCCAUCAGUAUUUGGCCCUGUCAAAGUCACUCAGAUAUUUUUCCUGCUUCCAACACAUGAAAUUUAAGAACUGACUGUUCACUUGCUGCCUUAUACACUGCCUGGUCAAAAAAAAAAAAGUCGUCCCCAAUAGAAGGUCACACACCGCCUUUUGUUUUGAUUCCGGCACACAUUCGCUGUGGCAUUGUUUCGAUAAGCUUCUGCAAUGUCACAAGAUUUAUUUCCGUCCAGUGUUGCAUUAAUCUUUCCCCAAGAUCUUGUAUUGAUAAUGGGAGAGUCGGACUACUGUGCAAAGCCUUCUCCAGCACAUCCCAAAGAUUCUCAAUGGGGUUAGGGUCUGGACUCUGUGGUGGCCAAUCCAUAUGUAAAAAUUAUGUCUCAUGCUCCCUGAACCACUCUUUCACAAUUUGAACCCAAUGAAUCCUGGCAUUGUCAUUUUGGAAUACAGGGAGUGCAGAAUUAUUAGGCAAAUGAGUAUUUUGACCACAUCAUCCUCUUUAUGCAUGUUGUCUUACUCCAAGCUGUAUAGGCUCGAAAGCCUACUACCAAUUAAGCAUAUUAGGUGAUGUGCAUCUCUGUAAUGAGAAGGGGUGUGGUCUAAUGACAUCAACACCCUAUAUCAGGUGUGCAUAAUUAUUAGGCAACUUCCUUUCCUUUGGCAAAAUGGGUCAAAAGAAGGACUUGACAGGCUCAGAAAAGUCAAAAAUAGUGAGAUAUCUUGCAGAGGGAUGCAGCACUCUUAAAAUUGCAAAGCUUCUGAAGCGUGAUCAUCGAACAAUCAAGCGUUUCAUUCAAAAUAGUCAACAGGGUCGCAAGAAGCGUGUGGAAAAACCAAGGCGCAAAAUAACUGCCCAUGAACUGAGAAAAGUCAAGCGUGCAGCUGCCACGAUGCCACUUGCCACCAGUUUGGCCAUAUUUCAGAGCUGCAACAUCACUGGAGUGCCCAAAAGCACAAGGUGUGCAAUACUCAGAGACAUGGCCAAGGUAAGAAAGGCUGAAAGACGACCACCACUGAACAAGACACACAAGCUGAAACGUCAAGACUGGGCCAAGAAAUAUCUCAAGACUGAUUUUUCUAAGGUUUUAUGGACUGAUGAAAUGAGAGUGAGUCUUGAUGGGCCAGAUGGAUGGGCCCGUGGCUGGAUUGGUAAAGGGCAGAGAGCUCCAGUCCGACUCAGACGCCAGCAAGGUGGAGGUGGAGUACUGGUUUGGGCUGGUAUCAUCAAAGAUGAGCUUGUGGGGCCUUUUCGGGUUGAGGAUGGAGUCAAGCUCAACUCCCAGUCCUACUGCCAGUUCCUGGAAGACACCUUCUUCAAGCAGUGGUACAGGAAGAAGUCUGCAUCCUUCAAGAAAAACAUGAUUUUCAUGCAGGACAAUGCUCCAUCACACGCGUCCAAGUACUCCACAGCGUGGCUGGCAAGAAAGGGUAUAAAGAAGAAAAUCUAAUGACAUGGCCUCCUUGUUCACCUGAUCUGAACCCCAUUGAGAACCUGUGGUCCAUCAUCAAAUGUGAGAUUUACAAGGAGGGAAAACAGUACACCUCUCUGAACAGUAUCUGGGAGGCUGUGGUUGCUGCUGCACGCAAUGUUGAUGGUGAACAGAUCAAAACACUGACAGAAUCCAUGGAUGGCAGGCUUUUGAGUGUCCUUGCAAAGAAAGGUGGCUAUAUUGGUCACUGAUUUGUUUUGUUUUUGAAUGUCAGAAAUGUAUAUUUGUGAAUGUUGAGAUGUUAUAUUGGUUUCACUGGUAAUAAUAAAUAAUUGAAAUGGGUAUAUAUUUGUUUUUUGUUAAGUUGCCUAAUAAUUAUGCACAGUAAUAGUCACCUGCACACACAGAUAUCCCCCUAACAUAGCUAAAACUAAAAACAAACUAAAAACUACUUCCAAAAAUAUUCAGCUUUGAUAUUAAUGAGUUUUUUGGGUUCAUUGAGAACAUGGUUGUUGUUCAAUAAUAAAAUUAAUCCUCAAAAAUACAACUUGCCUAAUAAUUCUGCACUCCCUGUAUGCCUUUUACAUCAGGGAAGAAAAAAUUGAUUGAUGGAAUAACCUGGCCAUUCAGUAUAUUAGGGUAGUCAGCUGACCUCAUUCUUUGGGCACAUAAUGUUGCUGAACCUAGACCUGACCAACUGCCCCCACAGGCUAGUACAGUAGGCACUAGGCAUGAUGGGUGAAUCGCUUCAUCUGCCUCUCUUCUUACCCUGAUGCGCCCAUCACUGAUGGUUCCCCACUAUCCUUCCAGUUUUUAAUAAUGCAUGGACAGUUCUUAGCCCAAUUUUAGUAGUUUAUGUAAUCUCCUUAGAUGUUUUCUCUGCUUGAUGAAUGCCAAUGAUUUGACCCUUCUCAAACAGACUAACAUCUUUUCCACAACCACGGGAUGUGUCUUUCAACAUGGUUGUUUAAGAAAUGAGAAGCUACUCAUUGCAUCUGUUGGGGUUAAAUAACUUGUUGCUAGCUUAAGAUAAUAGCCCACGCAGUAACUAUCCAAUAGGAAGCUCUUACCUAUUUGGUUAGUUAAAUCCAGGUGGCAACUUUUUUUUGGGCCAGGCAGUGUAUAUCCCAGUCCUUGACAGGUGUCAUUGUAACAAUAUAAUCAAUGUUAUUCACCUCACCUGUCAGUGAUUUUAAUGUUGUGGUUGAUGAAUGUAUACUUAACUUUAACCAUCUUACAACCAUGUAGGUGAUGUGAAACGUUAACCAUAUAAUCAUUACUUUAGAGCAGUGGUAGGCAACCUUUGGCACUCAAGAUGUUGUGGACUACAUUCCCCAUAAUGCUCUUCCACCCAUAAUGCUUGCAAAGCAUCAUGGGAGGUGUAGUCCAAAACAUUCGCAGUGCCGAAGGCUGCCUAUGCCUGCUUUAGAGGUUGUUUUUAAUUUUGCUUGAUGGAGGCCAAUCCUAUACUGUGUGAUUUUUAUGAUACUGCUUCUAGUUUCAGGAUUCAGGGACAGAUUCUUAGGGACUAUAUCCCUCAUUAUUCAGUACCUCAUCCUGCCAAUAUUUUCUACCAUUAUUCCUGCUACGUCUAUGUCUGUCUUUGAUACAAGAUAAUAGUGAAUUCACACUGUGUGUCCUUAUUUGGAUACUUAUUAUUUGUUUUAUGUAGAAACGGUCAGUUUUUAUUUCUCUGCUAGUGCCAUUAGCAUUACUCCAAAACAACAUAUAUUUAUGACAGAAUAGAUUUACAUCUGCAAAGAGAACAUUACCCUGGGCCUAAAUAAUCGGAGGCACCAGAACACUAUAGGGAAAAAAGCGUGAGCAAUGAAAUUAAAUUUAAAAAACAAACACUCAGGAUCUACAAACAUUCCUGAAUCAAAUGAACUUGGUCUAAUAAUACUGAAAAAUAAGGGGUUAUACGAGGAAAAGAUUAAUUAGAUCAUUAAAAAGCUAAGCAUCACUUUAUAUACAGGGCUAAUGAUAAAUCCUUUUCAUCAACAAUUCCCAAGACACAACUGGUAUUGACAUUGUGUAGACAGAGGAACAAGUAAACCAGUGAGACCUCUCCGGACUGUGUCCUACUACCUACCACAACCAGAUGACCUUAAACCAAAGAACAACAUCAACUAAUUAUAAAUAAAGUGUAGUGCUACCCAUAGUGGAAAUAAAUAAAUAAAAGGCAAAUCAUAGCCCAGCAUGCAUUUCAGUGUUAACACACUGUCGUCAUGAAUGAAAAGCCUUCUGAAGAAGCAUAGAAAAAUACCUCCUCAGUAUAUUUAUCCACAUGUUCUGUUUCUUUUGCUGAUGUUUCUGUUUUGGGUUACAACAAUUUUAAGGGAGAUGUUUGACGACCUUGUCUUAUAGUGGUUGCCAACCAGAACCCACGGUUUGGGCUGGCUGACCACCUCCACAAUUCUAUCUAUAUGUUUUGAUAGAUGUACAUCCAUUCAAUUAGAGUUUUAUUGAAUACAUUAGUACCUUUUUAUUAUUUCCUGACUUUAUAAUCACACAAAAUUGAAUAAAGGUUAUGUUUAAUAUUUACUUUUCUAGGCUGCCUUUCCGUUUUCCUUGUGUAUUUCUAUAUGCUGUUGGAUAUCUGAAUAUAGAUGGAUUAUUAAGUAUGUAGUCUAAAAAAUAGCUAAAUUUUCAACUUCCUGUAUUGAUUUUUCAGUCCAUACAAAAGGAAGAAUUUUGACAGACAUUGCUGUGCUUCUUUCAAAGGAAAAUAUGCCUGCUAUUUCAGUGGAAUCUGUCUACUUUUCACUACGGGAGAUCGGUGUUCUGAGUCCAGGCAGUAUUUGUUAAACUUACAUACACUAAAUCCUGUCAUUCACAGUGAUAAGGCAUCUGUGAAUUUUUUGCCAUUACAUUUACAUUCACAAACUAUAUAUUUUUGGAACACACCAGUAGUCCUUGGUACAGAGUUAUUAAUUAGAUAUUUUAAAAGCUUUGAUAUUUGUGCUUUUUGAUGUAAUUUCCAAAUAAAUUACUUACCAGUGUAAAUGAAACUAGGUAGGUAGGUAGGUAGAUAGGUGGAGAGAGAAAGAUUGGGAAUUGUCCUGGCUCUUUUCUGCCUUUGCUGUCCUUAUUCGUCUUUAUACCCAAACACUGCCAUUUUCUUGUUCUUGGUGUACACCACCAGGAUUCUUUUCUCCUCUCCUUCAUUUUAUUCUGCAUACCAAUUGGUGCCACUUAGUGCCAAGGAAGAUACACUAGUUCCCUCUUUGCCUACCUGAAUUCCUGUUUUGGAACAAGUGCUCAUCUCGACAGGGCAAGAAGAAAGUGAGCAAAGAUCUAUAACUCCUCCAGCUCAUGCAUCCUUUGCAUUGAUCAUUAACUGUUCCCAGGUGUUAUGUCAAAACUCAUGGAUUUGAUCUCUCUUCCUUCCUUUGUCAAUUACAAAGGGCUUGGUUUGAUAUUUUUGAUUAAACUUUUCAAAUGAUUUAAUAGUUUGAAAAAUAUUUUCAGAUUUUGAUAUGUUUUGAUAUAUUUUUAUUGUUUGAUAGUUGAAUAUUUUGAAAAAAAUCUCUUUCAAAGCUUAUCCAAAAAUAUUAAAUCAAAGCCUACGUGAGAAACUAUACCAAAUAGUAGGGCACCUGUUAUUACAUCUCAUUGUGCAUAUGUGGAUGUUACAUAGAAACAUAGAAUGUGACGGCAGAUAGGAUCAAUUCGGCCCAUCUAGUCUGCCCAAUUUUCAAAAUACUUCCAUUAGUCCCUGGCCUUAUCUUAUAGUUAGGAUAGCCUUAUGCCUAUCCCACGCAUGCUUAAACUCCUUUACUGUGUUAACCUCUACCACUUCAGCUGGAAGGCUAUUCCAUGCAUCCACUACCCUCUCAGUAAAGUAAUACUUCCUGAUAUUAUUUUUAAACCUUUGUCCCUCUAAUUUAAGACUAUGUCCUCUUGUUGUGGUAGUUUUUCUUCUUUUAAAUAUAGUCUCCUCCUUUACUGUGUUGAUUCCCUUUAUAUAUUUAAAUGUUUCUAUCAUAUCCCCCCUGUCUCGUCUUUCCUCCAAGCUAUACAUGUUAAGAUCCUUUAACCUUUCCUGGUAAGUUUUAUCCCGCAAUCCAUGAACCAGUUUAGUAGCCCUUCUCUGAACCCUCUCUAAGGUAUCAAUAUCCUUCUGAAGAUACGGUCUCCAGUACUGCGUACAAUACUCCAAGUGAGGUCUCACCAGUGUUCUGCACAAUGACAUCAGCACUUCCCUCUUUCUACUGCUAAUACGCUCCCUAUACAACCAUGCAUUUCCUGCUGCUCUGUUACAUUGUCUGCCUACCUUUAAAUGAUCAUCACAAAUAAUUAACCCUAAAUCCCUUUCCUCAGAUGUUGAGGUUAGGACUCUAUCAAAUACUCUGUACUCUGCAUUAUCUUGCACUUAUCCACAUUAAACGCCGGUUGCCACAGCUCUGACCAUUUUUCUAGUUUACUUAAAUCAUUUGGGUCUAAAAUCUUAUCACCAGAAUGAUAGCAAAAAUUAUAUUAAUAAUUUCUUUAUGCAAGCAAGGCUGGCAACUCUCAGGUUUUGAGAGCCAACUGCCAGGCACAUGAGCAAGUGUUCUGUUCUUGGAUUAAUGAACAAGUUACGGUAAAUCUAGCCUGGCUUCCAAAAAAACACAUUUUAGGACGUCAAUCUUCAUCACUCCACAUGUUGAGGACUAUAUCUCUCAUAAAGCUCUCACAGCCAUAAUGCUGAGAAGAUGUAGUCUAUAUUAUACAACAUCUGGAGUGUUGAAGGGUUGCAUACCCCUACUUUAGCUAUCCAGUGAACAUGCAUAAAUUCCUUAUGUCUACCAUGCUCACGUACAUUAUACUUUGUAAAAGUCUUUGAGAUUAAUCUUAAUCUGAUUUCAUAGUUCUUGUGUCUGUCUGGACUACCCAUUCAGGAGAUUUGGAUUCUGGAUUUGCCAGAUUUAGAGAACGUAGUCAACAGUAAACAUUUUGUGGUUGUUGCAAGCAUUAAUUUAAACAUCACGACACAUCUACUAUCUCAUUAAAUUUAUAAUACGACACAUUUAAGUGUAGUCAGUAACAUAAAAAGUGACAACUAAGACUAAACAAUAACAGAGAUUUCUGUGAAUACUGCGUACAAUACAGCACAGAAUAUCACAUCACACACAUUAUUCCAGUGCUUAUUAAUAUGCAUUGAUUAAAGUCAAUAACACAAUUAACACAUGGUUUUGUUUUCCCAGUGAGACGUUUUUAAGCUCCCUCUUUGCUAACAUAUCACCUUCCAGAUGCCAUCUGUUUGACCUGGAUUACAAAUAAGAGAGUAUGGCAUAAACCAUGGAAACCGAAGAUGCAGGAAAAAUUAACUUUUCAUAUAGUAAGAAUUCAUUCUACUCCUCCACAGUUCAGUAUUUUCUUUUUAACCUGAUUGCAAAGAUAAUUUUUUAUUUUUGUAAACUACCUAAACAAAAGCUGAGAUCAGGGGCUGCUCCACAAUAGGCAUCCCGUAUUGUCAGUAAUUAAUGAUGCUGCCAGGUUAUUAUUUUAUACAUGUACGUGUAAAGAUGGGUGGCAAGACACACGUAUAAUAUUCCCGGGUCAUAUAAAUGUCUAGUUAUUUUUGUUUAUUUUAUACUCCACUAGCUUCCCAUGCUCUUCUAUCAUUUCAUCUCUUUUUCUACAAACUAUCCAUGCUACCCUUUUCACUUCAAAGGAACACUAAAGUGGCAGUAUUACAUAAAAAACAAUACAAACAUGUAUUCCUGUCACUAUAGCUGUAAUAUCACUAUUUAGCCCACCGGUCCCCCUGUACCCUAUGCAAAAAUACCCCUGAUUUGCCGCCUUAGCUGAGAUCUUUCAAAUUGAUGAUAUCAGCCAAUCCAAUGGUUUCCCAUAGGAAAGCAUUGGGAGACUGUUGCGCAGAGCCUCCCAAUGCUGCAUCAAUCUGCAUCUCCUCAUAGAGAUGCAUUAAAUCAAUGCAUCUUAAUGGUGAGUGUUCAGCAUCUCCAUGCAGAGCAUCAGUGCUACACUGACCCAGGAAGCACCUCUAGUGGCUGUCUGAGUGACGGCCACUGUAGGUGGCUCUAGGCAGCAAUGAAAAGGCAGUGCCUAUAUUAAAAUGUCUGCAGUGACAUGCUAUAAACACCAUAACAAGUACAUUAAACUGUAGUUGAUCUUGUGACUAUAGUGCCCUACUCCGGGCCCAUUACCUUCUAACCAGCAUUUGUUUUACUUCCUCCAUUCAAACAUAUUGCACCUAAUAUCUGACCCUCUCCAUUCUCAGUCAUAGUUCUCUUUCCAGCCUAUAACCGAAACCCGCUCACUCUUCUGGCAUUUAAUCAUUAUCAUGUUAAAGUAUUUAUCCCUAUUCUCAGUUUACUUAUUAUCAUCCAUCACUAGGCCAAAUACUGCCACCUGCUAAUUUUCCCUAUUCUCUGCUCACUUGCACAAAUCUCUAUAAUCUAGCAUUGUAUGGGGAGAACAAAUCAGAGAGGACUGACUUGAAAAAAUAUGGGUGUUUACUGCCCUCUCAAAUCAAACAAGUAAAAUUGGAGCUAUAAGCCCCCACUCCCCCCCUCCCCAACCCCCACACUUAAACUCAACAGCAGUUAAAAAUUGGUCAUUUUCAUUUGCUGUGAUCAACCAUUGGGGCUACUACAGCUUCAUCCCCUCCUAUGUUUAAACUGUUAAAAAUAAAUAAAAACAAAUGCUUUAAUUCAUAUUAAAGGACCACUAUAGUGCCAGGAAAACAAGUAUGUUUUCCUGGCACUAUAGUGCCCUGAGGGUGCCCCCACCCUCAGGGUCCCCCUCCCACCCGGCUCUGGGGAGAGGAAGGGGUUAAACACUUACCUUUUUCCAGCGCUGGCCGGGGAGCUCUCCUCCUUCGAUCCUCCUCCUCUCCUCCCAUUCGGCUGAAUGCGCACGCGCGGCAAGAGCUGUGCGCGCAUUCAGCCGGUCGCAUAGGAAAGCAUUAUCAAUGCUUUCCUAUGGACGCUUGCGUGCUCUCACUGUGAUUUUUCACAGUGAGAAGCACGCAAGCGCCUCUAGCGGCUGUCAAUGAGACAGCCGCUAGAGGUUUUGGGGGAAGGCUUAACCCAUUCAUAAACAUAGCAGUUUCUCUGAAACUGCUAUGUUUAUAAAAAAAUGGGUUAACCCUAGAAGGACCUGGCACCCAGACCACUUCAUUAAGCUGAAGUGGUCUGGGUGCCUAGAGUGGUCCUUUAAUAGUGUGUUUAAAAUAAAAUAUUACAUGCAUUUUUCAAUUCCAAACCAACCUAAUGCUUUAGUAGCUCAUUUGUGAAUGUAUUUGCACAGCUAUGAAAUUUGCUCCCAAUUUAAUUGAUAAAUAACUAAAUCCCCCAAAAUGCUAGUAAUUAUUAUUAACAUCUACUUUUUAAUACAGUUUCCUAGCGCACGCCUCCCUAUGCAUCUAAUAUAAAUUUCUACACAUGGAUACUUAAAAUAGCAUUUCAGUUCUAAUAUUAGUGAAUAGAUUUUAUAAUUUGAAUGCAGCACAAAUAGAGCAGGAGAUUAUUCAGUUUUUUUUUCCUCUCUGUUAAAUUAGGUUGCUCUAUUUUUAGAACAAAAUCACAAUCUUAGUUUUUUUUUUUUCCAAAGGGCUUUAAUUCCCUGUCUGUGCUAGAAUGUUGAUUUGCCAGUCUGUUUGGGAAUAGUUAAACGUUAUGUUUGCACGGCUCCUUGAAAAGCAGAUAUUCCUAUUUAGCCUGCCAGUUAAUGCAGAGUCCCUCCAUUUAAAGCAGUUUCGGAAAAAUGUGUGGAAAAUCACAUUUGUAUUUGUUUUUUACUUACAAACCAGUGAAGAUCACAGCCUCUUUUAAGGAUUUGUUAGAUGCAAGCAUGUGCAAUGACUACAGGUCUAAUCUCUGCUUUCCAAUGGCAUUCUGGGUCCCUGUGUGAAGCAUUCACCUUGAAUAAGAGAUCUUAUCAAUCAAGUGUAUUCUUGUGCUAUAGGGAUUUAGGGACUGGUGCCAGGCAAGCGAACAUUUUCUAUUUACUUUCAAUAGGGGCCACUUGGAGUCUGACGUUUGGCUUCAGUUUGCUUCUUUGGUCAAUUUGAACAGCGGAAAAUUUAAUUUUUAUGCUUCUCUAAAUGCCACUGGGUAAGAAACACUUAGCCCUGUAAUCAUUUGGAUAUAUAUACAUAUAUAUAUGUAUAUAUAUAUAUAUAUAUAUAUAUAUAUAUAUAUGCUAUGACUGUCUGUGAUAAUUACAGGACCCAAAGCUGACACCUAGUACAAUAGUACAAGGUCCCAAUGCCCCCGUCCCUAUAGUAUAUUGAGAACACUUUAGAACAGACCAAGCUUGGGUUUAUUGGUGCACAUUUGCAUUAAUUCUAUUUGUGAGAGACUCAGGGUGAAUAUAACAACCACAGUGUCUAAGGGGAUCUGGGUAGAUUCUAGAGUCACACAGCUCAUCCAUUCAUCUAAAAAUUAAUCCAAAAAUUGUGUCCAAAAAUCUGCCCCUCCCUUCUACUGUCAGAGUCACAAAGUGCCCUUUAAUUUUCCCAACAUGCCUCUGGUCCUUUGCCUCCAACAUGGACAAUGUCCCAUUUUUUCUAACAUAUAUAGUCUAAUUACGGAACCAAAAUCACUGCUUGUUGCUUUUCAGUUUAUAUGAUUUUAGAGUUUGUUAUCUUUUUCAACACAGUAUCGAUAAUAUGUUUCCCAUUAUUUUAUUAGUAUGCCACAUUAAAGGGUUACACCAUGCAAAAAACAACAUACUUUUAAGGAAACAUUGUUUUUAGUCAGAGUAACCCUUGACAUAUGGGUCCCUCCCUCUCGAAAACACAAAAAGAAAACAGCUAAAGCUUGAAUCAUUUUCCCUGCUGAGGCCUCACUGCCAACGCUAUUCCAACGCUGACGUCACUCCCCUUGCCAGAGGGAGACAAGCAUUAGGGAGGCCUUCCUUGGCCUUCCUUGGCUGUCUGGCACCAGCAUGCUGUGUGCACUGGUGUCAGAUGCCAAUAUCCAGUACGGGCUGGCUGAUAACUACUCACUGAUGCUGUUGAAGGUGGAGUUGCAUCAUCGGCAGUAGAAGAGUUAAUCUCCAUAGCGAAGCACUGCACAUACAGAAUCCAGGAACCACUAUCCCUUUAAAUAGCUGAAGUGGUCAUGGUGCUUGUAGUAACCUUUUAAAAUGCAUAAAUGAAUAAAUUGUCUCUCCUAUAUUAGAGCCAUUUGGAUACCACAUUAAGAAAGAAGUAUCUAGAAUCUUGCGUAGAGUUUACGGGUCUAUCUGUCAAUUUGUCUGUCUAUCAAUUUAUAUAGUAGGGUGACAUUUAACAUGUUCACAGAUGGGCCAUUGACAAAUGAGGUCAGUGUUCAGCAAAUGGCAGAUGCAGUAUAAAUUUUAAAUAAACCAUUUUUGUUAAAUAAUGAACAGCUGUUUAUAGUCAUAUAGUACUGUAUCACUAACUAAAACUAACUAAAACUCUGCAAUACAUUAACCAAAGACUACUCCCGAUAACAGAUUUCCUAUACAUGUAUUGUUUGUUUAAGUAUAUGUACCUGUAUUUAUCAUGAUUUCAUCAGUAAAACAUGUAAAACAAAGAGCCAAACAGAUAGUAAAAUAUUCACACAUACAAAUAGUAUUUUCAGUUUAGAUCUUACAAAGCAGAUAGAUAAACAAGAAUAGAGAAAAUUUUGCCAAAUGUGCAUGUAAACAUGACUAAUUUAUCGAAGUCUUAGACAGGAAUUUGCGUUAACAAAGUGAAAGACUGGUGGAGCUUAGUCACUCAUCCAUGAAUUGUGGACAAUCGGCAAUAUAAUUGCAAAUUUAGGUCAAAAUGAAAAACUCUCCUAUCAGCAUUUUGUCCAGUUCUACUUUUUGGUCUGAAAUAGGCAUUUUUUAUUGACAAUUCUCACCUUUACUGGUUUAGUGAAUAACUUCAUAGUAUAUUUUAUUUCAAAUUGAUCACAUGAUUCCUGAAAAUAUCAAUAAAGCUAUAGGAGUUUUAUAUGAGUUAUUAGUUAAUUUCAUCCAUUGAUUUGACAUCUAGUUAUAUGAUACUGACGUUAUACCUAAUUUUGUCUUCUGCAACAAAAUGUCAAGCAGGAACUUAACUUUCACCCAACCAGUUUGAUAAACACAAGUUUUACUCUCGUUACGUAUUAAGUUUAUAAAAUGAGAUUAUGGAAAUCAGCAUUUAUGUAGAUUACUGUAUGUGACACCCAGCAGGAUGGAUUAGGGAGUUGCAAUUACUGUUUAAAAAGGGCCUUUAAAAAACAGUCCCAAAGCCCAGUUUCAUAGAAUUAACUUUUUCAUACAUCCGUGAGCUGAGCUACUAAUGAUAAUUAAUACAGAUAUAAUGUAAUUCAAUCUGUUAUCAUAACUGAUGUCUUGCACUGUGUAUGGAAAAGGGACCUCUAGUUGUGAAAACUGUAACUGCUCAUCAGUCUUGCUAUAGACCAGUGGUUCCCAAACACACAGGGAAGCAGCAAGAUAUUUUCCUGGUGCUCUGAUCAUAGUACCGGGAACUGUGCCUCCCUCUCCCCUGCUGGCUCUGUAGGACCGUAGGGUAGAUCAGAGAUCUCUCUCUGACCCAUUAGCAGUGUAAUGCCCGCAGCCGGCAAGGGAGGGAGAGUGGACGCGGGGAAGCUCUCACCUGCAGCUCCGCCAGGUUCGCCUCUUGCGAGCUUGGAGCGUUGCCGCUGUUACCAUGGCAAUGCUCCUAAUCUCACAAGAGUUAACAGAUCCAGAGGCGGCUAGAGUUCACUCUCACCACUGGGACCACCAGGGCUUCUCCACCAGACCAGAAGUAAGCACUGAGAAUAUGAAAAUUAUUAUUUGGAAUUUAAAAUAAAUAAAUUAUAUAUUCAUAAAUUUGCCCUCCCACCCCCACAGACCCCACACCACACAAUAACUUCCCCCAUACUCACACACUGCCCCCCACACACACACUGCCCCCACAAACACAUUACCUCCAUACACACAAUUACCCUCCAUACACACACUGCCCCCAUACACACACACUGCCCCUCCAUACACAUACACACUGCCCCAUACACACACACAAAAGCUUCCCCACAUAUACAUACACUGUACCCCUUACACAUACAUGCACACUGCACCCCUCACACACACGCACACUGCACCACUCACACACACACACUUCACCACUCACACACACACAUAUUGCACACCUCACAUACACUACUGCCCCUACCCCCUUCUACAGCCCCUAUCCCGGCAGAUCUAAGGUAAGUUGUCAAACUGUUCUUAAACAGUUUUACUACUUACUCUGGGAGGGCACAACGGCACUACUGGCACCAUAACCAGUACAAUAACCAGUACAACGUGCUGGAUUGUUUCUUUGAAUAAUCUACCAGUGCACCUCCCAAGAUUAGGUUCUGGAUCUCCGCUUCAACGGCAAGCAUUUCUGCUGAACAGGGGCCCAGUAUAUGCUGCUGCGCUGUACAUAUAUACAACCUAAAAAUGUUUUUGACUUGGGGCGCCUUGGAAAAAUAUUAAAAUAUUAAGGGCGCCUUGAACCUAAAAUAUUUGGGAACCGCUGCUUUAGACACUAGGUAUAUCAGCAUUAUAAUUCAGCUCUAAAAUGGUUGCUGAAUUUAUCAUGUUACAGAAUUGUGAAAUAGAAUUUCUCAUUAUCUACCUUGCGUGGGACUUUAAAGAUUAGUACACUUGUUUAAGCCAAAAUUAAAAUGUCACUCCUUUCUGAGUUUUGAAUUCUGAGUCUGUCAGAGACAAGCGCAUACAUAAGUAAGAUUAUUACAUACACUCCGUCUGUUACGGAGCUAUUUUUUUUUUCAAUUUCAUGUGUAGGGGUCACAGUGCCAGCCACAGGAUGGAAAACUGAAAAAAAGGCAAGAUCUAUUGUUCUCUGGCACCAGUUCUAUACAUAUUCCCCUUGUGUUAUUCUUAAAGAAAUGCUAAAACUAAAAUGAUCCUUGUAUAUAUAAAACAUCCAGUAAGGGUCCGUCUAUUUAGCUGAGAUUAUCACAUUUGAUUAACUCAGCCAAUCCAAGGGUUUCUCUGAAAAUGCAGUGUUUACAUUAAAAAGCCUGCAGGGACAGGCAGUAGACACCAGGGACAGGCAGUAGAUGAAGCUGUAUGUCCUCAUGCAGAGCGUGAAGAUAUCCAGCAUCAGUUAAGUGACCAAAAGUUGCCUAACCACCCGGACAGCCACUAGAGUGGGAGUUAACCCUGCAAGGUAAAUAUUGUAGUUUAUCAAUAACUGCUAUAUUUUUAAUUGUAGGGUUAAUGGGACUGACACAGUGUACCCAGACCACUUCAAUGAACUAAAGUGGUCUGGGUGCCUAUAGUGUCCAUUUAAGCUAUAGUUGUUUUGAUUAUAGGGUCACUUUAAUAGCUUGCUAUACCUUGCAAAGCCACCUGUGUGUGAUUAAAGUUCAAUUUACAGAGCAGGAGAUAGAAACUUCUAAAAUAGGUUAACAUCUAUUUGAAAAUGAAAACUUUUUUUAUGCAGGCUGUGUGAAUCACAGCCAGGGAAGGUGUGGCUAGGACUGCAUAGACAGAAACAAAAGUGCUUUAACUCCUAAAUGGCAGAGAAGCAAGCAGUGAGACUUCAGAGGUAUGCUCUAUACACACAAGCUGCUUCAUUAAUGUAAAGUGUUUUUGAUGACUAUAGUGUGCCUUUAAUUUGACAAAUGUACAUGCAGUCUAUAAAAGGACAAGCUCUCUAGCGCUCAAGCCAAUUGCAUACUAUACCUUAAAGAGAUAACUUCUGUUGCUUUGUCUGUUAGUUUUUAUAUUUGUUGCAAUCUGUUCCAUCAGAUAUAUAUAUAUAUAUAUAUAUAUCUAAUCACAUGCACAUUAACUAGGCACUGUUUUUUUGUUUUGUUUUUUAAUCAGUUGCAGUAAUGACACAUGAUUUGCAUAGCUCUUAGAGCUGAAAUUUCCUUGCAUGUAUCAUGGUACGCAGAAUUCUUGUUAAAUGCAGUUGGUUUCAUUCUGUGCAUUGUAAAUAUUAAUUUCAUAAUCUGAAUAUAUUCAAGCUGAAUAACUGCUGUUUUGCUGCAAUUUUUCACCACGUUUUAAAGGAACACUAAAGGGUCAGGAAUACAAACUUAUUGUGUUUAAAAUAGAUUUUAGGUGGCUGGCACCCCUUAUCCUCCUUAACCCCUUAAGGACACAUGACAUGUGUGACAUGUCAUGAUUCCCUUUUAUUCCAGAAGUUUGGUCCUUAAGGGGUUAAAUAGUGUUAAAACUCACCUUAUUAACACCACAGGCACUGGCCCAGCCCCCUAUCCACCUCCCUGAUUCAGAAUUGAUUGUCAUCAGAAUUGACAAUCUUAGCCAAUCCAAUCCUUUUCCAUAGGAAAGCAAUGGGAGGUUUUCGCACACAUGCGGCAAAACACUGUGCUUGCCAAUCAGUAUCUCCUCGUAGACAUGCAUUGACUCAAUUGCGUCUUUAUAGGUAAAGUUCAGCACUAUACAAAAGCUUAUGAACACACACUGCUUACUAAUAUGUAACACCAAAAAGAAUCAUAAUGUUCGCCUUAACUCAAACCUAUCUAUCCCUGUACAUUGAUUUAACUACCCACCAUCAUACAACACUCUCAAGCUAGCACCAAGGACAGCUCCUCUCUAUUUUCUAUCAAGUACUGAUGAUGCAAGUAACUACUACUAGUGAUAUUUAUAUAUUGUAUUGAUAUGUACGAGAAGAGAUCCAUACUGAUGCUGUGAAAUGCAUUUGUUUUGAAAGCUUGAAUGAAAAUUCCCAGCCCUUUAAAGGGAUACUACAGAAUGAAAACCCCUAAGUCAUUAAAGGGAUAUUAUAGAAUGAAAUCUCCUAGCUCAUUAAAGGGAUACUUUAGAAUGAAAACUCUUAGCUCCAUAAAUGGAUAUUAUAGAAUGAAAAUUCCUAGCUCCUUACAGGGAAACUACAGGAUGAAAAUGUCCAGCUCCUUACAGGGAUACUAUAGUGCUAGGAAUACAAUUCCACAUACCCAAUUCCAUCAACUUAUCUCUCUCGAGGUUGGGUCGGCACUCUGCCUCCUCUGAUGUCAUCCAACAAGGGUGGCUAAUGCGCAUGCACAGCAAGCGGUGCAUGCGCAUUAGGCCUUCCCCAUGGUAAAACUAACGGAUACUGUAUGAGGACGCUGAAUGUCCUCAUCCAGUAUCAGUUAGGCGACCUAAAGUCCGGUAAAAUCACAGAAGCACCUGCAAUAGCCACUAGAGCCUGUCUCUAAAACUGCUAUGUUUUGCAUUGAACUGAAGUGGUCUGGGUGCCUAUAUUGUCCCUUAAUCACAACUACUUUGAUGAAUUUAAAAUCAAAAGAAGAAUCUGAAAUCACACACUAACUGAUAAGUUACUAUGUUGUAAGUAUUAGUAUCUGUAUUUAUAUUAUGCUUUUGUAAUGGACAGGGACAGAAGUAGUGUCAAUAUGCACAAUGGGAAAACAUCACCAUGUGUCUGUCAUUUACUUGCAGUUAUAGAUCCCCACAGUAUAAUUGUAAAACACUGGAAUAAGUUCAUACUAUAUAAAUGCUAAUAAUAAUAAAAGUAUUAGUAAUAGAGGGAUAUAUGGUUGGAUAGAUGGAUUGGAAAAUACAACUGAAAGAGAUACAGGCCAAAUAUGGAAGUACAUUGAAAUGAGGUUAUGAAAUGAAAAUGGUGGAAAAGCGAAAAGUUACCUGUCUGUCUGUCUAUCUGUCUAAUAUAUCUAUCUAUCUAUCUAUCUAUCUAUCUAUCUAUCUAUCUAUCUAUCUAUCUAUCUAUCUAUCUAUCUAUCUAUCUGUCUGUCUGUCUAUCUAUCUAUCUAUCUGUCUGUCUGUCUAUCCAAUCCAGGGGUGCCAACACUUUUUAGUGUCAAGGUCUACUUUUUAAAUAACCAGCUACCUACUAAAAAUAACACACAUACCUUUUCCAAAUUAAAAUCCUUAUUGCAACUACUGCACAUAUCGUCAUAUUUAAUUAAUCUAAAAAAAUAAACAUAACGCCAUGUACCACCCUUCCACAAAACCCCUGCACCCUUCUACAAAACAAAUGUCCAACCAUUUUACAAAACCCCUUUCCCCUCUUCUACAAAAUCCCUGUCCCCCUUCUACAAAAUCACUGUACCCAUUCUGCUGACAAACUUCUGCCUCAAAGCUCGCUGUAGUGCUGCCCGCACUUAGUGUCAGAGCGGAUCCUUCUGUUGCCUCGAUAUACCUAAGGAAGGCAGUGCAUGUUGACAUUGGUGUGGUCUUGACACUCCUUCACAGGAUCAAAUAGUGCGGCUGCCAGGAUGGCUGGUGCAAGAAUAUUUGUCUGCACAGGCAAGACAUAUUUUGCCACCCCCAAAAUAUACCUACACCUGUGUGUCUAUUAACCCCACUUUUGUCCACAAGGUGCUGCUGCCCUUCUCUCUCCCACAGCACUUGGCCUUCAGCUCUCAAAGCGAAGCAGCAGCUACACGCUUUAUUUCCACACACCGACCAGCAACAGAUACUAUGGCCAAGUACCGGGUAAAUUAAUCACUCGGGCAUUUGGCUACAGAGAGUGACCGGCAGGAGAAAGGCUCUCUGAGUUCCGAUCUCCCUCCAGUCAAGAGCUGGCCACGAUCUACCAGCAACGCCUUUGCCAUCGACUGGUAGAUCACUAUUGACAUAUUGGGCACCCCAGAUCUAGUCUAUCUGUAUAUUGAUCUAAUCCAUCCAUUCCAAAAUAAACGAGCCAGCUCAUAAUUUUACCUAUAGGUUUUUGUCUAGGUUUUUUUCAUUGAACAAUGGAUUUUGUUUAAUAGACAGGUUGCAACAUAAAGCAGAACUGGGUUAUGAGAUACAUAUUUCAUCCCAUGGUCUAUAAUUUGUAAUAACUUUAUCAAUUCCCAGCAUUUCACUGGUUAUCAAAUAAACCGUCUGCUGUUUAUUACAUAGCAUAACGGAAAAUAUGUCUUUGUAACAACAUGUGCAGAAUCUCACUUCUACUUAAUCACAUUGAACCCUUGAAUUCAUAAUUCCAGGACAGGUCAAAAACUAGAAGUAAAUCAAAUAAACAAACAAACUAGUAGUAAACCCCAAACUUGCAGUGUUUCUAUGGAAAAUCUUUAAACAGUAAAGCAAAUCAUGAACAAACAAUAUUGUAUCAACCCUUUAACUAACCACACCACAUUUAUUUUAUAUAUCACAUAAACAUAUAUUAUUUUAGCUAAAAAUAGUAUGUAUAAGUUUGUAAAAUUUGCACUUUUCAUCUACCAUAGUCUCAUACAAUUUCGCUCUUAUGUAUGCCACAAAUCUGUUCUGCUUAUACAAAAACAGGCCCAUCAUGUUUAAAUGAACUUGAAAAAAAAUCAAUCACACUAUUUCAUUUGACCUUCUAAAACUAGUUUCCUUCAGUGUCCUUGACCUUCUCUCAGAGGUCAUUCUCCCAUCUCCAAGAACAUAUUCUCAGUUAAACCUUACACAAGUAAUUUAGCAGAACUUUAACCCCGUCAGGUAGAGCAAUAUGCCAGGACAUCCAUAAAAAAAGAAUUUGCUAAACCUUUGUUUUGUAGCUGUUAAGCAGAUUCUGCCUACCACAUAUAUCUGAGUGAUAAAAAAGUCCUUUUCUGUCCUUCUGUAUAUGGACAAGACUGCAUGUUUUACAGAAAGGGAACAAAUUGCUGCUGUCAAUUCGAAUGAGAACGACACUGAAUAUAAUCUUGGUAAUAUUAAAGAAAUUAGAAUUGUAAAUUCAACUUCCCAAUUUAGAGGCGAAUAAGUUAUAUCAUGUACAAGCGCCUUGCUAAUGCUUAGUACUUCACUCUAUCACCUUAAAGACCAUCCAUUUCUUUUAUUAGAGUGUUUCGACAGUCCAGCUUCUAGAAGAUGCAGCUUGUUUGUGUGUUUUUAGCUCUUUGAAACAGAAAUAAUCAGUCAAAAGCUAUUAUUAGAUUUGGUCUGCUUGAGACCUAUAUUUACGCAAUCUCCUUUGGGUCAGUUAAAUGGGUUAGUUUGACUUCCUGUGAUUCUAUCGCCUGCUUCUCCUCUGUUUAUGUGUCUUCAGUGCAGCCUAGAUUUCAAACUGGACUAAUUGGACAAAGCAUAUUUAUAUUCAUGAGUUAUUUGGCAGUUUCUACUGAACAUCUAUUUGUAGGUCCAGAUUUUCAAUUCAAAUCAGAUCAAUGAAUUUCAUAGCACGCUGGUAUGAUAAAAUAUAAUUACACAGCAGUGAAAAAAAAUGUCUUUAAAGCAGUGUGGACUACUUUUUUUUAAAUAAGUGUGUCAAUGAAUAACUGUUCUCAAAGAAUAUAUUCUUAACCUUAGGGACAGAACUGUUCCUUGCUUGAGUCAUACAGAGCAACUUUACUCCAUGAUAUAAUCGAGAUGAUGGGAGGAUGAAAGUUUUAUCACAAGCAACAAACCUCACAUAUAUUGCCCUGAUUCCUGUAAUGAAAGAGUGUAGAAAAACUAUUUGAAAUUCAUUUGGAGCAAUGCAAUUUAAAGUGAUGAAAGGGAACGGUAAUACAACUCUACAAGAGAAUGCACAUUCAAUAUGGCUUUAUCUUAUGCUUCCUUUUUUUCUCUACUGCAAUUGGUUUAAUUAUUCAGACAUCAGGAUGAGCUACAGAAAGGGCAAAAUCAAAGCGCACAUGUAUAGGGAAAAACACAACGCAUAAAUGAAGACUCAAAUAUAACAUAAAGGUGCGCCAUACGUACAUUUACUUUGCACAUAAAUUUCAUUGGGAUAUUAGACCUGACUCAAAAGCAACAGAGCACCCAAAUGUUCUUGCAUGGAUUUAAGAGUAUUAUUUUACAGUUAACUAGUUAUUGAGAAAAGUAACCUCUUUCGUAAAAUGAGUUGCACUUAGAAGUCUGAAAAAAGUUUAGUGACGCUUACGGUCCAGCCAGGAUGACUUCUGAGACUAAAACAUUAAUUUCAGAGCACAUAUUUUAGAGCUAAAUUGCAGAGUAUGAACCAGACCAGGAGAUAACACAGUAUAAAUGACAAGUUACGGCUGAAAACAGCAAAACAAUUUUGUGUUUAAAUCCAUAAUCCACUAUUUUAAUAAAAUCUAUUAAAAAAAGGGAGAGAUGAUCCCAACCCAUCAGAAAAUGAGUUCCAUUGAACACUUUAUUAUCUGGGGCCCCAAAUGAAUACCCCAAAUCCUGCUGGAGGGAAUAGUUAAACCAUAUAAGUGGCACUAACCUUUCUUCCAUCCCAUGGCAUUACGCAUUUGAGGCAGCCCCCCUUCACCCCCCUGAAAAUAACUUUAAGCUAUUUCUAGAUUUUUAAAAAAUGCUGAUAGGAGUUAUCCUUUACUUGGAGUGUUGUUGGGUAAGUUAAAUUUCAUACACAGCAACCAGACCUCACCUUAGAAAACUGCAUAGAGCUAUCCAUAGCUCAGGCACAUUACUGUUGAAACCAUUCUCCUCACUAGCAAAUCUGCACUUAAGGAGAAGGGGUAUGGUUUGGAGGAUCAGGCAAGCAUAGGUACAGGUCACUUGUUCAAAUGAGGAUAAGUUAAAUUUAAAUUAUAAAUUAAAUCUUUCAUAUGCAGAGUUAUGUCUGGAAUGUAUCGACUCUUGGGACAUUAUAGGGAGGUCUAGGAGUAGUGAUGAUGGUAAGAUUUGGGUACAGUUGUGUUCCAGUGUGGGCAUUAGCUGAGAUAUAGCAGUUACAACUCUUGAGUAAUACUAUCCCUGGGUUAUUCAUUAUUAUAAUUUAACAACUUUUGCCAUUUAGUUUUUUUUUAUCUCCCCAAAAAAUGUCUCAAGUCUAUGACAUCAUUAAUGCCCAGAAAAAUGGUCACCUGACCCUGUACUAGACGGGCCCUGGAACUCCCAAAGUACAAAACCAAUCGGUAAGUUGUAUUAUUUGUGAUAUUUAAUUAUUGUUUAAUGAAUGUAAUUAUAUAAUUAUUGCAUCAGGUUUUAUGGUAUGUAAGUGGGGAUAUAUAGUGAGUAUUCAAUUGUAUUUAUGACUUGACAAAGAUCAAUGUAGGCCAAAACGUUGUCACUUUUUGUUUCUAUUAAACAAAUGCACUUUACAAGGAAUUACUGAGUCCCUGGAUCUUCUAUUUGUCACUUGAGAAUUAUUUUGGGAUAGCCAACCCUGAGACCAAGAGCACCAAUUCUGUUGAGCGGAGUAUAAAGAAAACCAUUAAUGCCCAACUGUCCAAAACUCAGAGUUGUAGAUUUUAGUCCUGGUAUGCUCAUUUUGUAUUUUAUCAUUUCAAGGUCAAUAAAAUGAGUAUCAUUAAAAUGGUUAAAAAUAGAUGCAGCUAUAGCUCAGAGCAUACUUGAAAUGAGUGAAAAUAUGAAUGUAACCUUUCUGAUGAAACAUUUUGAUUAUUAAUAUCAUUAUAUAAAUGUUUCUUUUUAGUUUGAUAACAUGAUCUGUAUCAGAGCCUGGCCGUCAUCCAAAAUAGAUAACUCAACUGGCAAAUGCAACACUGAAAUUAGCUCUGGAUUUUAGUCACAAAUCACCCCAAAUGUCAUCAAAUUUAACAGAGAAGAGUUGAGUAAUAAAACAGAACAAUAAAAGCCGUUUUAGAAUGGAACUGACGUCUGAGCAGCUGUGAAGCUCAUCAGUAAAAAGUAAAAUUACAAGCUUUUCCAUUUUAGCCUGGUCCUGCAAAUAAUUUUAAGUCCAUUGUUGCAACUAGAUGGAAAAUUACUGGAGUGUUUCACCAAGAUAAAAUGAGAAAUAUUAAUUGUAGGAAAAGUAAGAUUAAGGUGGACUUAAUUAGUGGUAGACUAAAUGAUCUCAUACUUGGGAGUCAGAGACAUGAAAUAGUCAUAAACAUCUACUGAAAAUACAAAAGAAAAGUGGGAGCAGUUUAAACAUACAUAAACAACGGUUUCGGAAUUGUUUCAUUUUUAUUGAUCUCAACAAGUAUUAGAGAUUAUGUAAUUGGAUGGCUCUAUAUGCUAACAACAACAACAGCUUCUUCUCAUCCUCCGCAAUAUCGGUCUACAAGAUAUUGCUCUCUCCUGGUGCUCCUUCUACCUCUCCCAGUGCUCUUUCAAUGUUUAUUUUUCUGGCUCUGCCUCUUCUCCCCAACUCCUCUCGUUUGGUGUCCCCCAAGGUUCAGUCCUUGGUCCCCUACUGUUCUGCAUCUAUACUGCCUCCCUUGGUAAACUCAUCAGCUCCUUUGGCUUCCAAUAUCAUUUCUAUGCAGAUGACACGCAAAUCUACCUGUCCUCUCCUGAUCUCUCCCCGUCCCUCUUGACAAGUGUCUCUGACUGCCUCUCGGCUAUUUCUAACUGGAUGGCUGCCCACUUCCUUAAACUAAACUUGACCAAAACUGAAAUUCUGGUCUUUCCUCCCUCAAGUGUUGUUACUCCUGUGUCUCCCUCCCUCCAAGUCAACGGUGCUACCAUCAGCUCCACCACGCAGGCUCGCUGCCUAGGUGUUCUCUUUGACUCUGACCUCUCCUUCAAGCCUCAUCUUCAAUCUAUCGCUAAAUCCUGUCAUUUCCAUUUCAAAAAUAUUGCGCGCAUCCGCCCCUACUUAACGCCAGAUGCGACUAAGGUGUUGGUCCAUUCCACUGUCCUUUCUCGCCUUGACUACUGUAAUCCGCUUCUCAGUGGUCUUACGUGCUCCCAACUUGCGCCGUUACAGUCCAUAAUGAAUGCGGCAGCGAGGCUCAUCUUCCUGUCCGCCCACACCUCCCAUGCCUCACCCUUCUGUCAGUCCCUACAUUGGCUUCCUAUAAAAUAUAGAGCUCAAUUUAAAAUUCUGGUUCUUGCUUUCAAAUCGCUACAUAAUGCUGCUCCAACCUAUAUAUCCUAUCUUAUACACAAGUAUGUCCUGUCUAGGCCCUUACGAUCUGCUGAAGACUUACGUUUAUCUUCUGCCCGUACUCCCACCUCUGAUGCGCGCAUUCAAGAUUUCUCGAGGGCUGCACCGUUCCUGUGGAACUCGCUUCCCUCCUCCGUUAGAUGCUCACCCAGUCUCCACUCCUUCAAAAAACUGUUAAAAACCCACUUCUUCAUAAAAGCGUAUCAAUUAAACUGUUAAUAGCUUCCUCUUCUGCAACUGUCACUAGUCUAAUACUAUCCUUACCUUUUUGUGCCAUUUUACUCCACUCCCUCUAGCAUGUAAGCUCAUUGAGCAGGGCCCUCAACCCCUCUGUUCCUGUGUGUCCAACUUGUCUGGUUACAACUACAUGUCUGUUCGUUCACCCAUUGUAAAGCACUGCAGAAUUUGAUGGCGCUAUAUAAAUAACAUAAUAAUACUAAUAAUAAUAAUAAUGCUAGACUUAUAUUGCUUGAGUGUCUGUUUCCCUCAGGUUCACAUAUUUAAUGGCUAAAUGGAACACUGGCUUGCUUAUCAAAACAUUGGCUAGGUAAUGGGGACACUGUCCAGAUAAGAAAGAUAUUGGCCAAAUAAAGGGGGCAAAGUAUUUUUUAAUGAGACAUUGUCCAAGCAAAGGGGACAAAGGAUUGGUUAGAGAAAUGUUGGCCAAAUUACACUGGCUCGGUUAGUGACACAUUAGCCAAGUAGAGACGAAGUGUGGGUAUGGACGUGAAAAUAACUAAUUUAGGAGCCGCGGUUAAAUGACACUCAGUUGACAUCCACAUUGCUGAAUAUUGAUUGAGUAUUAUAAUGUGCUAUUGUUUGUGGCUUAACUGUAACUAAUGAUCACAACCAGAGCUUGGUUGCUCUACUCUCCAAUAAUUAGGUGCUAGAGAUUCUGUCCUCCGUAGAUAAUCUCUUUUCUCAUAUUCAGCUUCAUCUCUGCCAGUCUUGUGCUACUGACAUCCAUAUGAAUCUUUGCCUCUCCAAACAUAAAUAAAGUGCGUAGGUGUCUAUAAACUAAAUAUAUUUUUUUAAACUCAAUUUGUAUCAAUUCCUGAAAAGUCAAUGUUUGAUAAAUAGACCACUUUAUUUUGUAUAAUGUGUUUUGAAAAUUGCGUUAAAAUGUGCCACCUAAAGUGUGGGUAUAUAUAUUUGUCUAGAUUUGUCUAGAUAAAUAUGUAUCCCUCAUCUUGAGGGAUACAUAUUUAUCUAGGAAGUUCCCAUUGCAUUCAGGAAGAAAUUUAUUUCUUCUACAUGUAUUUCAAAUUUGUCCCAUGGGCUCCCUUUCUCUAGGCAAAUAGUGGGCAAUUCAACUGCUGACAGCAUAUGAUUUGACAAGGUUUGGAUAACAAGGUCUUUACUGUGCCUUCCCCUGAUUCAUCUGAUAAUUAAAUAUUUAAAAUAAUAAAAAAUUUGAGGUUCAGUGCAGCAGAAUUGCCGAGUAAUUGAUUACAGUUUGAUUAGAAUGCAUGUUAACUAUGAUAUAUGUGAACCAGGGCCUAUCCUAGUGUGGCGGAACCAACCUCGCCAGUGGCCACUGGAGGAGCCUGGUCUCCCACCUCCUGCCACAGGACUAUGGCCCCAUGUUAAAAACCUUUUAUUUUCCCUGCACAAAGGCUUAUUCAUGCCUUUCUGCCUGGGCGUUCGAUAGAUUGAAUCUACCGAACAAACUACCGACCGAUCGACUACCUGGUAACUGGAGUGUGCCGUCAAUUAACCACAGCUUAAUCGACGAACGCUGGGUGGCCUUUGUUCGUUUGCCGAACACAUGGCAGCAGCCAUUUUAAACUCCCGAACGGCCAGCGGUGUUCAGCUCCAAAUCUAUGGAACUCAAAACUGACACUUAUUUUCACGUACAACACUGAGCCGCCGACUUCCCUUCUCCUGCAAAGAAACGAACACCGGUUCAUUCAGGACUUUCAUUAUGUGAACAAUGUUACUCCAGAUAGUUAUGAUCAUGGAGCCUAUUCGUAUACCGAAAGACUGCAUGAAAGACUUUGGCUCCAUGGCGAUUAAACUAUGUGUAUGUGAUCUGAGCGCCAUUCGGUAAUAAUGUGCGCUCAGAUCUAAGCUAUCUGGGGAUAUGUUGAAUGUAUAUGUUUUGUGUAAUAUUUGCAACAUUGUAUAUUUUUCUGUCUUUUUGGUAACGUGCUUAAUGGAGUUUGCCUCUGUCCUUGGAGAUAAUUGGAUUACUUCCCGAUUGCAAUGCAUUGUGGGAUUUGUUUAAAUGUGUAAGCUUGUGAUUGGUCCUUUUACCCUUUGUGUCCCAGUUUCCCAUCUGGUCCCCUAGGGGAGUGUCCACCAGGUGGGAGACCUGCAAAAAGCCGGGCAGGUUGCCCCAGUAAAUCAAUUCUACUUCACCCUCAAUUUGGAGUGCAAUCUCUUAUUGGGGGAAUCUGCUACAAGGGAUUGCUAUGCUUGUCCUACUCCCUUGCUAAAUCACUACUAAGCUCUUGUAGGAGCUUGUUCCUGCCUUGCUCUCUGGAGGAGUCUAUGGUGGCUAUGGUGUCUGCUGCAGUGCUUGGAGUCCUCAGGAAGCGCUAGGAGCAUCCUUCAACAGAGGUACCCAGUCGGGGUGCCAGGUGAUCUGUUACACCUAGUGUCACAGAUGCCUGGUUGCAAAAUAAUUGUGGGCGCCCCAGGUGGACAUGUCCAUCUUAUUAACUCAUCCCCUUUACAAAUGUCCAGUCCAGAUAUAGAUAUUUCUACACUUAUCAGGGUAGCAGGUUGAGCCCUAAACAGAAUAUUAUAAUUAGAGUUGAUAGUUAAUAUAACUAUCAGCUCUAUGUGUCUCUGUGUGCCAAUGUGUACCUUUAUUUAGCGUGGCUGAGUGGACUGCGGGUAGAGGAUCUUGUGCUCAAUUUGCACUUCCUUGUACCUUCCUUCCAUGUCUCUCUCCCCUUUACCCAUGUUUCUCUCCUCCCUUCCUUCCAUGUCUUUCACUCCACCCUUCCUUCCACGUAUAUUCUUCCCCCUUCUAUGUUUCUCCCUCUCUGCAAUUUUUAUCUUCCCCUCAUGUCCUCCCUCCCUUUUAUCUUUAUCUCCCCUGCCUCAAUGUAUGGCAGCGCACUGUGUUAGACUGAGCACCAGGUAAUCACGUGACACUCGGCGCUCCUACACUAAAUGCAAGGGGGAGGCACUCCCCACUGAUUUCGUGUACGUGCGGUUCCCUUUUGAAACUGUACGCUACCUGCACACAACCACACAAUCUCAAGAUAGUUGAUCUUGUUCACUGUGACUAGAGGGGUAUUGACUAUACCUUAUUUACAAGGCCUAACAAGGCUGAAACGAUCAUCUGGGGUUGCUGUAUCGCUCAUGCAGAGAGAGCUGGAUUUCGGAUCUGGAACACUCUUGUGGGUAGGACCAGUCUGAUAUGAAGAUAAUUACCUUUGUAACGGCACAAGAUGAGAUACACCAACGUGAGACCUGAGGCUGGACCAAUCGGAGGACAAGCUGAUUGUGGGUUCUCUAGCACCUUGGUUUUUUUUUUUUGCCCUACCCAAGAUGAAACAUAAGUUUCUUUUAUCAUAACAUAUCCACCUCAAAUCAAUUUCAUAAUGAAUGGUAUAAUUUCACCUGUAGAUAGUUAAAAUAGUAGGAGAACAGGAAAAGGGGUUGAGUUCCUAUGUAUUAUUUUAUAAAUACCGGGAGAUCAUCUUACUACAAUCGUUGCAGACAAAUAUUUAACUAAGUAUCAUUAGUACUGAAAAGAUUUACCCACACUAGCACAAUACAUAAAACAUAUUUAAGAGUGUCAAAAAAUACUCCUGAGGAAGUAAUACUUAACCUGGAGAGCUAUAUAUUGAGUAUUCCAGUCUGCACAAAAAGAGGAUUAAUGCAAUUUUGAUGCAGACUCACUCAUCCAGAUAGCUAUUUGUCUAAAUGUACCAUUUGCACUGUACCAGCCAUUCAAUGCAAAAGAAAGCAAUUACAAAGAUACUGAUCUAAGAUACUCUAAUUAAUAGGCAGGAAAUAAUCUCUUUUGUUGAUGGUGACUGAUUAGCCUCUGCUGUUAGCAGUUUCCUUUGUCUUUAUUAUUACACAGGGCAUAUUAAAGAAGACAGUAUUACUCUACACAACCAUGGCUCAGAGAAAUUAAAAGGUAUUGCUUUUAAUAGAAACAGGAUUAAGAACUAAAAAUGCAUAUAUAUAUAUGUUUACAAAUAGCUAUGAAAAAAAUUAUAUAGGUAUACAAGGAAUGCUGCCCCCUAAUGAUCAACUAAUCAUAUUACUAAUCAUACUAGGGUAGGGAGAGCUAUCUUGGAUUGCCAAAAAAUUGGUACAUCUUGGUGAAGAAUAUUUGAACCUAUGUUUUCAGAAAGUGAUAUUAUAAUUAUUGUACGGAUGAAGUCUGCCUGUUUUUGCCAGGAGAUAUUUGUUUGGAAUGUGAAUGUAAUGUGAAGUGUAAGUGUUUUUAUUAAUACAGGGGUGAAUAUUACAGGACCACUAUAGGCACCCAGACCACUUCAGCUUAAUGAAGUGGUCUGGGUGCCAGGUCCAUCUAGGAUUAACCCUUUCUGCUGUAAACAUAGCAGUUUCAGAGAAACUGCUAUUUUUUACUUUAGGGUUAAUCCAGCCUCUAGUGGCUGUCUCAUUGACAGCCGCUAGAGGCCCUUCAGCACUGUGAUUUUCACAGUGAGAAGACGCCAGCGUCCAUAGGAAAGCAUUGAGAAUGCGUUCCUUUGAGACUGUCUGAAUGCGCGCAUGCGCAUUAAGCCUAUGACGGGAAAGGAGGAGGAGAGUCCCCAGCGCUGGAAAAAAGGUAAGGGAUUAACUUCCUCCCCCCAGAGCCCGCUGGGAGGGGGGCACUGAGGGUGAGGGGGACCCAAGGACCCUACAGAGCCAGGAAAACGAGUAUGUUUUCCUGGCACUCUAGUGGUCCUUUAAUUAAUUAAGUGUUAAUGCAAUUAUUUAUUCAGUGGAUUGUCAGGUGUGUACUUACGUGAAGUGUGCCAGGUGUAUUGUUUAGGAGCGUGUGAAUGAAAAAGUGUAUUUUUGGGGAGUGUGUGAAUGCAGGAGUAUAUGUACCACUUUCCCCCUGCCUUGUCAUGUUUUUACCACUUCCCCUUGCCAAUAAACUUUCCACUUAAUAACUAUUUCUCUUUUUUUACUUUUUACUUCCCAUUUUGUGGAUAAGUGCAAGAUGGGUGUAUAAGACCAAAGUGCAGAGUACAGAAUAUUUGAUUGAUUCCUAACCUCAUCAUCUGCGGAAAGGGAUUUAGGAGUGAUUAUUUCAGAUGACUUAAAGGUAGGCAGACAAUGUAAUAGAGCAGCUGGAAAUGCUAGCAGAAUGCUUGGUUGUAUAGGGAGAGGUAUUAGCAGUAGAAAGAGGGAAGUGCUCAUGCCAUUGUACAGAACACUGGUGGGACCUCACUUGGAGUAUUGUACGCAGUACUGGAGAUGGUAUCUCCAGAAGGAUAUUGAUACUUUGGAAACAGUUCAGUGGAGGGCUACUAAACUGGUUCAUGGAUUGCAUGAUAAAACUUACCAGGAAAGGUUAAGGGAUCUUAACAUGUAUAGCUUGGAGGAAAGACGAGACAGGGGGGACAUUUAAAUACAUAAAGACAUUUAAAUACAUAAAGGGAAACAACACAGUAAAGGAGGAGACUAUAUUUAAAAGAAGAAAAACUUCCACAACAAGAGGACAUAGUCUUAAAUUAGAGGGGCAAAGGUUUAAAAAUAAUAUGAGGAUGUAUUUACUGAGAGGGUAGUGGAUGCAUGGAUUAGGCUUCCAGCUGAAGUGGUAGAGGUUAACACAGUGAGGGAGUUUAAGCAUGCGUGGGGUAGGCAUAAGGCUAUCCUAGAUAUAAGGUAAGGCCAGGGACUAAUGAAAGUAUUUAGAAAAUUGGGCAGACUAGAUGGACCGAAUGGUUCUUAUCUAUCGUCACCUUCUAUGUUUCUAUGUUGUCACUUGCUACUUCAAGUGUGAACUCUGUAUAUGAUCAUGAUGUCACUUUUUUCUGAAUAGCCUACAUUCUCUUCAUAUCUCAAGCCACACUCUCUAAAACAUUAACGCCUCUGCUUGUUGAUUGUCGUUUUUGAUGUUUGGAUACAGUAACAUCGAAAAUGGCAAUCUAUCAUAUACUAAUAAUUAGCAUAUUGCUGUAAAAUCUGAAAUUCAAAAAUAUCUUCCUGAUCCCUUUGCAAAUUAAGAGUACCUCUUCAAUAUGAUCAACAGUAAUCAUCAUCUCUGAUCCAGGGAAAGCAAAAAAAUGUUUUGUCCAUAUUCGAGCAUUUAGCAUAAACCUCAAAUAUGCAAGUAAACAUUCUGAUAAUCUAGUGAAUAUAAAACAUAGGAAACGGAUUUGCCUUUUUUUGUACAUUGGGGGAAAAAUGACACAAUACAUUUUCACUUCCUGUUAUUUACUAACGCUGCAUCCUGUUGAGUCAUUAAGUGCAGGAACUGUACUGUCUUGAAAUAGCAAAGUAAUUGCGAAUAUUUCACAUGCCAACAAUGUUCGUUAACAUAUUUAUGUGCCAAAAUAAUUUCUUAUGUGAGUAGCAUCUACUACAGACACAGAUUCAGUAUAGCUGCUAUGAUAUGGGGAACGGUUAACUCUUUUGCGGAUUGCGAUUAAUCAGUCAUCUUUCUUUACCAUACUUUGUUUAAUCGGUCAUCUUUCUUUACCAUACUUUUGUCAUCUUUCUUUACCAUACAUUGGUGUAUUGGUUUUCCUGGUUAGAGGCAGACUACAAAAAUCUCAAGAAUUUUAGGUCUUUUUGUAUAUACCUAAUUGUUGAUCUAAGUUGGCCUGGAAUUUUAAUUCUUGUUUCAUCUUAAUCUACCUUUCGUGCUGCUUCACAUUUGUAAUAUAAAAGUAGGUCACGCAGACUAGAGUGCCAGAGAUGGGAAUAUUCCUCUGGUGAACAGUUCACUGCCCUAUUUUCCUGGACGGCAACAUUCAGAAUGAGACUCGUCUUCAUUGGCACUAAACGAAUGCCAUAGGCACUCUGUUGCAGAAAGAUUCAUGAUAAGUGGAAGUGAAAUCUCAUAUGAAUUAUUUAUGCCAAGUGCAACAGUUAACUCUAUAUUUUGCAAAGUUGUAAUGGUCAACAUAAGCUGAAAAUGAAAUAUAUACUCUGUAACACAUAAUGUUAUUCUUAUGCGUCUCUUCACUAAAGGCCAAAGUGUCUCGCUAGCGCUCUUGAAGUCAUAAUUUUGUAAUAUGAUAAAUAUGCUUUGGGAUAAAGAGUUUACAUUCCCAAUAAAUGUGUUCGAUAUAAUUAAAACUCAAGAAGCAUGAAUCAAACUUGAAAUAGGUGCAAAUACAAGAAAAUAAAUCAGCUCAAUGACUCAAAAAAGGCAGGUGGAAAUACGUGCACAAUUGCACAUGGAAUGUUUUGUCAUCUCAAAUGCUUAAGUUGUGAAACGUGUUAAAUGUUAUUGUGCACAGCUGCUCCCAUGAACCAUGCUGUGAUAUAUUAACAAACAGGAUAAAAUGUGCAGGCAUCACAUUAUGUGGUUUUAUGCUAAUAUCAUGAGUGCAUCAAUGUCAUGGAACAGACCAAGAAAUGUGACCUCAGAUGAUCGCAAAAUCCAGCCUGACCGUUUGUCAUAUUUAUCAACGAUGUGCAGUUAACAUGCAAUGUGCCUGCCCUUAAAGGUAAUGAAGGAGUGCUAACUCUGUUCUGUAAGUACUAGGAGUGACAAAUGCUCCUUCCCACGAACAUUUGCUACAAACUCCUGGAGGAGUGUGGAAGCUGGCCUCCUGCCCACCGACUAUGGUCCAGGUCGGAGACCCCAUUCAGGAGUUACCCUGCCCAGCCGUCAUUAGCAGCUUUCCCUCGGUGCCCCUGCUCCUGGUUCAACACUUUCCCUUCAUUCAAAUGGAAUAAACGCUAGCUACCAGGCAGCCGUCUGCAUGAACCAAACCACGAAUGGUCCUCAGCGGUACUUAGCCGCAACCGCUAUGGAACUAAUUUUGGCAUGAGGACUUGUGGUUUCCCGGUCACCUCAGCGGUACUUAGCCAUGAAUGUUAUGGAACUGUUUUUGGCAUUAGGUGACCUUGCGGUUCCCAUACAACUUUGUCCUGGGUUUUGAACCACUUUUCAACCCACCAGGAGAGCGCUUUUGGGAAGGAAGCUGUCUGAGACAAAGGGGAACAAAUGUGCUCUGAGAGCCAGGAGGAGCACCCCGUAUUGCUCUCGAAAGUUGCAAAAGCACCAAACGACUUGGAACAAUUUUGGGCUAGGACCACGUGUGCAGCCCACGUGGCAUUUCUCCUACACUGCAUGGAUCUAAGCGCUUUUUGGACAACUUGGGCGCUUAGAUCAGGGUUAUUUGGGGAUGUAGGACAUGUGGGGUUAAUGUUUGUUCUUAUUAUGCUUGGGGUACUUUUAUGUUUUUAUGUUUUGUGUUGGGCUCUCUGUUCCUGGGAGAUAAUUAGCUUGCCGGUCUUUAACUCAAUUAUUUCCCAGGCCCAGAGAUUCCUGGGAGGGGCUUGCAUUGUAUUGUUUUGAGACCUGCUAUUGCGGUCUGUGCAUAAAAGUUUGGCUCAUUAAAGUCAGUUGUACUCCCAGAACUAUGUGUCGUCUAGUUACUGGGUGGGGAAAGGACUAAUCACUGCUCAGCAUUUUGUUCCAGCUCGUGGAGGAUUCAGCGGGUUAAGUCCUUGUAAGGACUAGAGCUCCCAGGACUGUGUGUUGUCCAGUCUCUGGGAGGGAAUAGAGCUAGUCCUGUAUCCAGUUCCAGGACGGAGAAGCAGCCAGGAGGACCCCAGUCAAGCCAUGGCAACUGGGGUAGAAGUGCAGAGGUUUUCCCCGGUUCCAGCUAGUAAACGAUCUUCGGUGGAGGUGCCCAGCCGGGGUACAGGGAGCUCUGCUACACUAUUCUAUAAGAUUAAUAGGUUAAAAGAGAAUAUUCAAUUCCCGGGAUAUAUAAUAUCAUAUAUACUUAUUCUGAUACUGAAAAAAAUAUGGAUUUGUUAAGUGUGAAAAAUAUGAAUAACUUAGAGAAUUUAUCACUUCUAAACUGCAAAUGGGUGCCUCCAUCUUAGCUCCCUGUUAAUCAUAGUUAUAAGCUCUGUCCUUUGCACCAAAAGAAAACAUACAGAGAAGCAGAAAAAUUAAACAAUGUCUCAAUUUUUCCUCCUCAUUUUCAGUCUUUGAAAAGAAUACAGAGCAUCUCUUGAAGAAGGUUAACACAAGUUCUAAGUGAUUUUCAAGGUUCCACUUAACAGUGACAGUUUUGUUUAGAUGAAACAUGUUUAUUUAAUUAACUGAAUUCGACUAGAAGUUUUUAAAUUUUUUAUUUUCUGAUUAUGCAAUGAAUAACCACUUGAUUCCCAUUUAUUUUAGAAUGUGGUUGCAGUUAUACCAGGAGAACAGAAGAAUAUCUGGUAUGUGUGCUAAACACAGCCCAAAUUUCCAAGGUUGAAAAAAAUCUCCAGUUUAUGCUGAAUUUUCUAUCCCAAUUUUUGACAGUAGCCCACUCACAAAACUCCCUGUAUAAUGAAUAAACCUCUAGGUUUGUGAGCACAUUCUGGAGAGUCUGAAGAACUAUUUCUUGAGAAUACAAGGUUUGUAGCUGCAGGCAUGCAUCAAACUAGGGUUUCAUUCUUAAUCCUCAGGAAAGGACUUAAUUCAAAGAGAAAACUACUGUCUCAAUACACUCUGAUAGCUCUAGUUAUUGUGAUGGCUCUAUCCAUCAUUUAUUACAAACUCACCAUAUGAACAUGGACAUUAAAUUAUUUUCUAUUGCAAUAAUUCAAUUGACUAUGGUUCCUUAUAGUAAAGAAACAAGCAAGGGAUUACACAAAUCCAUUGCUUCAUAACCUGAAUAUACCAAUGUGCACAUCAAAUGUUUUUCUUUUUAUAAAAAAACAAAAUAUUUAUUCAAUACCAAAUCAUAUGGUAUACAUGUUUUAAUAAAAAAAACCUAAAUUAAAAUAAAUAAAAAUACAUUUAGAGGAUAAAAACAAUCUUUAUUGUAAUAUACCACUAUAUCUAGUGUGUGUUGUGUAUUACAAGAAAGAUUGUUUUCACAAACCAAAUUUAUUUUAAUUUAUAUUAAUUAUUUUUAUUUUAUCCUGCAUUUAUCCUAAGUAAACUCUUCAUGGCCUACAUAUAUCCUGGGUGGGGAUAAUACCACCCAUGCUGAUAUCACUGAAAAUAUGGUGCUCUUAAACGCAUAAGUAGAUUUAAUUCUGAAUUUACGCUAUUAUUACCAUGUGAGCACUAUAUUUGUUAUAUUAAUUUCAUAUGCACUGUGAAUAUCUAAAACGGAUGUCUUUAGACAUAUCUGGGAGCGGGGAUUAUACCGCUCAGAGCCUUGUGUAAGAGCUGAUUGGAGGCUCUCUCCUUGUGAGUGUAUUUCAUCUUUACAUAAUCUAUGACAUUGUAUAUAUUGGAUUACACUAUUUUUGAUUUCUGUUGUUUAUAUUUCAUAUGAGACAUCAUAUUGACUAAAGAUCUGACCACUUAUUCAUCAAGGAGGAUAAUACAUUGACCUCCAAAGUACUACUUCCAGCAGGUUUCAUAUUGUUACCUCAAAGACUUUCUCUUCGGAACAUUCAUUAUAUUCCAUUUUGAGUUAUCUGACUCAAGUGUACAAAUUGGCAAUACUGUAUGUCUAUAUAUAUGCAGACAGAGGUCAAUACCUUAUUUGAAAGAGGAGCACAGGCAGAGGGGUCAGUAGUCUUCUCCAUAAUAUGGAUACCAAAUAGUCAAAUAUGAGUGUAUAUAUUGGCAAUACUGUAUGUCUAUUGGCAAUACUGUAUGUCUAUAUAUGUAUAUAUAUAUAUAUAGACAUACAGUCUAUAUAUAGACAUACAGUAUUGCCAAUUUGUACACUUGAGUCAGAUAUAUAUAUAUAUAUAUAUAUAUAUAUAUAUAUACACUCAUAUUUGACUAUUUGGUAUCCAUAUUAAUAUAUGGAGAAGAAUACUGACCCCUCUGCCUGUACUCCUCUUUCAAAGAAGGUAUUGACCUCUGUCUGCAUUCCUCUUUCCAGGAAGGUAUUGACCCCUCUGCCUGCUUUCCUAUUUCCUGAAAGGUAUCAACCCUUCUGCCUGCGUUCCUCUUUUAAGGAAGGUACCGACUCCUCUGCCUGCGUUCCUCUUUCCAAGAAGGUAUCGAUCCCUGUGCCUGUGUUCUUCUUUCCAGGAAGCAGUGGUGUAUUUAGGAUUUGUGCUGUCCUAGGCAGGACGGUGCUCGGUCCCCCCCCCCCGAUUUAAAUUUUACCCACCCCUUCCAGUCAAGGCCGCACUUUGACUGACAGACUCACACAUUCACUGAUAGAUGCAUACACUCAUUGACUCAUUGACAGACAAACACUCUCAUAUACGCUGACAAACAAUGACAAACACACACACACUCACUGGUUUGAAACCCUGAUAGACAGACACACUAUUACUCGGACACACACUGACAGGCGCCCACUCUCACUGACAGAUACACACACACACACACUUAGACACACUUACACACACACACACAUACAUACAAACACACUCAUAGACACUCACACUCAUAGACACACACACACAUUCACUCACAGACACAGAUAUACACAUUCAUUCACUCACACACACACGCACACACACAGACAUUUCCCCCAACACACAAAUUAUUAUUAUUAUUUUUUUAUUUUAAAGCCACCCAGCCUCCCUGGAAGAGCUGGAGUGGAUUACUUACCUGUCAAGUAGGGCUGCUGGGCAGACAGGCAGGGGGCGGAAAGGCAGAGAAGGCGGCGAAUGAGCUUUAAUCUUCCUGCUCAACUCUCUUGCGCCGCUUAGUGAUGCCAGGAGCCGGUCUGACGUCAUAUUCUGGCUCCCGGCUUCAUCAAGCAGCGCGCGAGGGAGCUGGGCAGGAAGAGCUCAGGUGAGUAUGCUCCCUCGCUGCCCGCCACCAGCCUGGGGGGGGGGGGUUCAAAAGUGGUGAGCCCCCAGGACAUAAGGCAAGCAAGGGAUCUGCCUGGGCAUUUGGGGGCGGCUUUUUUGGCCGCCCCCUGCAAAGUGCCAUCCAAGGCAGAUGCCUUGUUUGCUUUGUGUAAGAUACAUCUCUUUCCAGAAAGGUAUCGUCCCCUGUGCCUGCGUUCCUCUUUCCAUCUUUCAUCUUAUUUGUGAUUUACAAAAUACUAGCUUCAAGAAACUCAUCUCUGAGAUGAAUCUUCCUAUUCUCUAGUGCCAGGGAUAAUUACUUUAAUAAAUAGGAUUUUUGGGACUCCUGCCUACUACCAUAAUGGAAAAUCUAAUCUGCGGUAGUGAUUUGCUGGGGUACAGAUGCACUGUGUUAAUGACAUAGAUCAUAAGCAUAUGGCAAAACACCUUCGGACCAAAUGGUCCAGAAUACUCUGACCUGCAAUUAAUUUUUCUGGCAGGGAGCAGACCGGCUCAGCCCACACAUUUCAGGCAAACUUAAAUACUCCCAAAAGAUGCAGGAGUUCGAGGCAUCCUGUUGAGCUUUAAUAUACAUAUACUCUGAAACGGCAAAUCCUUCCUAGCAAGAAUUACAUAUCUUGAAUAGAAACAUGAAUAUAGGUCAUCAGCAUUUUGUCUGAAAUCAGAGAUGAUUGAGCUGCGUACAUGCAUCUAUUCUCCAAAUUAUUUUGUGGGCAGAACAGCUUAAGUUCAGAAUGUUCACAUGUUGAACAGCAUUUUGCUCCCCUCACCCUCUUCCACUAGUUCCACAGAGCACACAAAGAUAUUUAUUAAUAAUUGUAAUAUAGCCAGACCAGAAUACAUAUUAGAUUUUCACUUUUAACUAUUUAUUUGAGAUAUAUAUAUAUAUUUAUAUAUAUAUAUGAAACAAGAUCUUGUGUGAGAUGAUAUAUAUCUAUAUCUAAAAGUGGUUCUUUUCUCAGUGUCUAAGAUUUAAAUAAAUUCUAUUUAUUUUAUGGUUUUAUAUUGUGUUUGUCUUUCUUUCUGUCUGUCUGUCAAUUUGUUUGUCUAUCAAUCUGUCUGUCCGUCGUGUGUCUGUCUGUCUGUAUAUCCAUCCCAGCGCUAACUAAGUGCUACCAAAUGCAAUACUUGGCAUUGCAAUAAGAGCUCUGUGUGGGCAUUUGAGUGCACAAUUGUGUAGCCUUCGGUACUGGUAAUUACCUUGGGUAUACAGGUUUUGCUACUCUAUUGCACCUCUAGGAAAAAAAAUAGGUCCGGCCUCAGCAAGAAAGGGAUAUAAGCUAAAAUUGAUGUUGACAGCCAGAAAAAGGAGGGUUAAAUCCAGAGAAAGGUAUGGAGCUAGAUGGAAUGUGGUGCAAGGGGAAGGUUAAAUAUGUCAGCGAGGGAUAGAAAUAUAUAGCGGUAUAGGAGGAAAUAUGAGCUGAAGGGCUAUGUAGGUAUAAUAAUAAUGUAAUUAUAGGAGGAAAUAAUAUUGUCUGGCGAAAAAAUAACAAUAAGGAAGGAUAAAAGCAUAUAACAAAUACAUAAUGGUACGUGCCAGUAACAAUACUGAUAUAUUAAAAAUAUUAAAGACACACACAAAGAUACAUAGAGAAAAACACUGCUAGACACACACAUUUCAAGACAUACACUGCUGUACACAGAUACUCAUUGCCAUACACACAGACACAUUGCUAAACCCAUACACUGCCACACACUGCUACACACAGAGAAAUAAUUGUGUAGUUCAGUGUAUUUUAGACACCCUACUGUUUAUACAAGCCCCUGAGGUCCAGUGAGAGCAGGCUGAUGCAGGUUACAGUGUUCCUUCUGCCCCUAACAUGACUCUGUUUGUGCUAGGAGGACGUGACCUGUAUUCACCUCUAACUGGUCCCAGCAAUGCUGAAUGAAGUAGCUGCCGAAUCCAAGUUGUCCUGUCAGAGACACGGUCCAGUGCAACUUGUCAACACUGGUUUACCUCCCAUCACAGAAUUAAAAGGCCAAAAGCAGGUGCGGUGCUCAACUGGGCCCCGGAACAGAGUAAAGACUUUCAUACCCUGAUGGGGGAACUGGGCUAGCAUAUGGCAUAAUGGGAAAUAUAAUCCAGACAACAGUUGUGGUGCAGUUUGGCACCUCUAGAGUUAAAUAAUAUGUGGCGGAACAAGGAGAUACAGCAUGAAGUUUAACCCCUUAGGGACAAAUGAUGGAAAUAUUCCGUCAUGAUUCCCUUUUAUUCCAGAAGUUGUGUCCUUAAGGGGUUAAGAUGUGAGUCAGUGAAAAAAAUGGGCAUUGGUGUGAGAUUUUGUAAAAAAAAAUACGAAAUGAAGAGAGUAACGAUUAAAGUAAAAAUAUUCAAAAUUUAGCAGGGAUGUUCAGAAUGGCAAGGUAGUAAUAUUCCAGGGAGGCAAGGGAGGAACCUACGAAAUAUGAGUGGGGAGCAGAAAGGCUUUUCAUUCUGUCCGACACUGUCCUAGUGAAGACAGUAGGUUUUAAAUCAGAGACAAAAAUGUCUCUUAAGUUCACUACGACAAGUUACGUAUUACCGGAAUGUCAAUUCCCACUUUGUUUUUUUUUUUGUACAAAGUCCCAUACUAACCUGCCCUAUAAAUUAGAGAAAUCAAAGAGGAGAUUAAUUUGUAAACAACUGCUGAAAGCAAUUCUGCAUCUCACCGUCUCAGCUCAACGUUCUGACUCGCUCUGCAUUGCAGUCAGCUAUUGCCGUGGUUGGAGGUGGCACAGAAAGGUGAAGAUACAAACGGUGCUCCCUUAACUCUGUUGUAAGAGCCUAUCAAACUUUGAAAGUUGCAGAACAGGCUGUUAAUUAAUAUCAGAGCUCGCAGGAAAGAGACAGAGAGAGGCAGAGAUUGGGGAUGCUAACUUUUUUCCCAGUGUUAUGCAGAGAGUCAGUGGAAAGCCGUAUCGCUAGGUAACCAACAUGUAGCUCACUGUUCUGAAGAUUAACUCCAUUAAGGCUUUACUAGACAUAUAUCAACUAUAAACAAAUUGUUUCUGUUUUAGUAAUGCAUCCAUUUAUGUAAGUAUUAUCAUUAGCACCGACAGAGACAUUAUGUUUAUAAAAGUAAACAAUAAUAAUCAUUGCCAAGUACUGUAUUGGUAAAGUAAUAUCGUUGUAAAUAUAUUAUCCAAUUUACAAGAUAAAACUAAAUCGAUAUAUCUGUUGCGGAAGGUGAACUUCUGCUUUAGAUAUAAUAGAAGAGGAUGCUGGACUCUUACCCGGGGGACUCCUGCUGUGCUCUAGUGGUUAUGGUUUCUGGUCUGACGCCUUAAUGAAUAAAAACCAAUUUACGUCAUAGAGGUAAUGGUUUUUUCUUCAAAUUAUGGCCUCGAUUUAAAAUUUCUGGACGAGAUUUUCAAAUGAUUUAAUAUUUCUGGGGUAAUUUUCAAAUAUAUAUUUUUUUCAAAAUAUGAAAUUAUCAAAAAUAUAUCACAUAUAGAAAAUAUAUCAAUAGAUAAAAAUGUUACAUAAUUUGAUAAGCUUAUCCAAAAGUCUUAAAUUGAAGCAUAUAAUUGUAUAGCAUAGUAUCGUAAGGCCUUUGACAAGGCUUAAUGAUCUCCUUAGUAUACUGAGUAAUAAGAAUGUUUUCCUUGCACAUACCUGAUCUAUAAUACAUGAAUUUGACACAUACGCAUACUAACUUGCAUAUAUAAAGGUAUUUGGGGACAGAGAACUUGCAUUUGUAGUGCUGUUGGCCAAAACAGACGUAGGAAGUAGCAGCAGAGCAAUAGGGAGAAGUAAGUUUGGGGAUCACCUAGAACCACAGCAGUUGUAAAAGCCUACAGGUAAGAAAAAAAAAACAUAAAAAAAAUUAAACAACCUUAUCCUCAAUCCCGUAUGUCUAUAUAGAAGAACAAAUAAAAAUGAAAGAAUGAAUGGAACUGUGAAGGUCAGAUUUAAAAAAAAGAAUAAUAAUAACUCAGAGUAGACUGGGAAAAGCAAGUCCACUGGAAGAGAAUGGAAGCUAGUCUAAUGUAUAAGCUUAUAUAAUGUAUACGAUUAUAUAAAAGUAGGGUUUUAGUGCAUUUAUGUCUGCCAUCAAAUUUCCAUCACUGCGCUCAAGCAACUAGUCAAGAAAUGUCUCCAGGCAGGUUUCAUCUUUUCAGACUCUUGAAUACUCGUGUAAUGGCAUUGUAUGUGAAAGAAUGGAGAUUAUGAAAUGCAGUAUCAUUAGCUAUAGCUUGAGAGGAGUUUUAAGUCUCUGUGCUAUUGUGAUAAUGGGCAGUGUGUACAAUGGCUGCGUUAUCACUUGCAGUGCAUAAUGUGAUGCUGACAUUACCCUCAAUCUCUCAAUUACUUUGUAUAGGCUGAGGAUUUCAUUGUGUGUGGCAAUACUAAGUAAACAGUUUGGUUGCACGGCAAUCUUCCAACAGCUAAUGUGUGUCAAUGUAAGAGGCCAAUGUCAUUUUAGGAUUGCUUCUAAAGAACAUAUAUCUAAAGAUGAAGUGCUUUCUCUCCCAAUAUUAUACAGUCAUGUAGCUUUUCCCUGUAGUGUUUCCUUCCUGUGCGUAUAUAACUUUACAGGCUUAGUAAAAACAUUGCCUUUGUAUAGCUUUGACGUCAUUCAUUCCUCAGAAGGAACGCAAUAUUGGUGGUGCUUGCAUAUCCAGAGUCAACGAUGUCACUGUGAAGAAGAAGGCUGCCAGAGAUACCAGACAUUGAUCUCGAGCAUGGUUUUGUCAGGGACCGAUGCCAUUGGCUUGGAGACCCAUUCUUCAACUGGAAAAUUAUCUCUGUGACCCUCUGGCCAAGUACAAUACAAGCGGCAUUAAAAUACACUUGGGAAAUACAUGAAUCUUUACCUCUUUCUGCCAGUUGAUUAACCCAGUGACAUAUGGAACUAAUUUUGGGUGUGAUCGGAGGUUAAGAAAGACAGGAUUAGAGAGGCAAUAACGCUCCAACACAACAAUUUAAUAUAGACAAUUAUUUGAAUUAAAUUGAAUGAGAUUUAUACACACAUCUUUGGAAAAUGCUAGUUCUUCUCAUGUUUAAUUUUAAAGAAAACUCGAGUUAAUUAAUUCUUCUCCCUCUCUCUCCAUAUAUCCUAUCUGUCAAUAUUGGUAUUUGUCCACCUUCCAGAAUGGAUGUGGAAAGUAGGCAGUAAUAGUUGGCAGAGUGGCUUGAGCAUAUUCCAGGUGGGACAUCAGGGAUCUCUGUUCAGAAGAGUACAGUUCUAGGGCACUGCUAGAACUCUCUGUAGUGGACCCAAGAAUAAGGAAUACACAAAAAUGCUACCAAGAUAGGUAAGAAAAGCAUAUACAUUCUGGUUAUUCUGGUUAUACCUUUUACAUGUAGUUAAUAAAAAAAAAUAUAUUUAUGUAUUUAAGAGAUAUGCAUAUGCAGUGACUAAAGAAUAUGAAUGACAGAAGUAUAUGUGAGAAAAUGGCUUAGCCUUGGUGGAUUGUGCAAGGGAUGUGCAUUUUGUUAAUGAUGGUCUUUCAGCUGUUCAGUAAAUAGUUCCCUAAUUUGGCAUCCUUAUGUGGGAUUAUCUUGUUUAAAAAGAGCAAAAUAGGGAGGUAUCUGCUGAACAGAUUCAUAGGGAAUAAUGGGUGUCUGAAUUUCAGAGGGUCGCAACACAUUUCAGAAUCUAAGUUUGUUCUGAAUUGAUCAUUUCCAAAUUUUAGACUAACCAAAAUCUGAAAAUUAACAAAUUAAAAUGAAAUAAAAUACAUUUUUCAAAACAAGGCUGUAUAUGAAGUUGAAAGUCAAUGACAUGUAAUUCUCUAUCCUUAACCCUCUAGAGUUCCCUAAAAGGCUGAUCCUCAGAUGUAGAAAUACAAUUCUCCUGAUGCUUUGCCAGCCGUUAGAAAGGCAAAUAAUCAUGGAAACUGUAGUUUUAAAAUAUUUGGGGGUCUACCAUUCGGGCAACCCUGCUCUAAGCUAUUUUAUGAGUGUUCUAGCAAAGAUCCAGUUACAUAAAUAAGCUAAAGAGCCUUUCUUCCACUGCACACACCUGUGGGAAUCAAUAUAAAAUUUAAUUUUCCUAACUGUUCCAGUGCCAUGCUAAUCACAAAAAUUGGAUUGGAGAGCACAUAGUGAAACAAUUCCACUGGCUCAAGUGUUCAUCUGUCAUGACUGUUUUACAAAGCCAUGAUACUCAUGAAUACACCAUCAAUCUGAAUACACCAUCAUUCCAUCUCAGCUUUUCUCACCAUCACACACACAGAUCAUGCUGCAAGGCAGGUGGCAUGAAAGUCAGGCAGUGAAGCUUUGUGCGUGAUCAUCUUCCCCUGGCAGCCGCUCUAAUAUAUGUUGCUAAGUAGGUCUGCACUUUAAAAUCUGUGCUUGAUAAGCUGUUUUAUGCAGAACAGAAACAUUAAUUAUAUACUAGACUCAAAACUCCCCACAUCUUCAAGAAUUCUUUUUAGAGAGCCUGCUCUGAACUUGUUUUUUUUGUCCUAGCUAUUUAUGAGCAAAACAAGUGAAAAUCAGCGAAGUAGCAGAUCUUUGUUCCGUGACAAUAGCAGAGCGGAGCAGACAGGCUGCUUAUGUUAAUGUUUGCAUCAAGGGUCUGAUUGCUAUCUGUGCAAGACUUGGGUGCAUUAAUCUCCUGUGGCUGCACAGUUCACUUGGUCAAGAGCAGGGAAAACGGCUUCAAAUGAGAAUAUCAAUGCACCAGCUCUAUUCUGACUUCAUUAAAAUAUACAUCUGGAUUUUCAGUCCUAGAAUAAUACAGAAAAAGAUAAACCCAUUAUGCUCCAUCUUUAACUUUGUCAAUUCAACAACCCAACUUUACUUAUGCGCUGUAUUUUUCUAGCGUUACUGUUUAUUUAUAUGGAAAUGCUGUAGAGUUAAACACAUGGGCAUAUUUACUAAACAUCAAACUGUAGUAAAUUGGAAACUUAAAGGACCACUAUAGUGCCAGGAAAACAAACUUGUUUUCCUGGCACUAUAGUGCCCUGAGGGUGCCCCCACCCUUAGGGUCCCACUCCAGCCAGGCUGUAGGGGGAGGAAGGGGGUUAAACACUAACCUUCUCCAGCGCCGGGCUCCUUCGGCGCUGGGGACACUCCUCCCUCUUCUGAUGUCAUCGGCUGAAUGCGCAUGCGCGGCAAGAGCCGCGCCCGCAUUCAGCCAGUCCAUAGGAAAGCAUUCUCAAUGCUUUCCUAUGGACGCUGGUGUCUUCUCACUGUGAAAAUCACAGUGAGAAGCGCGGAAGCACCUCUAGCGCCUGUCAAUGAGACAGCCACUAGAGGCUGGAUUAACCCAUAGGUAAACAUAGCAGUUUCUCUGAAUCUGCUAUGUUUACAGCAGGCAGGGAUAAUCCUAGAUGGACCUGGCACCCAGACCACUUCAUUGAGCUGAAGUGGUCUGGGUGCCUAUAGUGGUCCUUUAAAUGGACACUGUAGACAAUAUAACCAUUUCACUGCAUUGAAUUGGUUAUAGUGCCUGAAGUCCCCUGAUCAAUUUUUGAGCAGUUUAACACUGAGAGUCUCUGACUUCCCAUAGUGUGGUCCUUGCUGGAGGUUUGGCUAAGUCAUAGAUUACAAACUUCCUUCUAGCCAUACCGAUUCAUACCAGCAAUGGGCACUGUGAUAGGCUUAAAGUAGUCAGCUGACACUCUCAGCCAAUCACAGAUGCACACUGCUUUUCAGGCGAAUGUUUUCUCGUUAGCCCAAGCAGCACCAGAAGGAAUGCACUGCUGCGGGCUCUUGUUUAACAUUUAAACAUUAAAAGUGGUUUAAUGCUGAGUAGAAAGACUGUGCUAGGGGACUCAACACACUACACAGUGCCUUUAAUCUCCCUUUAAGAAACAAUAGCUUAUAGGAAAAUAUUCUCAGGGCUAUUAAGCCUAAGUUUUGCAAUUUGAUUUUCAAUUCACUGCAUUUAGUUGAUAAGCCUCAUUGUGUAAUUGGUAUAUGUAUUUUGAUAGGCAGAAUGUUAGAUGCUAAAGGACCACUAUAGUGCCAGGAAAACAAACUUGUUUUCCUGGCACUAUAGGGUCUUUAGGUUCCCCCCCCCCAAGGGUCCCACUCCCACUGGGCUGAAGGGGGCUGAAGGGGUUAAAGAAUUCAAACCGCCCAUAGGAAAGCAUUUCUUAAUGCUUUCCUAUGGACGUCCAGCGUGUUCUCACUGUGAUUUUCACAGUGAGAAGCGCGGAAGCGCAGAAGAGCCUCUAGUGGCUGUCAGUGAGACAGCCACGAGUGGAUGGAUUAACCCUCAGUGAAACAUAGCAGUUUCUCUGAAACUGCUAUGUUUUCAGCUGCAGGGUUAACACUAGAGGGACCUGGCACCCAGACGACUUCAUUGAGCUGAUGUGGUCUGGGUGCCUAUAGUGGUCCUUUAAGGGCCCUGCUGCAAGUGUACAUUCUAAGGGAUAACAGUUAAUACUUAAUAAUGUACAAUGGGCAUAAAAAGCAAAUAUAAUUAUUCACUAAACAGUCCAUUGAAGUAGAUUUUGAAGAAAAAAAAAAACAAUUGCAGUUGUCAGCUAUGUCACAGCUCUUUUUUUUAAACUUAAAUGUUGCAAUCACUUUUCAAUCCACUAUAAUUCACUGCUUGAUAAAUAAACUAUAAUGUAAUGGUGGUCAUAAGCAAUGUGUGGAAGACCUGUUCACAUGAGUUUAAAAGUAAGACGAUUCUAGGAUAUAUCAAUUAUUGCUUCUGAUUUUAGAUUGCAGGCACGGAUCUCACAUUCUACUGUAUAUGUUUGUAAUUGGCAGUCUAACUAUGGUUUGCUAUUAAAUACACUAUGCAAUGUAUCCGGUGUUGCUAAGUUAGUUACCACUAUAAAAAUAUAUUAUAAUAAUGACAAAAUGUGGACAUCAGUCUGCAGCGUGAACACAUACCCUUCAUUGGACACUGUUUUUAGGAAAGUGGUAAAUGAGAUAACUUGUGGUUAAGAUAAUUCUAGGCAUAUAGGUGAUAAUGUUUCACUGCCUGAGAGUGGCUUAUACUCAGAUAUUACUUUACUCAUCUGCCCUCUACUCCCUUACUUUCAAUGUACUCCUCCUACUGAAACUACCAAAACCAGCCUACUCAUCAACCUGUUGCAAUAGACAGAUAAUCAUGCUAAUUUAGUUAAUUUAGCAAGAUGAUAAUUAAAAAAAAAAUAGAGGUGCACUAAAUAAAAAAUGUCUGCUUGGUCUUAACAUUGUGACCGCUAAGGCUGAAAUUUAUUGUAUAGCACAUCAUACAUUCCUUUGGAUCAAGGUUAAAUGGAUACUCUAAACACCAAAACAACUUUAGCUUCCUUAAGAGGUUUUGGUGUUUAGAUCGUGCUAUGCAGUCUCAUUGCUUAAUUCACUGAAAUGUUAUUAUUAUUAUUAUUACGAAAGGCCUUUUCAAACAAGCUUACAAUCUAUGAUGAUUUCAUGCAGGUAGGCAGAUGUAUAUCGUUAGGUGUUUUUCCCAAGGACGCUUACUGGUAAGGUGAUCUGACUAAAAUUAAAACCUGGAUUUCCCAGUUCUCAAAUAGGGACAAUACCACUGCCCCAACCAGGUGAAAUGCAUGGAUUGUUUAUGCAGCCCUAGCCACAACUCCCCAUAUGAGACUCACACUGCCUCCCUAUACAUAUUCUGAAAAGGAGCUCAAAUUUUUACUUCUUUUUUGUACAGUGUGCAAAAUAAAGUUAUUUGGAUUUUAGUUAGUUAAUUUAGAAUUUCUUAUCUAUUUAAAAAAAGUUUUUUUCUUAGAGCAUUAGUACAAGUAUGCAUCCCCAUGAGUAAAAAUUACAUGACAUCUUUGACGUGUUUGAAAUGUUGUAUAAAACAAAUGGUAACAAUCCCAGUACAAUCAAUCUGAAUUCCAGGUUAUAACAAUACAAAAUUUGUUUUGAAUGUUUUGCCUAGCAAUGUAUGUUACAUUUCAUAACAUGUCUGUAAUACUAUCAGGGGAAUCUCAAAUGUAACAUGUUCAACAAUAUUAGAGUACGUGCUGUAAUUUAAAGCUUUUUCCCAGUUUUGAAACCAUUAGGAGAACGUGAUAAAAACCUUAAGAACAUAGAAACAAACAAACAAAAAAAAAGAUUUAUUGAGUUAAAGGCAUGGGCUUUUUUACAUUUAUAAUAAUAAAAUAAAUAAAAAUAUAUUUCAAAAAAGCUCUUAAUUUCAAGAGGGAUAAGCAUAUUGUUUUUUAAAUAAAUACUUUUGCGGCCAAAUGAACCAAUUGAUGCCUGGUACAUAGCAAUACUUUUGUCUAAUUCUUCUUGAGCACUUGAGUCAAGUAGAAAGAAUCUAUUACAAUUUUCAUUGUGAUUCAAGUGGGCUGACUUGUACAGUUGAGACACUUAAAAAGACACUUACAAUAUGUUCAUGUAAUAAUAUAAUUUGCCACACAUAUGCCCAAGGUCACAGGAGUGAAGUAGGUGGGGUAGGAAAAUGCCAGCCUCUCAUUGCACACACAGAUCCAAUCUGCUGCAUGAAUGCAAAUGUAAGCACAAAGUAAGCCCAAGAUGGUAAAAUGUCAUGCGGUAUCUUCCACUAACCACAAAGACAAGUUAAAAUGCUUAUUGAUAUUGAAAAGACAUAAACAGAAGCGUGUUUGUGUUUCGUGUGGUUUGGAACAUUUAAGCACUUGGAGAAGAGAUUUUAAGGGGGUAGUUAACCAAUUUAAUUAAAUCAUAGUGAAGGGAAAAUGUGACUUCUCUGGGAUUUAUUCCAUUGAAUAAAACAUUGAAAAUCACUAACUAUUUUUCUUCAUGGGAUAUUCUGUUUUCUUUUACAUGUAAAUGAAAGAUUUGGCAAAAUAUAUCACAAUCCAAUUAAGACAACGUAAAGCAGUGCAAACAAGGGCUAAUAGAAACAUUGUUUAAUUUCUCCUGUUAUCUGUAUGCUUUGUCUAUGCUGACUGCUAGGUGCAAAUGACAGAUCAUAAAGAUAUGACGGACUUGGAGCUAAAAUGGAGGCACCCAGUUGCAUGAUAAAGAGGUGUGGAAUUCCGUGUUUUCUUUUAUUUUUCACACAUCACAAAUACACGUAUAUGUUAAAAAUAUGGAUUAGACCUUCAGAAAGACUAUUUUUGUAGGUUGCUGGACUUUUCUUAUGUUUUAGUCACCCUGUACCCAUUAUAAGUGCAGGGUGUGUGUAAUGUAAUCGUUUAGUAUUAAAUGUUAGUGUGCUCUCCUGUAUUGCUAUAGCUUGCAAUCAACUAGGUGGAUUGGGCUGUGGAGCCUGUACAGCGCCACCUGUUGGUUGCAAGGAUCUAGCAACGGUGCAUGCACUAACUGAAUAGCAAGGAUGACUAAUUUGCAUAUUCAGGUAGAUUUGCAUAUUGCUAUUUCUGCAAGCAGGAGAGGGGUUUUGUGUUAUUUAUUGCCUUUUCCACCCCUUUAUAAGUAUGUCAUUAUGUUUUUAUAAGUUCCUGUAUGUUGUCUAAUGUGAUUUGAGUGUUUGUAUUUUUAUUGAGUUAUCACAGUAAGUUUAAUGUAAUCAUCAUAAGGGCUAGUCCCAAGAAAAAGUACACAAGUUCCAAAAGGAACUAUGGGCUAGUCCCAAGAAUAACAAAGUUUUGCAUGUCUGUUCCUUUUGGAACUUGUGUACUGUGGGGAUUUGUAGGGAUCCUAGUGACAGAGUCUUUGAGCCUGUUUUCUGGGUGCAGAAUCCCUCUAGCCCUGGGAUAAAUCAAAAGAGCUAGGCCUGAGAGCCACGGUUGCGGAAUAGGCAGAGGGGAUGAUACCUGCCCGGAAGAAGGGCUGCAGUGGAAUAGGCAGAGGGGACAAUACAUGCCUGGAAGGAGAGCUGCUGCCUGGUCAGUUGCAAAAGCUCCAGAAGGACCAUGUCAAGCUGCGGUGACUUGGGGAAGAAGUGUUCCAGGGUCCCUGCAAGUGGCUAGAAAGCGGACUUGGCGGAGGUACUCAGCCAGGGUACAGGGAGCUCCGUCACAUAAACCUACUAUAAAAAUCCUGUGAAGUGACAACUCCCCUUUAACAUUUUUCAAUAAUAACUUGUGGAUAGAAGAUAGAAAAAAGGGGGAUUACAAGUCAGUCAGAAAAUAUAUGGCACAUAAAUGAUAUUAGUUAUGGUGUCGUAUAGUGUUGGUAGAAUAAUAGCAUUAAUUCUUGAAAAUUUUUUCAAAUGUUAUACAUUUUUCAUCAUCUGUUACACGCGUUCUGCUAAAUGAAGCCCCAUAUGAGUAGCCAAUCACAUUAUUGCCUCCACCAGGAUUGUUAGCCUUUGGCACAGCAAGUGUCUGUGAACUACAUUUACCAUGAUGCUUAGUCAUAUUAUAGAAUGCAGAAAAAAAGGUGGUCUAGAAGCCUGCUAUACUCCUACUGUUCUAGCAAGGUGGCCAAAAAGAUACUUAAAUCUUACUUCCUUGCUCCUUUUCCUGUGUGGUCUAACACUGACUAUAUGCUGGGAUACAACAUCACUAUAAACACAAAUAAUUUGGUCACUAGUCUCCAGAAGCAGUAGAUACCAUUACCUGUAAUGUGUGCAGUGUAGGGGCUAGCUGGACCUCAAAAAAAAUCAUGUUGUUGUCAUGCACUCAAUAAUACUGAACUUCUGCUCAUUCUAGUUAGUUUUUACUUUACAAACUCAAAUAAACAAAGGCAAUUUCCUGAGUGGGGAGAUGUUAGGUAGCUGCUAACAAGGAAUAAAUCUCUGCCGGCACUUUUGCACCAGCUGUAGCCUGUCUAGGCCAUUACCUCUAUAGCAAUUACUAUAAAUCAGUCAGACAAUCAGAGAUGUCUUUUUGCAAGCAUUCAGGACAACCACUUAACUCACCACUAGAGUAUAUGAAAUAAGUUUUCUAGUAAGGUAGAACAACAUCAGUCAACACAGCUGUAGUGCUUCGAAUUGUAAAGCCUAAAACACAAUGACUGGCUUAAAAACUAAACAAUGGAGGAUUGUAAUGCUAUUUCUACUUGAGUAUAUACUGUUUAAUUAGAAUGAUUGAACAACUCACUGGCAUCCUCAGCAUUAAGCAUGAGAUAACUUUUGAGUUUGAAUGCUGUAAUGGGCAAUAUGAAUGAUACGGUUAAAUCUUCUUCUACUCCUGGGUUAGAAUAAAAAUGAAUCAUUGGUCGAGAAAAUUUAGCUGGCUAGACAUUCGAGAUAAUGUUGAUUGUUGCAACCAUAAUAUUUAUAAAGUAGUAAAGAAUUCACACACUUGCAAAACUAGUGAGCAAACAUAUUUUUUGCUUAAAAGGUUAGUCCAACCACCAUGACCACUUCAGCAGAAAUACUGCACAUGCAGAGAUAAUUGCCAGGGGCUAGUGAUAUCCCCGACACAUGUGACUUUGUCAGCUCGGAACAGUGUUCCUAAUGCCAAUUCUGUGCAUAUUUUAUGUCUGUCCUCAGCAUACACUGCACGCUUGCAUUAGAUGUAAUAAUAUUAUCCAUUACAGGCAGAGUGCUUUGCCCUCCCUCCAACUAUACACGCUAUACACUCCCUGAAUUGCUUGUAUUUUGAUAAAAUGUCCUUGCUCGGAAAUUCCCUUCUACCCCCUCCCUCCCCGCUCCCUUUGCCAGCCCAAAAGAACAAGCAGGAGCUCUGAGCUGGCAAAACUGUCCAAUCAUAGGCUUCUUUAUGAGAAACCUGUGAUUGGACCUUGUGAAUGCCUCUGCUGACAUUAGUGGCAGAUUAGCACCAGGAGCUUUCCCCAGUACUUUAUUUUUUAACUUUGGGGAUGUGGUGGGGGGGAUAAAUUCCCAAUAGGGCAUUGUAAGCCUAAAAAGACUAAUUGUGGCAAAGGAUUGGUGCAACCCUUUAAGUGGAGACUCUAUCAAGAAUUUGAACAGUGAGCACAACCUAUCAAUCAUUGCUGUCUAAAUUUGGGUGACUGUGUACUGAUAAUGGGGAAGUGACAUGCUGUUGGUUCUCUGUUGUGAACCUUUGGUAUUAUCCUGCCAACAGCAGAAAACCUUGAGAGUUUCGGCUUUGUAUUCCCGUCAUACUCCUUAAAGAAUUAUUAAAAGUAUUCCUUGUUUGCCUGUUUUAGUAGCCCAUGGUAGCUAAAACGUAUGGUUGUUCGAUAGAAGUUACUGCAUGGGCAGUAUAUCCUAAUAUGGCUAGAGGUCAUUUUUCCUUACAGGUCUAUCUAGUUUGCUAUAUUUCCUAUGAAGGUUGCAUAGGGCAGACUGCAUUCUAUCAGUGUAAACACUUGUUAUUUUGUAACUUGGCUGCUGAGUGACCCUGGUCAAAGAACACUAUCCUAGAUGAUUCCUCCCUGCAGGUAAUGAUGGCUUGACUUGUUAAAAGGUUUUUCACUUUACAUUUAACACAUCUUCUGUUUUGUUUUUUUUUCCUAGCAAGCUCUGCGGAUCAUGCUGUGCCUAAUCUCUUUUCCAGUAAGAGAAUGCAAGUCAAUUCCUUACAUCUGCAAAACCUUCAAAAACACAUUGUUGUUGUAUGAGAAAUGAUAGUAAAGUAGGUUUUCCUCUUGACUGUAAUAACCCGAACAUGCUGCCUGAAUGAAUUAAAUGCUACAAAGAAAGCAGUUUAACCUUUCAGAAACUGAUGUUUAAGCACAGUAUGGCACACAAUAAAAAUAAUGGUUAUUUUAUUAAAAUGGAUCGUUACAGUUUAACUAGUAGCUUCAUAUGGUAAACAAUAAGAUCGCAAAAGGUAACUGGAAGUCAGUUAUAUUUUUAUUGAUUGUCAUUGUAUAGAGUCAGCGAGUUGCACCCUUUCAUCAUUAGUGAUCCACUAUAUUUUAUUUUGACCCCAUUUUUGUACAUAAACACCUCUUCUAUCUAUCAAAAUUCAAUGAGAAAAAUAAAAGAAAUGUUUAAUAUAAAACAUUCGUAACAAUGAAGCUUGCGUUACGAAAAAGAGUGCCAUUUAGAUAUUGUGGAGAUGUUAAUAAACCACUAAACCUUAUUAUGCUGUUAUUAUAUGCUGUUUUUUCCAUAAUACAUACUUCAAUACUAGACUUUCCUAGGAUGAAUGGACCCACAACAAUGUCAAUAUCAAUCUGUCUGUCUGUCUAUCUAUCACCUAUCAACUAUCUAUUUCCGUGUCUUUGUCAGUUUUCCUGUCUAUGAGGGCAAUCAAAUAAACAAGUAAAGCUUAAUGUUGGCUUAUAUAGACUAUUUAUGGUCUCGAACUACCAAGCAUGAGCAUUUCACCUCGUAAAUCUGCUUGAAUGAGAUUGCCAGGAAUUGCAAUAUGGUACUGGGAAAUGCACAGGUUGUUCAAGAAGUGGUAUAAAAGACAUGCAGCAGUAGCCUAAUGUAAUAGAAUUCACCAUGCUCAGAAACAGAACUACAGACUGUGGUCUGUAUCCAGCACCAUGGCCAGCACCUCCUAAACCUGGGCAAUAUUCUGUUAUCGGAGAUGAUUUAAAACAGGUUCUAUGUAAUAUAUACAUUACUAUAUAAAAUAUACGUAUGCAUGGAAAGAGCUGCAGCCUCUCAGAAUCACAGACGGAAAUCCUAGCAAGGUAUACUGAGCAUUUUACUAUCCAUAUAAUUUGUAUAGCUAUACGUAAUUAAUAAUAACAUCUAGCAGGAAUGCACGCUAAGAUUCUAUGAAGUUCAACGCUUUCAUAUUAUUAUAUUGUUUACAUACGAAAAUUAAACUGGCAUGGAUCCUCAUGAGUGAACUUGCUAAGUCCAAAUAUCAAAUCAACCUAAGUUGCAUUGACUCACGUUUGGAAAUAUCCCAGUUGAAAAUUGCCCUGGAAGUGUCAUCUCAGAGUUUGGUGACGAUAACCUAGUUUUAGCAACAGCAAAAUAUAAGAAAUGAUUAUUAAGAAACUGUUACUAAUGUGCUCUGUAGUGCUUAUGGUUACAGGGGUGCCUAGGUGCCUCUCCACCAUGUAAGGCAUUAGACCAUUUAGUAACACCGUAUGACGUCUUACCUGGUUCCAUGUGCAACUCCAAACCUCAUCUUUGCCAGAAGCUCAAUUCCUUGAGCUAAGUCCUGCAGGGUUUAGAUCAUGGGUCGUCAACCUGGUCCCUACCGCCCACUAGUGGGCGUUUCAGGAUUCCAGGUGGGCGGUAGGGAUUUUCUAAUUUUGAGAGACCGGGCGGGCGGGUGCGAGCCGGCGGUACCCCUGUGACCGGGUACCGCCAUCACCAUUUGUGGCCCCGGCCCGCGUGGCAAACCGCCGGUGCCGCAUAUGGAGGGUUCCAUCGGCCCAUGCUGUCAGGGCCGACCGAUGGAUGUGGAUUAUAAGGGAGCCCGGUCAGCGCUGGGCGCUUUAACAGCGCGACCGGGCCCCCUGUGAUUACAUAAACCGAGCUGGGAGGAAGUGACUGCACGCCACUCCUCCCAGCUAACACUGAGAGCUGCGCGGGAGGAAGACCAGGGAGUCAGAGUGGGAACUCUGACUGCCAUCCACCUGAGCCACCACUGGACCCCAGGGAAAGUCACCCUCCUGCACCUUAAAGGUAGGAAACAGGAGGGUGACUAAAAUAUUUUGUGUGUGUUUGUUUGUGUAUGCGUCUUUGUAUGUAUGUCUUGUGUGUGUGUCUGUCUGUAUGAGUGUGUCUGUAUGUGUGUGUGUCUGUAUGUAUGUGUCAGUAUGUAUGUUUCUGUCUGUAUGUGUGUGUAUGUCUUUGUAUGUAUGUGUGUGUCUGUAUGUGUGUCUUAUGUAUGUGUCUUUGUAUGUAUGUGGGUCUUUGUAUGUGUCUUUGUAUGUAUGUGUGUGUCUUUGUAUGUAUGUGUGUGUCUUUGUGUGUAUGUGUGUCUUGUCUUUGUAUGUAUGGGUUGUGUGUAUUUGUAUGUAUGUGUGUCGUAUGUAUGUGUGUCUUGUGUCUGUCUGUGUGUAUGUGCCUUUGUAUGUAUGUCUUAUGUGUGUCUGUAUGCAUGUCUGUGUGUGUCUGUAUGCAUGUCUAUGUGUGUCUGUUUGUAUGUGUGUGUCUUGUGUGUGUAUGUCUGUAUGUGUGCCUGUCUGUGUGUCAGUAUGUAUGUGUGUGCCUGUCUGUCUGUAUGUGUGUAUCUAUGUAUGUGUGUGUGUGUGUGUGUGUGUAUGUAUGUAUGUAUGUGUGCCUGUCUGUUAUAGUGGGCUAUAGUAAGUAAUAAUAAGUAGCUCAGCCUUCCUACUGGGCAUUGCUAUAAGGAAGGUUAAAAAUUUAAAAAAAAGGGAGAAAAAAAAGGUGGAGAGGGGAAUUGAGGAGGGAGAGGAGGGGAGCUGACACACAGAUGAGAAAUCAUAUUAUGCGCAAACAGAGAAGUCGUCUGAAUAUCACCGAAAAAGGAGACCUUUGUUUGUUCCUUACGAAAAUCGAACCAGAUAUCAAAUAUUUAGUCUCGCAGCAUUAACCUCAAGGAUCUCAUUAAUCACUAGUAAAGGUAAUUUCAAUUUACUUUAUUGUUGUCAUUAAACUUUAUAAAGUUAAAAACAUUAUAAACAUGCAUUAAGUAGAAAUAAAAAGAUAAAUGUACGUACAUUUAUUUUUUUUAAAACACCUUCCUUUCUAAAAAAUAUUCCGCACACUUGCGCGAAAACUGGUGGGUGGUAAGGAAAUUUUUUCAACCAAAAAGAUGCAUUAGUGGGCGGUAGGUAGAAAAAGGUUGACUACCACUGGUUUAGAUCAAUGUCUGGGAGCGAUCAGUUUGCACUGAAAUGCUUAGCAUAGGAGAGCUAACAGAAGCUCCUAAGUAGGAGAGGGGUUAUGUCAGUGGCACUGGGCAGAUCCUGAGUAAUGCACUGUAGUGGUUAUGGUGUUUGAUCCCAUUGCAAAGGAACACACACCCUGAAUUUAUUGAAGAAAAUACUGCAAAAUAGUUACAUGAUUAGCAUUUCGACAUAAUAAACAAAGGCGGAAAAAAACACAUUUUUCUCAGAUUACCCAAUAGAAUAAAUUGAACUAUUUCACAUUUUUCUCAAAAUUCUUAUGAAUAAUCUAUAUGACAGACCUAUCUUAAAAACCAGUGAAGCCCUGCUUGAUGUUUUAAGAGUAUAUUCACUGUACCUUUAGUAUAUAUAAUCUGUUCUGUGUGCUACUAAUGAAACAAAAAUAAUAAUUUAGGCAGUUGCAAACUUUUUCUCUCCACAACUAGGACCGGGAAUUAACUUUUUAUGCCCAAUUUCAUUUGGACUACGAUUUUUAGUUGAGCACAGUUAUAAACAAUUAUGAGCUAUACCUAUGCGGUAGCAAUAUUAUAGAGCAAAGAAUAUUUUUUUUAAAUAGAAUGAGAUGUAAUACAAGACAAGGCUGUUGGCAGCAGUGCAUUACAAAGGGAUUAUUGGAACAGUCACCAUAACUGCAUGCAGAGCAUUUUAACAGGUGUGCACCGGCUGUAAUAAGAUGUUCUGUCUUCAUUUUCUUCAUGCAGUGGAAUGCUUUCCUGCUGUUUAUGGGAGCUACAUGCUGGGAUGUGAUAAGUCCAAAUGCUACCCAGAGACUUCAAUUCACUGCUAAGUGGCUGCGUAUGCGGCUUCCAAUUAGAUUCCCUCCUCCCCCCCUUUUUAUAGAGAAUGAUUUUCUGAUUAGCCAGACUGUGAAUAGUUAAGUUAUGUUACAUUUUGGAUUCAGCACUUGCAAUUUUCAAAAUUCAAAUUUAUGAAGGAGAUCAGUUAUAACAUGAUAGCAAGCACCAUGAGUACAAAAUAGCACGCAACAGAAAGUAGUUAUCUAUUGCUAAGUUCAUUUGACACUAGUAGAGUUACAAAGUGACUCUCUAACCACAGAUCUGAUAAAUAGAGAUGUAGCAACCAGUGGAAGCCCAGAGCGAUUCUAGUAGCUGUACGUAUAAAUUAACAGAUUUGUGUCUAAAUCCCAAAUCUCUUAACAUUCUUUAACGGUACUGAAAUAACAUAUGAACACUUGGGUAAGGGAUCUAGUGUGUUUAGGAGUGCAGUAUGUGUGUGAGGGGUGCUGUAGUGUGUAAAUAUAUAUAUAUAUAUAUAUAUAUAAUAUAAAUAUGUUCGAAAGUAUUGUGUGUGUGUGUUUGGUGCAGUAUGUGUGUGUUUGGUGCAGUGUGUAUGCGUGAGGGGUGCAGUGGGUGUCUGUGAGGGAUGUAGUGUGUAUGUGAAGGGUGCAGUAUGUGUGUGUGAUGGAUGCUGUGUUUGAGGGGUGCUGUGUGUGAUGUGUGGGGGCUGUGUGUGAUGUGUGUGAGGGUGCUGUUUAUGAUGUGUGUGAGGGUGCUGUAUGUGAGGGUGCUGUGUGUAAGGGUGCUGUGUGUGAUGGGUGUGAGAGUGCUAUGUGUGAGAGUGCUGUGUGUGAUGUGUAUGAGAGUGCUAUGUGUGAGAGUGCUGUGUGUGAUGGGUGUGAAAGUGCUGUUUGUGAGAGUGCUGUGUGUGAUUAGAAGGGAUUGUGUGUGUGUUUGGGGGGUAAAAAACUAAAAAUAAAAUUAAGCAGGCAUUAUAUCCCCCUUCUUACCUUUAGCCUGGGAGGGGGGGACCGGCACAGUGGUACCUGGGAGAGAGUCGGAGGGAGACCGGCACGGUGGUACCUGGGAGGGGGGUUCAGGCACUCGCACAUCAUCCCUGGUGGUCCAGUGGUGAGUGAACUCUAGCCUGCGGGCUAGAGUUCACUCUUGCGAGAUCCGGUUGUUGCCAUGACAACGACCGGAUCUCGCGAGAGGAACCUGGCGGAGCUGGCAAUAUAGAGCUCCGUCGGGUCCUCCUCUCCCUCCCCAGCCGCAGGUCUGUUCAAGUGGGCCGGUGAGGGAGAGCUUUGAUUUCCUCACCGGCCCUCCAUGGAAUACAGCGGGGCCGGCGCUCGGAUAGUGCCGGCCCUGCAUAGACCGGCAGGAGAGAUCCUGUGACCUUCCCUGCCAGCCUUGGCCCAUGGCCACCGCGGCCCACCGGGCAUUUGCCCGGUGUGCCCAAUGGCCAGUCCGGGCCUGGUUGAGACACUGAACAGCAGUGCUGCCUACUGUGCAGCACUGAGCCAGGAAGCACCUUCAGUGGCCAUCUGAGGAGUAGCCACUUGGAGGUGUUCUUGGGGCAAUGUAAACACUGCCUUUUCUCAAAAAAGCAGUGUUUGCAUACAAAUUCCUGCAUAUAAUGAUUAUGCUCACCAGAACAACUACAUCUACAUUGUAGUUGUUCUGGUGACUAUAGUGUCCCUUUAACAUGUAACACUAAAAUUGAAAUGCCAUCAAUGUUACUAUGGUAUAUGCCAAUAAGCAUUUUCAUUGUAGCACAAUGUUGUAUAGUAGUAUCUUGUAUAAAUGAGCAUUACAUUAGCCAGCAAAAACAUUUUCAGCUUCCAGGUUUCAAAAGUUGAGGUGCGCAUUAGAUUCGAUGGCGCAAUAGAUUUGAGUAAAUACGGUGUAUAUAUAUAUAUAUAUAUAUAUAUAUAUAUAUGACAUAUGUUUUGAUAUUUUAAUAUUUUGGAAACAUUAUUUUAAAAGUUUAUCCAAAAAUAUUACACACUUUGAAAACCUUAUAAAAAAAAUUUAAAUCAAGGCCAUUAUAAUUGACCUUAUAUGCUGACUAAGCAUCGUGGGAGAAUUGUUGUUCAUUAAUAUCUCUUAGGUAUCUCUUAGGUAGUAAAGCGCUAUAAAUAUAAACAUACACCACACAAAUAAAUGAUAAAAAUUGUUAAGCAUGAGAUUUUCCAUUUUGGCUAUUUUGAUUUAGAUCCUUAUUAAUUCUGCUUUUUUCAAAUAAACCUUAAAGUGUAUAAAACGCUUUAGACUCAACCAGCACUAGGUUAAUUAAGACAAAAUCCUCACUCAUGCUCAAAGACCCCUAGGGUAGUUUAGGAUAGUCCUUGUUUGAACACUCCCAACCCCAUAACAACAUUUAAGUUGUUUUGGGGCAGAAGUGUUUGGGUGCUUGUCUAACCUUCUGUGGUUAAACCGUUUGGAAAUAAAUUAACCUCCAACGUCCAAAACAUUUUCUCCUUUCUGCAAAGCACUAUGAGAAGGGUUAGCUUGAUGGCCUGUGAUAACAUGAGAGCAUCACAUGAUGCUCUCAACCAAUUACUUUGCAUCCACUGAGAAAAAACGUAUGCAUAUACUAAUAAAAAAGAUCAUUAUACCAGCAUCUCUUUGGAGUAUGGGAAACAUAAUAACACUAGGAGGGACAAUUGUUAAAGAAAACUUAUGGGAAAGUGAGAGAGAGGUUAAGAGGGAUCCAUUUCAUACCUAGAAGAUAGGUUGUUAAAGGAGAUGGGAUAAGGCAGUGUUUAUAGCAGUUGUUUAUAUUUGCUAGUAUAGUACUGUAGAGUAUAAGAAUGUGGUUUAAUUGGGAGUGACAUUUCCUUUCUCACAAUGACAUAAUGGUUGCUUAAUUUCUUUCUCGGAUUCUUGGCUGUCCCCGCUAAUGGCUGGAUUUUAUGUAAUUUAACUAACUGUGUUCUAGUGAACAUAAUUAAAGGGCAACUUUCAUCUCAAAACUAAUUUUAAUAUACUCGUCGCUGACGGAUCCGGUCAUAUACUAAAAGCAGCGACGAGUAUUUUUUUAUAUAUAUUUCAUUUAGAAAAAAUAUACAUAUCUAUUUCCUUUCAAUACUUUAUAAAAAGAUUAAAAUAUUAAACAUAGUUUUGAGGUUGCAGGUGUUCUUUAAAUGAGGUUAUAUGAAGCUGCCCACAAGCAUUUUUUUGAGGGGAAGUAUGCCCAGCGUAUGGUGGACCAUCAAUAGUCUUUGGGGACAAUUUUGGAACCCACUGGUCUAAUAUUGUUGUUAGUAGACCUCGAUUGGUGCUGCUAUUUAGAAAGUAAUCAAUAGCUACAAGCUCUGUUAUAAAAUGUCUAUAGCAGCACAUUGUGCUGGGUAAUUACCUGAAAGACCUUGGCAACGAAUUUGUGACUGCUUUGCCAAAAAAGCAAUAGUUUAUAUUAUUGGAUACUAAAACUCAAUGGCCAAAAAUAAGGUAACUGUCUAACAUUGUAGUUGCUGAACCUUCAGGGAUAAUUAAGAAUGUAUUGUCUUAUGGUUUGGAGAAGUAGUCACUUCUAGAAAAUAUUCUUCAAUUUAUCUCUGGGAAGUUUCAGAUUUUAUGUAAAGGAUAAAGUAUAAAGCACAUAGAAAUGGCUGCAUUCCAUCCAAUAUAUAAAAUAACUGCAGAGGCAUGAUUAAGGAACCGUAAUCGGCCACUAGAAAAUUCAAGAGGCACAGGCAACUCUCUGAAAUGCUGUGUUGAAAUCCUUUUUUUAUUUUUCUACAGAAAAAAAUAGCCUUGUGAAUCCACAGGUAAAAUUGCAGCAGAGUUGUUCCUAAACAAGUCAAAUUUGGUAUCUGUAUAAAGCCUAAUUAUACAGUUCAAAAGCUGUAAAAGCAAGAGACAUUUAAGAGCAAAAAAAAAAAAAAAAGUAAAAUGCACAAACAAAAGACAUAGGUGACAAUUUUUCUUUGGAAAGGUCUAGCAAAAAGAACUGUCGACAUCGAGAUUUUUUUUGUCUCAUUAAAAUAACCUUUGGAAACUGCAUGUUCUUUGUUUUUAAUGUUCAAACAGUUAUUAGGAAAUAUGAUCAAUUUGGGGAUUUUUUUCCAUCUAGUUAUUUUGGCCAGAAUAUUGCAAGUCAGGCGUUAUGCAGUUAUUACCUCCACCCCCAGUCAUCAGGUCAGAGCUUAUUAUUUUUUUUCUCUAAAUCUUUCUCUUAAAAUUGCCAGAACUACAGACUCCUGCUAGACACUGAAUGUAUCUGAGUGAAGUAAAUUGCCAAUCACAAUGCCCGAACUAUCUUCAAACCCUGUGACAGGAGUGGGUUAAUACUACAUAACAGGGUCUUUAGAACUCUCUAUUAACACCUUUACUCCCAAAUCCAUGUAUACACAUUGUUGGUUUUAUUUUGCACUGCUUGCUGCUUUGUCCUACAUUUAUAUUCGUGCCAUGCAUCCCAUACUUUAAAUAAAUAUAACACAAGCAUUUAUUUUAACAAAAUUCACGUAUUGGGCUUUUACUGGAAAACAUCCAGAAGAGAUAUUGGUGCUUUGAAAAUCUAAUACAUUAUUCUGCCACGCAUGUGUUAGAGGAUCUGCUUAAAGAACACGUAUAGGGUUAGGAACACAAAUGUGUAUUCCUGGCCCUACAGUGUUAAAAGCAGCAUUUAGCCCCCUGGCUUCUUCUUUCCCCCCUUAAAUGUAGUAAUAAUUCACCUUAUUUCCAGUGCUGUGUGGGUCUGACAUCAUCAGCAAAGCAAUAGAUUGGCUGAGAUGAUAAAUACUGAUGAUCUCAGCCAAGGUGACGGUCUGGGGGGUGGAGCCAAAUGCUGCGCUGGCGAAUUAGCAUCUUCUUAUAGAGAUGCAUUGAAUCAUUGCAUCUAUUUGGGGAAAGUUCAGCGUACAGAUGCUGCCAUCUGAGGAGUGUCCAUUGGAGGUGUCCCUAGGCUGUGAAAAUGCCUUUAGGGACAGACUAUACUCACCAGAACAAAUACAUUAAGCUGUAGUUGUUCUGGUUACUAUAGUGUCCCUUUAAUAAUGUUUUUCUGAAAACACAGCUAUUUAGUAUAAACUCAAACUCUUGCACAUGGAGGGUGGGAAUGGGAGACUCUGGUCUCCUAUUUGGCACCUGGUUAAUGAGGGUUCCUGGGACUCAUGCAUGUAAUAAAUUAUCCCCAUCUGGCAACAUGAAAUGAAGGAGGACAAGUACUAAACCAUGGGCCCAAGUGCCUAUAGAGUGAAGUAAACAAGGCAUAUUCUGAUGUACCUACUUGAUAAAUAGGGGUCCUAAACACCUCUGCUUGAGUUGUUUUUUUUUAACCUAUUAUCCAUUGCAUUCAGGAAGUUGAGAGUGCAUGAUAACUUUUUCUGUUUGUAGUUUUUCUAUUAUUUAUUAUUUUAUUAGCAUUUCUAUUGUACCAACAUUUACCACAGAGCAUUUAAAUUAAAUAACAGGUAUAUACUGUAUUACAAGAAAUAUUUAACAAACAAAAAAUAAUAUGGACAUGUACAAGAAGGGAAGAAGGCCAUGCUCCAUCAAACUUACAAUUAUUAUUAUUAUUAUUAUUACUAUUUAGAUGUUUGCAUGCAGUUUAAGACUUAUGAAAUUGGGGUAUCUCAAAAUUUGCAUCAAAACAAAUAUAUCAAUUGUAUCUUCCUAUCCAGCUUGGGUAUUAUAUCCGACUUUUACCAAUCACAAGCAUUUAUGUUUCAGAUCCAAUAAAAAAUAUUUAAAGAUAAUAUGGCUAUUUUUUUUAAAGCUGUGAUCGUAUUUCAUAAUGAUAAAAGACCUGCACAAUUUUUUUCCCCCUGGCGAUCAAUACGAAAAAGGGUGUAUGCGACACAAUGAAAGUCACCUUUGUCAAGUGUCCUAGGCAAUGAUGUCACCUUCAGGUAUAGCCCUACAUGCAUGGAUUUUAAGACGUCCUUUCAAGAAAAGAAAAAAAAAGCAGUAGCCUGUGAAACAUUAAUCAAAUUAUCAGGCUGAGAUCUAUACCCACUGAGUGUUUAUGAAAUUAUGAGGCUAUUUUUGGUUCUACGUUCCAUUUAGCUCAUGAAUGCUAUUUUGGAGCCAGCAGCCCUUAAGGUGCACAAUUUGUACAAUGAUAGAAGCAUUCAUUCGCUUCCCUUUGUUUUCCUAGAACUAUCAGGUAAUAUUUUCUGAAGAGAAAGAAAGUUUUAACCCCUUAGGGACAAACAACAUGUCAGAACUGUGACAACAGCAAGGGUAUUUGCCCAACAGAAUGCUGUGGGGUGGGAGGUGGGGGGUUAAGCCACUAAUAAAUGGAAUAUCAAUGUACUGCAGCUGACUUCCCUUUAACAAAUCUAAUAGUGCUAAAAGGAAAUUUAAUUGCAUUUGUUUCACUGGGUAUUAAAGGUGAAGUAUCAUUGAAAGAGAAUUUUUGCUCAAGAAAAGGAAAUUUGUCACAAUAACCUUUACUAAAUGAUUAGCCUCUCUGGCUUUCUGCCUUUAUGAGAUUUGCAGUUGUAAUCUUCCAAUUAUUAUGAAAAUAAAACAAAAAUAAAAAAGUUUGUCUAAAGCAGCCAUUUUGAUUCUGUAGCAGGCUUUUUUUCCCACAAGAUAGGCGUCAUUAAAAGCUUGUAUGUAUACCACAUUAACAGUAUCUUGAGGUCAAAUAAUGUCUUGCAAUCAAUCAUUUUAUAUCACUUCAAGAGUCUGCCAAUUCACUGGACCGCUCUAUGUAGUACUUAUGGGGUAAAGAGUCUUUGGGUGCUUUUUCAUGAUUAAAGGAACAUUAUAGCCACCAAAACAACUUUAGCUUAAUGAAGUAGUUGUUGUGUAUAGCUCAUGACUAUGAAGUCCCACUGCUCAAUUCACUGCCAUUUAAAUGUUAAAUCACUUUUGUUUCUGUUUAUGCAGCCCUAGCCACACCACUUUGUCUGCAACAGACAAAGCCUGCAUGAAAUUAAAAUGGUUUCAUUUUCAAUCAGAUAUAACUUACUUUAAAAGUUUUCAUCUCCUGCUCUGUAAAAUUAACUUUACUUACAUACAGGAGCCUUCUGCAGGAUAUAGAAAGCUAUUAACAGAGCAGGAAAUACUAAUUUGCAAUAAAGGAAGAGUAAACAUUAAAUUACUCUUUACAGGAAGUGUUUAUUAAGGCUGUGCAAGUCACAUGCAGGGAGGCUUGGCUAGGGCUACAUAAACAAAGUGACAGACUAUUGACCAGUGAGACUGCAGGGGCAUAUAUAUACACCUGAAGUUGUUUUGAUGACUAUAGUGUGUCUUAAGUCAGUCUAUUUUGGAGAGGUUUGAUGAAAAUUUCUGUACCCAAAGCUUAGUCGCCCUCAUAAAACAUCCAGCAGGAAUGAUGCUGAGAAUCUGGGGUAACCUGUUCAGCUCCAAAAUGGUUUGAUGAAAACUGAGGAACAGUGUCCAAAGUUUUUGUUCAAUAUCCACUACAAUGUGCUGUAGUGGUCAGAAUACUUAGACAAUAUCAAAAUUAUUUUCUCAAGCACAUACUCAUACAUUGUAAUACUCAAUCCAUUCUCCAAAUCAGCAUUAUGUGCUCAAUGUCAGACUGAAAGAAGUGCAAGGAAAUUGCUGCUGGGGAAAGAAAGGAGAAAGGAUAUCCAUUGACAUAUUAAUCAUAAUUGCAUUUAGCAUGUUCAAAGAAAAGGAAACACCUCUUGCAUUCUAAAGGAACACUCCAGGCACCUGGUGCCCUCCAAAUAUUUUCUUAAAAGGCUUGGAUGCUUUUUUUGCGUAAACAGAAUAUUUAAGGACAUAACUGAUAUGUAUGUAAACAAGCUGUUGAUCCAAGAAGAAAUGUGACUGCCAUUAUGGAGUCAGACGUUUUUUUUUUAUUUUUGUGCAUAAUUGGAAAUGGCUACAGUUGUUUUUUUGGUUUUUUUUUGCCUUCUUUUGGAUCAAAACAUAAAAAAAAGGUUUCAAGAUUUAAAUUAAUGCACUUUAGUAGUUUUUCAACCUAGUCAACUAUAUAACUAUGUAGUAAGAGGAGGGUAGGUAGCUCCUGUUUGUCUAGUUACUUGGGGGCGUGCUGAGCCAAUAAUGGCAUCCUAACCACUACAGAGCACUGUAGUGGUUUUAGUGCUUAGAGCGUUCUUUUAACUUCAACGCUUCAUCUUUAAAUUUACAAGAGGAAGUGGUAAACAUUUUUUUAUUUAUUUAAAAGAAAAUUGUACACAAGUGUAACAGUGAUGCAAGAAGAUUAUCAUUCCCUCAUUGAAGUGAUCUGGGUGCAAUGUCCCAUGUCCCUUAACCCUACAGUGGUAAUUAGUGCAGUUUCUGAUAAACUGCAAUAAUUACCCUGCACGGUUAACUCCACCUCUAGUGGCUGUCUACCAGUUGGUCCGUUAUCUGACGCUGGACGUCCUCACGCUAUGCAUUAGGACCUCCAGCGUCAGAUUUUUUCCGGUAGGAAAGCAUUGAAUAAUGCUUUCCUAUGGGAAAAUCUUAAUGCGAGCAGGGCCAUUGCUUUGCAUGUGCAUUAGCUCCCCCCUGCCGGUGGACUGCUGAGGGAUAUUAGCGCUGGAUACAGGUGAGUGACUGCAGUAGUUUUAACCCCUUCAGACACGCAGGGGAGGGGGGCGGCGGGCACGAGGAAGGGGGACACUGUAGGAUUCUACACUGCCAGGAAAACGUGUUUAAUGCGAGCACAGGUCAGCACGGCAUUAAAAGAAACACUAUUACACAUGUGCAGACAGGGAGGCAUGCUCCCAUAGACAUUUUGAUAGGCCAAGUACUGCUUAAAAAACUCUCGGUCAACUUGUAGACAUGUUUGAUGGCUAUAGAGCAGGGGUGCCCAAAAGGUAGAUCCUCAGAUGUUGUAGAACUACAACUCACAUCAUGCUUUGCAUAUCUUUAAAGUGCUUUUAGAAUGACAAAGCAUCAUGAAGUAGUUUUAAAACAUCUGAGGAUCUACCUUUUGGGCACCCAUGCUAUAGAGGUUUUGGGUCUUUGUGAGCAUGUUUUUUAAAAAAUUCAUUAUCUCUAAUACAUUUACAUGAGUGGUAAAUCCAUCCUGGAGUGUCCUUUUAAAUGUGUCUGUUAGGGCAUUCAUAGUGUGUAAAGUAUACAUUGUAACCGAUCUGACCUUUAAAAUAACUGGCUUAUUUUUUGGAUCACAGGAAAAAAAUAUUUUUCAUUUUCAACAUUGAAGGAUAUGGCUGUUUUAUAAGUAAGAGAUUGGAGUAGUCUCGCAACCUCUUGUGUCUUAAAGGACAACUGUUGCUCUUUUGAUCUUAUUACUUAUUCACUAUAUUUCACAAAUAUGUGUUUGUGACAUCUGAAAAAUAAAAUGAAAUGUAGAAACCCGCAUCACUGUGUUUAGCUCUGCCCUAAAACUUAGCACCUCCAUCAUAACUCUCUGACAACUGUGAUAGAAUUUAUCUUGAUUCCAAGGCUCAAGCUUAUACGUGUCAUAUAAUGAUAUCCUAUAUUAAAAUUGGCUAACUUGGACUCAGGAAAUGCUUGAUGCUUAAACAACACUUAAGACCAUAUAUGUCUAGUUCCGGGAGCAGAGAGCCCCCACCUAAGAUGUCUCUUCUCUAAUCUUUUUGCUCUUUCUUACCUUGGAACUUAUUUGUUAUGUGUACAUGACGUUCAUUCCUAUGUCUUAUCUGUACUCUCUUCCUAUUACCGUUCUAAGAGUAUUUGCACGUAAGCACUUACUUUUUAAUGUAUAAAACCCAGCUGAUGAAUAAAACGUCAGAGGCUUAUUUUGAAUACCAACAGGUGUCUGGUGUCUAAUUCUCACUUCUCCAAGUGCACUUGUAACAACAAUUCGGGCUUCCUCUGAAUAUAACAAAGAUCAACAUUUCUGAUCCACAACAAUUUGGUGCCGAAACCCAGGAUCUGACGGUCAAGAGACUCGGACACUAGCGUACAGGCGGACGUCUCUCUGACAGUGAAAUCAGCUGUACAGCAAGGUAAGAAAAACUUUUUUUCUACCUUUAUCAAUUUCGCUCUCAGAUCCACGUCCUACUAGUCUGUCUGAGUAAAGAACGACGUAAAAACGUCUGAUCCACAACACAACCACUGGUAUAAGUGCUUCUUUUUUCUGUCAUUAAACAUAGUUUGCUUCUUUUCUUCUAGCACCCCAGGUGCCACUUGAUAGGGGGUGCCAAUUAGUCGCAUCCGAGCAGCACAACUUACUCAUGUGGAGGAGGAGGUGCCGAUCUGAGCCUCAGACACUGGGUGUGGGCAACGCCAUGGCGGCAGUGCCUCAGCUGCAGGGAGCAGCAAGCAGGCAAUCCAUCAUGUCUGCCAUCCACUGUGAGUCUGCUUGACAAUAUUUUUAAUGGAUAUAACUGUAAGGGGUUGGACAGUGGGUUUGGGCAAGGGUUUUGUGGAGGGGUCAGGGGUUUGUGGGGGCAAGGGUUUGUAGGGUGGGCAGGGAUUUUGUAUGGGGACCAGGGGUUUUUAGAGGGGAGGAGGGCAGAAGUUUGUAGAGAGGGGCCAGACAUUUGAAGAGAUGGGGCAGAAACUUGUGGGGGGAGCAGGGUUUUGAGGGGGGAGCAGGGGUUUGUAGAGAUGGUAGAUGUUUGUAGUGAGGGGUGCAAUAGUUUGUAGAGAGGAAGGCAGGGAUUGUGUGGGGCAGCAGCAGUUUGUAAAGGGGAGGCAGGAGUUUGUAGAUGAGGGCAGUUUUUUUUUUACAAUGGGGGGGGGCAGGGUUUUUUGUAGAAGGGGGCAGGGCAGAGGGUUUUGUAGAAGGGGGGCAGGCAGUUUGUAAAUGUGCCUAGGGAGACAUCCGUCUUAACUAGAACUAAAUAAAUAAAUGUGCUUAUUUAUAUACCCAUUCUUAAUGUAUUUUGAUAUAUAGGAUUAGGAUUUUAAGGGGGGCGGGGGGAAACAAACACAGUAACGGCCCCUGUGCCAAAUACUCUAUGUCCGCCCCUGCCUAGACUGAACUGGAAUAUGUUAAUUGCAUUGUCUUAUAUGUACCUUUAAAAGAAAAUGGAUCAUCACAUGGAAAAAAAUUAUUAUUACACAUUACAGGUAAUUUUCAGUGUUUCAUUCAAUUUAUUGUAUUUUGUCCCGAUAAGUGAUGGUCACUUUCACUUUGAAUUCACAACAAUUCGCACUGUAGUGAAUAACCCUGGAAUUUGUGACUUAUCAGGAUUUUAAAGUACAUUUUAAAUUUUCCUUUACCAAUUAACACAUCUUGCAAUUUCAUUGUCAGCUUAUGUUUUGUCUGUACAGAACAGCACAACCAAAUGUUAAAAAAAGAACUAGAGAUACAAUUCUCCCGGCACCUAGACCAUAUUAUUAAGAGCAAAAUAGUGUUAUCUGGAUUAAUAAGCAUCAUCUGAAGGAGAUAAAUGUUUCAAAUUCCCUGUUCACUCUUUCAUAUAAUAUAGCAGUCCUAUGUGUCCUCUAAUAUAACAGUUGUUCACAGUAAAGGGACUGCACACUUAUAGGAGGUGAAAAAUUACAAAUUCCACCUGUUCAACGGCAGACCUGGGGUGGCAAAAACAAAAACCACAAAGAAAUUAAAGGAUCAGAGAACUUGACUUACAAAUAGCAGGCUUUAAUAGCAUGCAGCAUACAUGGUGAUGACAUUUCGACCACACAAUAUGGUCUCUAUCAAAUCGGGUGAGCAAAUGACAAAUUACUAUUUUAGAGCCAUAUCAAUUGAAAAAUCAACUAAGUAGUAAAAGCAUUUUUACUUGCAUUUUUGGAUCUAUAUGUCUUUUAUAAAAGUCUUGUAUAUAGUAUUUGUUUACAUCAGUUUAGGUAAAGGACUAUGGCUAGUAGAUGGUCUUUUGUCAUAUGCUCACAAAAUGUGGUAAAGACCGUAUUGUGUGUUUGAAAAGUCAUCACCAUGUAUCUUGCUUGCUAUUAAAGCCUGCUAGAACUAACAGAAGUGCUCUGAUCCUUUACUUUAUUUGUUCUAGCAUAAUAGUGACUUAUGUAAGAUUUAUUCACUAAACUAAAUUCUCGUGAAAAUUUGGAAUUCAGAAUUUUGGGGAGUUUGUGUGCAACUUACAUUGGCUUACUAGGACACCAAUUUUGAUGUCCCUUUUAGAAAUUGAACUUAGUUUACACUAGUGGCACACCACAACACCCAGUCAUGUCAGAUAAUUAGACAAAAUAUGAUCAUCAUGACUUGGAAGUUAUUCUGCUAUCACAUGACAAAUACUUUGACGUAAACAAGGCAAAAGGAGAGUUUCUUAUUGAGCUGUACAAGUGCCAAAUACAGCUGUAAACUGUACAGUGAAGAUGGAUAUAUACGUAUAUAUUGAGAUAAGUCCCUGGAGGACUGAAACGUUGACACCAUUUACUGGAAAUUUGAUACUUUGAAUAAACAGCACGAUUUGAAAUAAUUCUGAGUCCUGUGAGUGCACUUCAAACGAGGAUUCAUAUCAUUGUAAAUUAAAAUGGUUAAAUGCAAUCUGCUCACCACCAGAGGGUGCAAACCACUUCAUAUAUCUUCUCUCCAUCACAACAUUAAAUGAUGCCUUUCAUAUAUCAACAUUUCCUUACUAUAAUUUUUCUUUAAAUAAAGGUGCUGAUUUUAUAAGCUCUAUUAAUGUACUAAUGGACAUAUCACCUUUAUGAAUGUCCUAGUCCUAUGCGUCGUUGUCUACAAUAAAUAAUGUUUUGCACACUCCUUUAGAAUUUAGGUUUCAAAAAAAAUCUAAAUAUUAAAUAUGACAGUUCAAGUUUUUUUAAAUUAUGAGCUUUCGCUUUAAAUCGUUCCACUAACCUACCUUACAAACGGCAUUCAUAUAUUACAGGCAGCUCUGAGUUAAUAGUUCCCUUUUGUAUUUACAUAAACACUUAUAUGCAUGAGUCAAUACUCCCACGUCCUCUAACACUUUGUCUGCGCAUUACAAUGCAUGUGAGCUAUAAUAUUCUAAAACUGUUAUGAAAUAAUGAGCAACUCCAUAUAAAUCCACCAGUAUUGAAAAUUAAACCACGGUUCUGUCUAGUGUAAAGAUAGCUGGAAAAAGAGACGUGAAAAUAUACUUAUAGAUGUAGAAUGUGAGACCUGUUUGGAGUUCUCCUAUCAACAAGAUUGCUGUAAUCUGACUUUAGAUUCCAACAAAUGUUUCAUUAUUCAGAGCAACAUGGCAUAAACUACCUUGGGCCUGAUUUUUUUAAGAGAAACACCUGCAUAUUGCUUGCAUCACAUACUUUUAUAGUUUAAAAAAAAACAAAAAACUAUAGUUUUAGAUUAACUCAAACAGCAGUAAUGCUGUAUUAUUAUAACCUAACAAGCAAAUAUGAAAAACUCAACAUAUAAAAAGAUGUAUAUCAGAUUAUAGUUUGUAUUAUGCACUGCAAAAAGAUAGGACAUUUGACAAUCCUUUUUUUUUUUUUUUUUUUUACUUAGGGUAGCACUCAAAGUUAAAGUAUUCUUAUUACAUACAGUAUUAUAUUAUAAAUAUAGUUGAGGAAUUUGCACAAGUGUAAUGUAUGGCAUAUAAAAAGAUACAAAACCAUGUGGAUCUUUACAGAUACAUGCAAUUCAAUAAAACACAAUAUAGUGUAAUAUUGGCACUUAGUGGAGGCUUGUCUAUAGGGGGUUGGAAACCAUUCACCACUCAGAUUUUUAUAAAAUAAAAACAAUUACAUCUAAUUAUGUCAAAAUGUGUUUGUAUCUUUUAUGACCCUCCUUGUCCCCAUAUUCUCUAGAUAUAGACACCCCAUAAAUGUUUAGUUUGUUCUUACAGAAUUUAUGAGGUCACCCAUUGGCUGUCAAAUGUCAGAUCAUUAACACUUUAAAAGACAGGGCUGUGUACUCUCCUCUCUUCCAGGGCUUUCAUUGGAUAGCAUCAUCAAGGGGUGGUGCCAGACCAUUUAUAAAUAGCUGCUGCUUCCCAAAUACAUGUAUUCAUAAGUUUAUAUUGAACAGUGCAUAACCUCUAAUUGGAUCAUUGAUUGAGUACAUGGAUUUUAUAGAAAGCACCCAAUAAGUUAAAAGGCAGAGUCAAAUUCCAUGGUUAGAGUCAAGUCCUUCAUUUUUAAAAUUCACCAAUGAUGUCACUAUUAUGGAAGAAACAGCAAACUGAUAUGAAUUUGCACUCACACUUCAUAGAGUCACAUCUAGCUCAUUAUUAUUGGCACUUGAUAUACAAAUAAAUGUGCAGUGUCUUAGAGAUAAUGUAUCACAGAAGGUACAACCACAGAUGAAUGCUAAAUAAACUGCAGUUUAUGAGGAGAAAGCGUGUACAUUAAAUGCUUACAUGUAUUGCCUAAAGGGGUAUAAUCCCCACUUUAAAAUAUUUGGCUGUGAACCUGUCAUCUCUCAGAAGGAUAUACAACGUAAAAACAGAAGAAAUAAGGGAGACUUGUUCUGUUACUGGUGGAUAUUAGACAUUUGCAUUUGUUUUCGUUCAAAUAUGAUUUCGUCCGAAAAUUCAGUUUUUUCCGUAUUCAUUUAUUAAAACGCAAACGAAAGCCCUAGAUACGAAAUAUAAACAAAACAAAAGGGCAAAUGCUGAAUGCAUUACCUUUUCGUUUUGUUUCAUUAGUUUAAUUGACUUUGUGCUGCAGGAGAAUUAACCCCCACAACACUGAGAAAUAACACUGCGCAUGUGCAGGGGAAAAAGAGCACCAGCUUCCUCCUUGUAAUACCAGCUCUCUCCUUGUAAUAAUAUUAAUGCCACGACUAGGAGCAUGUGGGAGGAUUUAACCUCCCUUUUAUUAAUAUGGGGGUCAUGGUGACUACCAUAGGUUUUAAUACGGGGGGGGGGGUAGGAUUGUUAAUUUAUUACAAGGAGGGAACUGAUAGUGUCAGCUCCCUCCUUGCUUUUUUUUUUGGCGCAUGCGCAGUGCUGUUUUUGUCCUGAAAACGAAUGGUUUGUGGACGAAAUUCGGGAUUGACGAAUGAAAUUUUAACACGAAACAAAAACACAUGAGAUGCACAGUACAGAGGUAACCUUACUUCUUUGAAUUAACCAUUGCGAUUUGCUAUUUUCUUGAAUCAAGAGAAUAAAUAAAGGAAGCUUUCCAUGACCUGAGGUGAAGGGAUGUGCAAAAUACCUCCUUUUUCACUUGAACAGAUAGAUCAGAUUGAACUGAAAAAAAGACAUACUGUAGUCAAAACUUUGAAAAUACUUUCUCAAAACUCACUAUUUAUUGAACAGACCCCGCAACUCUGCAUUAUUUAUUGUCUCAUUGCUUUGCUGGCAGCAGUAUAUACCAGCUGUAUAGGAAGCAUAUUUGGCUAUAAGAAAAACAAACAAAUAAAACAAACAUACUCUGUCUGUCCUAUGUAUUCUCUCCUAUCUUAAUGUUUUUUUACCUUUAUUUUCAGUAUUGCUUGUUCCAAGACAAACAAUUUUGUGUGGGCUGUGCAGAUUUCUCCCUGCAACUGUAGUAAAACAAAGUGUGCUCUUUCUUAUCGUAUUCCAGUCAUUAACAGAUGCUAUCGAAUACUUGGGUUAGUAUUAAAUAUUUACUGCAUCCAUAUCUUCACUUGUAUGCUAGAGACAUAUUCAUUUUUUUUCAUGCAUUAGUUUACUUUUAAACAGGUAGUGUUGCAGUACUGUUUCCAUCAUGCUAAGCUAUUUAGUAGUAAUAAUUUAUGUGAUGAAUAGAUGUCUCUGAGCACCUAACCACCACUGCCCAAUUGUAAGCAGUCAUACCAUUUUUGAAAGAUUUGACUCCUUAACUGGGGUCCACCAAACACCAUUCCUCACCUCCACAACUAAUGUCUGUUCCUAAGCAGAGCUUUAGUGGUUAUGGUUCUUGGAGUGCUCAUUUAUUGAAUGAAUAUGCCUGGAUAUGAUGGCAUGGGCAACGCCUUCUUAAGCUGAUAGUCUCCUCCCCCUGUGCUAUAAUUGGUUGUAUGUGUGCGUGAAAAAUAAAAAAAAUAUACAUUGGGACUUGGGAAUAGGCAUACACAUUACAUUAUUACUUGAAUUAGUUGCUUAUCUAUAUUGGAGAUAUAUGGUCUCUGUGUAUUUAAGCUAUUAGGUUCGCUUGGUGUAAAGCCAAUUUGGAAUGGGUGAUUGCUUUAUUUAGCCUUGAGGCUAAGUUUGAAGUCAUUAUUUUCAUUUUCCCAGUGAGAUGUAAAAAGGGUUGAUAAGGUUCACAUUUUUGAGUGUACUUUCUUUCCUUAAUGAGCAUUAUAAAAUAUACCUUUUCCAGAGUAAUUGGGACCUCUAACUAUCUUGCAAGAGAUUUGGCAGGCUUAGUGAUCACAGAUACAUUUGUAUUAAAUCUUGAAAUACCCAUUAUUGAUGUGUCUUACCAAGGCUACCCUAAUCGCCAAAGCCAAGCUUUAUCCUCUGUAAGAAUUUACUUAUGCUCAAAACAAAAAAAUGCACAUAACAGUGUAAACCAAACUUUUAUAUUCAUCACAAAAAUAAUUCAUGUGUCUCCAUCAGAGGAAAAUGUUCAUGAAUACAAUACACGUAAAAGAAAAACAGACAAACAUAUAAUAGUGCAACCUAUAUGGGAAACAAUAAAUAUGCAAAUAUAAAGAAUAGUGAAAAGGUAGAAGAUGCUAAAAUUGUAGGCAUGGUCAAAUGGGCAGGUGACUUACAGACUAUAAAGACACCUUCGGCUCUAUAUACAGCAUUCAGAAAUGAUGGUUAAUUGAAGUUACAUUUGUGGGGGAAUAGCCGUGGAGUAUCUGUGCAGCUAUAUUGAUUCAGGAGCGUCACAUUUUCACUUUGUAUUGGCUCAAGAAUUUACUCACGUUUAUAUCAUGAUUCGAUUUCUAUAAAUCAGACUGGACAGUGACAGAUAAUCCUGGUCUUACAGAUGCACUUGAAAUACAUUUCUCAUGAUUAUCAGGUACCUUGUAGGUAGAUCUAGCAUCAUAGGAAAUGCACUUUACAAAAAAACUAAACAAGAUUAGGCGUGAUAGCUCUAAAAUCAUAGAAAAUACAGCUUAAAACAUCAGAAACUAUUGGUUAUCACUAUCUACAAUGCAAUGGAGCUGGUCAUUAGGGGCAGGUGGUGUGAUGCCCCCCCCACACACCCCCCCCAUAGAUUUUGUUGCAAAAAUAAAAUCGAAAUUUUUUGUCAUUGUGAGGACUACUGAUAAGAGUUUUAGAAAAUGUGCCUAUCGGGGGGCGGAGCCUGACUGCCAUGCUGAGCAGCCGCAUCAACCCGGAGCUCCUGCAUAAAAAUGUAUUUUAAGCCAUUAAUCUAGUAAAAUAAUUGAGCUGCCUGGGUUUACUACUCAACAUUUGCCUCAAUGUUCCCAUAGGAGCACAAAACAAGAAACUGGAGACACUAUAAUCUCAGUUGUGGUGGCUAGACUACUUGGUGGCCUAGGCGGCAUCAUGGGCACAAGGGAAGUGGCUGAUCUCUCUGCCCAUCGUCCCCUCAACCCGGAGCCUGCAACCAUCACUGACCAUCUGCCCCUCCAACCCCCCCCCCCCGCCGGUGAGAGAUAUCCCGGCAUAAGCAGUGAUAUUGGAGACAGCAUGCACCUGACAGAGCAACCACCCUAGACACCAGCCAAACUUGGUGGACGCCAAACAACCUCAUGAUGAAUCCUCGACAUCCUCACGAUGAAUUCUCGACAUGCUGGAACCAUGCCGCAUAAACCGGAUCUUUGCAGCUUUCUGGGCCAAGCUCUACAAGUGGAUGCAUCCCCCCCCCCCCGCCCAAGGUGCAAAUUACUUCAGCGUCCUUGAUGGCAGGUGGUGCUCAAUACAAAAGCAGAACUGAUCAUUGGAAGAUGGCCACCAAUGGCCCUGUGGACCGCGUGCAGCAGCGAAGCAAACCCCGUAGACUUAAAAUGGGAGCAUGCUUAUCAUACCACCUCUGCCAUCGGCAGGGGAUAGCGCAGAGUCGUGGGCACCUCACCAGCUAACAGCUCUAAUGCAAAGCACAGCCUGCACAAAAAGAGCAUGCACACACACCGGCGUUAGAAACCUCAGGUGAGGAUUUCCCGACCAUCAGCCGCAACAUUGCAAACCGGGCGCUUGGAGGCCUGCUUCUGUGCUCUCGGGCUGGACCUGCCCUACACCCUCAAAGGGGCCACUAUAUCAUCGCCUGCGGUACCUGUUGUAACCGUAGCAGUGGGCAACACACUCCGGCUCUGUUGGAGGCCUGGACCCAGCAGAGUAGCCAUCAGCAAAUAGCUGGGACUUGGUUUGGCUGUGGGACUAUUGUGGCGAGUGUGGGGGUAGGGUGAAUCACAUGUAAAAGACUGGAUGCAUAUGGGGUAUCACGUUAGGCAAGUUUCUUUUUCCUGCUACUACCCCUAUCCUUCCUAUAAUGUGCUCCAGCCUAAGCUUAAUUUUAGCUGUGUAGAUGGGUACUAAUGUCUCGCCAAUUUACCAGGUUAUUCAAUGUUGCCAUUUUAUCCCUAAUGACAUGUCUAACUAGUGUCAAACGCUUCAGGAUAAAACACAUGAUCUCUGCUUAGACAUACAAUUGUAGCCUGAUUUAGCAUAUUUUUCUAAUUCAAAACGCUGACUAAUUAGGGGCUCUGAUACAUAUUUAGCAUGUUAUGCCUAGCAAUCUUUAACCCUGUAGACACAUGUCCCUUACAGGACACCAUGUAGUUCCAUUGUGCAGUUCAGCAUAACGAGCUAGGCUAACGAAAUAACCAUGUUUUCUCGCCUGUUAUUAAAUGUUAUGUCUAACCUUCACCUUGCAUUUACCCAGCUAGUAUAAGUUACAAUUUUAGACAUAUCUACUUAACUUUAAUUUAUUUAGUUAUAUCCACAGUGUUGCUAACCUAGCCUAGGUAAAUUCAAUAUAUAUUGUAAAAGUUAUGCAGCUUUCUUUCCUCACGUGAAUUUAUCAACCUAACUUUCACACUCGUCUUAAUAGUUAAAGGAUCACUAUAGACACCUAGACCACUUCAGCUCAAUGAAUUGGUCUGGAUGCCAGGUCCAUCUAGGGUUAACCCUGCCUGCUGUAAACAUAGCAUAUUCAGAGAAACUGCUUUGUUUACAUUAGGGUGAAUCCAGCCUCUAGUGGCUGUCUCAUUGAAAGCCGCUAAAGGCGUUUCCGCAAUUCUCACUGUAAUUUGAGAAAUGCUUUCCUAUGGACUGACUGAAUGCGCGUGCGGCACUUGCCGCGCAUGCGCAUUCAGCUGAUGACGUCGGAAGAGGGAGGAGAGUCCCCAGCGCCGAGGGUGCCCGGUGCUGGAGAAAGGUAAGUGUUUAACCCCUUCCUCCCCCUAGAGCACGGCGGGAGGGGGGCCAUGAGGAUGGGGGGGACCUUUUAACACUAUAGUGGCAGGAAAAUUAGUUUGUUCUCUUGGCACUAUAGUGGUCCUUUAAGUAACAUAUCCCGAAGAAAGCUUUUGGUGGUUUCACUAGUUAGCAGGUUAACACUAAUCUCUAACACUUAAAUCUCUAUAUUUAGCAAUGUUUUAGUUCAGUUAAGCAACAAUUACUUUGUCUUUCUAUUGUUAGCAUGCCAGGACUGUAAGCAUAUAUAGAUCAAGCAUGUUCCAGUGUCAUACACUUUAAAAACGAUGCUAUGCCUACCAUUUCUGCUUCAUAUUAUAAAACUGUGCAGCCCCUCUACUUGCCAUGUUUGGAAAUGUACAAUGAUAUUAUGCGUGUGACUGCUGUUGUAAAAACUUGCACAACAAAAAUAAAGAAUUAUGAAAAAUAAAUAAAAAUAAAUAAAUAAAAAGAAAAUGUGCUCAUCAUGAUUAUUUCUUCUGCUUCCAUUAUUCUCUUCAUUCAUGAAUGGAGAUGCAGUUGGUUUUAUAAAGGUCAUGACAACGCGGUUAAAUGGACAUAGACUAACAAAACAGGGGCUAUAAGGGCAGUGCCCCACCAUAUUUAUACUUCACCAGCUGACACUCCUUUAAUCUUCAAAAUGCAUAUGAAAAAAAAUAUUAAGCCAGACAAUAAAUACAGGACCAGAUUAAGAGUCUAUUGGGCCUGGUGCUGACUAUUAUGAGGGGCCUAAUUACAAAAUCUUAUCGACAGAAAACACUAAAAGUCACAAGCGUCAUGUAUCUGGUGUAGGUGGUGCUGGAGGGAAACUCACAGGAUAUUGUUAUAAGAAAACACAUACCCUAUGCUAAUCUCUCACUUUCAUCUUUCAAGUAAAUCCAUACCUCCUAACAGCAGGUUCAGUGAAGCAGAAUGUUGGUGGUCGGGGUAAACGGGUGGGCCGCCGAUGCAAGUCACGUAACCAGAACCGCCCAAAAAGGGCAUGUUGUGUCUGCCCAAAGAAUUAGAUGGUCACUCUGGUGUAAAUGCAAGGCAGGCUGUCUGCCAAUCAUGCAUGCUGCCAAACAAAGGGCAUACCAUGCAGACCGCACCCUGAGCUUCGCAUAAAUGCGUCUAAUGACGCGCUCGCUCCAUGCUGUCCCAGAGCUGGUCACGAGCUUGUCCACUCCUCUCCUUACCUUCUUACUAGCAGACAGAAGCUCCUGUUAUAUAGUCUAGGACAGAGAAAAAGUGUAUGUAGUGACUGUAGAAGAAAGGGAACAUGUCCCAGUGUUAGAGAUACAGAAGCAGCAAGAGCAUUUGCAUAGUGCGCAAAGUCAGCUUUACCUUAACCAAUUUCAUUGUAAACCAGUCCACACAAAUGUUAUUACCCUUGUUCCCCUACACCCCUCUUAAGUUUCCAUAAUUAAGCAAGAGCUUAAAAAAAAAAAAAAAAAACAGGGGGCCUAUUCCAUGGGCAUCAGCCCCUAUGUUAAUCUGGCACUGAGUAAAUAUGCUACAAAAAUAAAAUAUUAUAUUAAAUUAUUUAUACUAAUCUUAUUAAUCUUGUGUGCACAAUUUACUCUUUAAAGGACCACUACAGUCUUCAUCUCAGCAAAGAGUUCUGUGUGCAGUGUCCCGUUUUACAUUGCAAAGUUAAAUUCUCCCCUAGUGGCUGUCUCUCUGACAACCACUAGAUACACUUUUGAGGUAUUGAGUAAAAUGUAGAGAAAAAAUAUACUUAAAGCGGGCUUAUAGAGAGUGGGGACCCAAGUGCCCAGUGGUGCAUGGAUAGUGUCUCACUACACCUGCUAAAAGUCUACCCAAUAUUUAUUUUAAUUAAUUGUAUGAUACAAAUCUUUACUCAGUAUUAAAUGUUAGACAGCUAAUAAAAUGUGAAACUACGUGAAAAUUGUGAUGCAAUGUGAUUUAAAAAUGGAGAGAUCAAAAUAGCCUAUUAGUUAUGUUACAACUUGAGCUACUGAGAAAGUAUUCAAAUACAAAGCAGCUGUUGUAUGUAACUAUUUGAGAUUACAAUGUUAAUUAACCUAAAUGGUUAAAUAGAAAAAAGAAGCUACUGUUGCAAAUAUUUAUCCACACGUAGUAGGUUGAUAGUAUACUUCAUAUCUAUAAGUCUCCAUUGUAAUGAAGCCGGUGGAGGAGGUAUGGGAGCAGGAGCGGAUAGCAACAUAAAUGUAAGAAAAUGGGGUAUUAAAGAUAUUUACCCAAAUAGGAGGGAGAUAAGGUAGGAGAUUAAGAAGCCCAAAAGUAAUUGCCUUUUCCUAGCUUAUAUAUCCCAAACUCCAAUGGUAAAGAAGUGAGAGGUAGGGGUUAAAAACCCUCUUAUGCAAUCAAAGAUGGCUUUGCUAAAAGGACAGAUAUCUGGGAUAAAAAGCACAGUAUAGAGUACUGUAUAGAAGUAGUCUCCCCACCAGGAUCCAAAAAUGAUGCAAUAUAUUCCCUAAUACGAUACUGAAACACAAAGCCUAGGUGAUAACCUUCACGUUAGCUAAAUUCCACCCCAGUAUUAGUCAAAAGUUACCCGCCCGUAUCGAUAGCUCCCCAUAUCUAACCUGCAAUGAGCUAAACUAUUAGUAGAAAGGCUACAUGGAAAACCCUAUAAAGAUUAAUUAAAAGAAAUUGCCUAACUGCAGCGUCUUUACAUUGAGUAAAAUGUGGUCACAUGAUGCUGAAAUCCCCAAAGGGAAGCAUUGAUUCACUGCUUUUCUAUGGGGAAGCUUGGAUACGUGCGUGCUGCACGUAUGGACCACACAGGAAGAGGCCAUGCUUCCUAAGUGACAUUGCAGGAAGAGGAGAGGUAAGCAGCUGCUGUGAAAAUGUAAGUAAAUAUUUAAUUUUCUUACAUUUGUAAUGCAAAUAGGGGGUGGGGGGUUUGACUGAAUAUACAGGGUCAUUAAAGUGUUAGGAACAUAGGUUUGUAUUUGUAACACUUUAGUGUUUCUUUAACAGAAAUGAUAGCAUUUGAUAAACACAGCAGGGACUUUAUUUUAUUAAAUACAUUCUCAAUAUUGCUGAAAAUGUUAUAACUCACAAUGACUCAGUGCCUGUGACACAGGUCUUCCAACAGUCUCACAUUCAGCAGGAUAGUCCCAAUUUUGGGAUUCUCUCCCACUGUCACACAUUAGUAUCCUGGUGUCUCACAUGUGGGGACAUGUGUGCCUGGGCACACCACGAGAACUCCCUCUAUGGUCUUGAAGAGCUCCCCGCCCACACCAUCCCAAUACAAUUCCUCACAUUGUUGGGAGUUAUUGUGACAGGUCACUUUAUUUAUAAUACACCACUCAUUUUUACACAGUGCUGUGCACCUGAGAGAAGCCAUAAGUCCCAGGGCAAUAUACUGUGGUGAGAAUUUUCAGGAAUUCACUUUGUAUUCAGGUUAAGAAUUUUCACUUUAGUGAAAACCCCUUUCUAAUUCAGAGCUAGGUAACAGUCCUGUUUCAUUCAACAGUCUAGAAAGAAAUCUUCUGUCCUCAGAGGACUGCAUUCAGUACUAGCAUUCCUAAUUCUAAAUGAGUGUGUUAUUAAGUAUGCAUAAACAAUAUAAGAGAAGUGUAUAUACUUUCAUAAUGAUUGGGUUGUCUGUUCUGGUUAGCUGUGAUUAAAUGCAAUAUUUAUUAAUUGAAGACAGAAGACUCAUUUUUAACUUCUAUAUUGCCAGGUGAAGUGACAAGACAUCAUAAAAUUGUGCGGAGGAAGCUCAACAGAAGAUGACCAGGGCAGACUUUUAACACUGCAAGGUUUAUUCACUAAAAAGUGAAUUGUGGUCAUCUGAAAAUGUAAUUGCAAAAUUUAGGCAAAAUAAUCAAUCUAUGACCACAGCUGAAGUAGAGAUUUUUUUUCCAAAUUGCCUACUUUGGCCUAAAUUUAGCAAAUGUCACCAUCAUAACUUGUUUAGUUAACAAACCCCUUUAGUAACCGGUCACGAGACUGCAAGGUGUAGAUCUGCACUGAGAAUCAAGGGUGAGCUUUUUCAAACCUUAUUUGGACUCCAGCUGUGUGUGUUAGAGCGUGGUCUGGCAGAUGAGAACAGGCCGUGUUUACAGCUAUGGUAUACACACAAAGGCCAGUGUAAGAACUCGAUCAGAUAAACGGCAAGAAUCUCCACACCCCUUCAGAAUUUCCACUGUUACUGUAACAAUUCCAGCUGGCAAUUUUAAAAUCAGUCAGAAUCAGUUAGCAAAUGUCUCCCAAAUUUACCUGUUUACCAGUUAUAUUUUUAAAAGGAUCCUACUAUUCACCAAUAUAGGUUGGUAAAACAUGGAGGAAAACAAUAGUUUGUAUUACUUGAACCCUCCUUUGCAUGCUUCUAUAAGCUAUGCUCAAAUAUUUACAGUGUACCUUAACAUUAACCAUUUAUAAAACUUAUUUUCGGCGAGCAGAUAAAAUAGUCUGGUUCACAAAACCAGAAAAAAAAAGUUAAAUAAAUAUUGCUAUAAGCCAGUGAAUUGCAUCCUGUAAGGUUAAGGAUAGCAAUUUAUGAAGCUCUGUAUUAAAUAAAUAACCUUGGUGAAAGUAAUAGGAUUUUUAUGUUGAUAUAUAGAGGACUGUUUUAUGUUCCACUUUUCCUCUGACAUAAUAUUUCCUGCACUUCCCCAUAAUCCUUUGCCGUUAUGGGAAGAAGAGAAGGGUUUGAACAGAUCUCUUAGCAGAAAAGAAAUGCCUUCAAACAGGGCCAGACGGGGAUACAAAGCAGCCCUGGAAAAAAAAAAACUAUGCCAGCCCCGCAGCACGGCAUGGUGAAAAAAAAAGUGAGUAAAAACACUAUUUCUAAACACCCACAGACACACACAUACACCAUGACAGACACACACAUAUACCAUGAUAGAUGACAGACACACAAAUACCCCAUGACAGACACACACCAUGACAGACACACACCAUGACACACACACAUACCAUGAGAGACACACACACACACACCUUGACAGACACACGCAUACCACGACAGACACACGCAUACCAUGACAGACACACACAUACCAUGACAGACACACACACACACACAUACCAUGACAGACACACACACACACCUUGACAGACACACACACACACACCAUGACACAGACAGACCAUGACACAGACACAUUCACACACCAUGACACAGACAGACACACACACACCAUGACAGACACACACCCACCAUGACACAGACAAACACACACACACCAUGACACACAUAUCAUGACAGACAGACACACACCAUGACACACACACACAGACACACACAUACACUUACACUGACACAUAAUAUAGCUACCUGUGGGCGACUGGUCAAGUGUGCUGACGUCUGCGGGGGAGGGGGGGACGGGGGGGUGCUGGCUGUGCUGUGUCUGCUCCCCAGCGCGCAGCUUAAUGAGACCAGGGCCGGAAUAUGACAUCAUAUUCCGGCCCCGGUCUUAGUAAGUAGCGAGGGCGGGGGAGCAGAGCCAGAAGAGCCAGCUCCCCCUGUGGCCGCCAGAAGAGCCAGCUCCCUCUGCGGCCGCCAGAACAGCCUGCUCCCCCCUGUGGCCGCCAGAAGAGUCAGCUGUCUGUCCGGCCUCAGGUGCCGACGGCCCACCAGGACAUUUCCCAGUAUCCCGGUGGGCCAGUCCGCCUUGCUUACAAAAUGUUAAUUAUUUAUAGAGGGAAUGAACAAACUCACUGCAGACUGUGUAAUUGAUUAUAUUAAAAAAAAAUAAUGCAUCUUUAUUGGCUGAGAAUUUUUUUUUUUUUAAAUGCAACUCUCUUCAUUCGAUGAUUUGUGUGGUAACAUUAGCCCGACAUUUGGAAAAUCCGCAUCCAAAAUAUAGCACACUUUGUAAAUAAUUCAGGCUUGCUUGUGGUAAUAAAAAGCUACUUGAAAGUCAUUGUCUGUGGACAAUGUAAAAUCAAAGUUAUUGAUGUUGUGAAAAACGAGUAGCAGUUUAAAAUGAAGAUAAUAAUUUAAUAAAGGAAGUGGGUAUAAUGAGUGAUAGAUAUGUAAAUCCCUGUUACACUUAACAAGUGUUAAUUUAUGAUAAUAACCCUGGGGAGAAAUUAGAGACGUAGCUUGCAGUUAAAGGGGUUCUGUGACUCCUUACAUCCCUUCGAAAAAAAUAUGAUAAAUUUGAUAAAAUAAGAUAAAAUCUUAAAAUACUUAGAUUGACUGUGUUGGAAUUUGACUGGAAUUUUGAAGCAGUCAACAGAUAUAAUAAGACAAAAUAUGGACUAUUUGGUCUUACACACUUUUCCUACCUAAGACAAAAUGCCACAAAAGCAGAGCUAGCGCCAAUUGAAUUCCACCAGCUGUCACUAGGGACAGCUGUGAGAUAUAAACAACAUUGGUUAUGGAGUGUCUUGUGAUCUCGUGGGAGCCUCCAUAGACGUCCAUGCACUAAUCUUGUGCAUGCUCGAGAGUACAGCAUUGAUGUGGACUCCUGGCCAAUGAAGCGUCAGGAGCUGAAAAUGACACAAUGAUUGGACAUGGCAGCAGCUGCAAAGGAAAACCUCAGGUAAGUAAAACUUACCAUCCCCUGCAGUCCAGGGGUCACUGUACACAAGUGAUGUCACCAUGUGAAAUCUUUAUCACUGAUGGAGACGGUGAGCAGUCUAUCUAUCUAUCUAUCUAUCUAUCUAUUUAUCUAUCCAUCCAUACAAAAUAAAGAGACACUAUAGUCACCAGAACCACUUCAGCUUAUUGUAGUUGUUCUAGCGAGUGUAGUCAGUACCUGCAGACUUUUCAAUGUAAAUGUAGCCUUUUCAGAGAAAAGGCACAACUUACAGUGCUGCCUAUUAAUAACUCUAGUUGCAGUGACUCAGACAGUCACUAUAGGUGUUUCCAAGUCCAGUGUGCGGCACCUAUGUUCAGCAUCUCCAUGCUUUGUAUGAACUCCAUGCACUGAUCACUCCCCACAGAGAUGGAUUGAUUCAUUGCAUCUCAAUGAGGAGAUACUGAUUGGCUCAGGGAGGAGUUUUGCCACACUUGCGCAACAGCCUCCAGGAAAGCAUUGGAUUGGCAAAGAUCAUCAAGAUUAGUGAUCUCAGCCAUGGAGGUGGAGCCAGGCAGGGCAAGCAGUGGCAAGUCCAGGGCAACAUGGGAGAAAAGGUGAUGAAAAUCCUUUCUACUGAAAUCAGAGGUGGGCCGGACAGUUAAACAGCCAUUGAGGACUAUAGUGCCAGGAAUACAUGUUUGUAUUCCUGACACUACAGUGUUUCUAUAAGAACAACUGUAAAAAAAACAAAAAAAACAAAAACGGAAGAAAUGAGAAUGGAUUUAUAAAAAAUAGUGUAGCACCAAUCCUAAAUCCUAUUCUCUAAACUAGGAGCUGAAUAGAAUGGCGUGUUGUAGUGCAACAUAGUGCUUUAUUUAGAGGUUUCUUUCCAGAUCUGUCUGUUAUUGGAUGAAAUUUAUGAAUCAGAAUUCUCAGUUCAGUAAGUAACCCCAAUGUUUUUUUUUUUGUAAUCAUGCAUUUAUGUUGCAAGAUCACGUCUGCCUCCCCUAACUGUUGUAUACUAUUUUAAAGCGUUUGAUUCUUCUUAAUGGGUAACUUUGAUUUUUAGACCUUGAGGCUUCUGAUGACGUUUGAAUUUGAAAUGUGCACUUAAGCUAUGUUUGAGAUGCUUAUUUUUAACCUAUCAAUCAACAAUGAUAGUUUGUGUCAUAACAAUAAAAGGUUGAAUUUGAUGGACUUUCAAACUAUAUUAUACAUAACUAUGUAAUCUGUAACCUACAGGCCUUGCUCUAACAUGUAAUUCCAACUAAUCUACCAUUCAUGAGUAUAUAGGGUUUUUAAAGAAACACGUCAAGCACCAUAACAACUACACAUCGCUGUUGUGUUCAUGGUGCUAAGAAUAACCUGCUGGUCCCUCAGUGUAAGUUGUCAAAUCAUUUGCUAAUAGUUUAAAAAUUGACAUGGGGUGCACCUGGUGUUGGUUACUUCCUGUACUGAGUUCCGGAAGCUCCUGCAUGCGAAGGCAAAGAUUUAGGGAAAAUGCUCAGAGGAGAUGGGAAGAAAUGUCAAAAAUGCAUGGAGGGAGAGGAAGAGUUUGAAAUGCAUGGGGAGAAUGUGGGAGAUGCACAGAGGGAAUAAUAAAGGGUGGGAGAUAGACAAGGGUCAUUUGGGAGAGACUGCCUAGUGGACGUAAUAUCCAAUGUGAGUUAUGAGAGGUACAGGCCUGAAAAUUGUUACUUAAAGCAUUGCUCCAAGCACCAUGGUGCCUGGAGUCUGUAUAUGCAGGACUUCGCUGAUGAAACACUGCACAUACACAAUUUAAAUUCUCUUGCAGUGUCAUCGGAGUGUGAUCAGCCUGCCCUGUACUACAGUGGUAGUCAUUGGCUGAGGGCAUCAGUGUCUCUGCAGAAGGCGGAAUCACAUCAUCAGACCAGAAGGGAGCAUCGGAGCCCAGCAGGGACCCAGUUUAGGGAGAACACUGUUGCUAAACGGUUUGCCCCUUUACCAAAGUACUGGAAUCAUAACCACUACAGCGGCCUGCGGUGGUUAUGAUGAUUGAAGUAACCCUUUAAAUCUAGCUAGACCUGUGGCAUUUGCUAUUUGAGGAUUUAGGUUGCAUAUAGUUAGAUUCCUCAAUAAAAAAUUUUUAAAUCCCUAGGAAUGUAUCUGUAGUGGAGUAGUGUAAUUCUGUUUCAUUAGGUAUUUUAGGUUCAUUACGGAUUAAUAGUUAUACAUUGUAAAAUGUUUUUGCUUCAUGAAUAUCUUUAUUUUUACUCGUCAAUGCCAAAUGGAUUAUUUAUCCUUUGAGACUUGGUGUAUACAUUCAGUGGAUGUAUAUGGGAUAAUUUACCUUUUAUAGCCACAGAGUAAAUAGCUUCCACUGUCAUCGUCACUCCGACAAUGCCUCUGCCCAAAGUUCUAAAUUACAGAGAUUCCCAAUCAGUUAAACAGUGUGUGCGUUCAUUACGCUUUCUAUAGAGCAGUUCAUAGGCAGAAAUAAAAUGCAUAAUUGCUCCUAGAUUUUCCAUUUACCAGUGCAUUGACAAUUAUAGUACAGUGUUAUUAUGAUGACAGUUCUGAUAAAUGGGAAAUUCACGUGUGUCUGUAAUUUUAAAUGCAAAGCACAAUCUUUCAUCAGCCAUGCGCUAAACUGGGAUAAUAAUUUGUUUUUGCAAUAUAAUGUCAGGUCAGCUGAAUGCAAUUUCACAUGACAUAAACCUUUCCACUUGAUUUUACAAGGGUGAAUUAAAAGCUAAGAAAAACACCCAGGCAAAGAUUUUGGUAUCCAAGGGUUAACUAGUAAUUAUACCCUUCUGCAUAUGUAAACCCAACAGGUAUGAAAAAAAUCUUUUCCAUUUCCUAUACUCUCGUGGAGAUUGUCAUGGAAUAAAAUGAAGACGUGAUGUGCCUCAAUAAAAAAGUGUAGAAUUAUACAUAGAAAACUUCAAAGCCAAGACGUGUUAUUCCGAUAUGGUAUGAAAUGAAGACUGCUGCAUAUUUAUAUUAUGUUUUCCUUAUAAAGUGGCAUUAGACAAUUUUGUGCUGGGUGUAGGUUUAGUGAGUAGUUGAAACAAAAUAAAAUGUAAAUUACCUUGAACAACAAAAAAAAAUUUUUCACAUUGAAAGUUUUGUUAAACAAAAUAGUAAUAUUGUUAUCCAAUUUCUUCCAGUAGUUCUACCCUAGUCAUGUUUGAUGGAAGUAAGUAAUAUAGGUAGAUUACAGGCCUUCCAACUGUUCUGCUUUGGGGCGUCUUGGCUCACCGCCCCACUUUAGUUCCCUGGUGCACGAGUCUGUCCUUGGGCAGCACAAUACCAGGGUAUCAUGAGAUUCACUCCUUCUGUGUUGUGAAUACUACAACUAAUGCCUCUGGGCCUUUAUUAAGGGCUGGCCCAGAGGUAAUCUUUUAGCCUAGCAUUAUUGAUGCCAGGCUCACAGGCCCCUUGAGUGGGUGGGCCUGCCUACUUUAUGGGCAGACCUGCCAUUUAGGGGCAUCGCAAGUUAGACAAUUUGUAUCAUUGUUGACACCCCCUCAGAAGGCCAACCCCCUGUCCUAAUUCCAGCUAAGCCAAAGUUUUGAGGUUUGAGAUUACGAACAUGGGUACCUGGGAAUAUGUGCUAAAUUACAGAUGCCCAGUAACAUGUCUUAUAAAGGGUUUUAAGCAAUCGCUGUGGACUGUUAUAAAAAUCUUGGUAAAUAAGUUGGCUAUUCAUUAAAGGCAGAUCAGUUACAAAAUACCUGUUGCAGCUUAUUCUUCUUGCCCAGGUCAAUUACGAUGUAGUGUGGCCAAAAAAAUUAUAACCAUCUCCUUUUUAUAAGUUCUAGAAGUCACAGUCAAUAUGAAAUGAAGGAAGAAAUGUGAUACAUUGAUAACCUUGUUCUUCUAUGUUUAAACUCUGGAGCUAUUUUUUAAUUUGUACAGCCCUUAUGGUGCUGAAUAUCUGUUCCUUGCCAGUCAGUCCUUGGCUGUCAGAAAGCAUUACUUAAAUGCAUCUACUAGCGCAUUAGAGUCAGUUCAAAAUGGCUUACAUUGGAUGUCUUUUUAAACAACAAACUAUAUCAGUAAAAACUAUCUUGUACAAGGCUUCUAGUAUCAAAGGGGUUACCACAAGUCCACGCUUUGGAUGAUUUGACUGCUAUAUUUAUAAUUGGCUAAGUUUAAAAUACAUUGUUAUAGGAAGGAAAUUACAUGUAUUUAAGUCUUAAUGGAAUUUCUUUUUGAAAAUCAUUUAAAUACUACAGCAAAUAGGGUUUUGUUUUUUUUGUUAUUUUUUUCAAUUUCCCCCCGCGGAUAUAUCUGUUUAAUAUUGUCGUUGAAAUGUCACAACAAAAACUGUUGUAAAUUGAUUUCCAACCGCUACAUAAUUACAUCCAGUUUUCCGCUAUCUUUGUAGAAAAUACAUUUUUUUCACCUCAUCCCCCAGCCCCCACAAAACAUCACCUUCCCUCUUUUGCUUUUAGAGGGCAAUAUUUCUUUUACAUGUAAGCUGAGCUUCAGCAAAACUUAUUAAACUGUGUUAACGGCACUGACAAACCUUUAGAUGAAAAAUGCUCACAGGAUGUGUUUCUACCCCACUGUGAAACGUUAAUGAAACUGAAUGACAAAUUCUCUCUCGGCCUUUUCUAACCGCACCAAAAAUGUCAAGUAAAUCAAACCAAUCUUGUUUAGGAUUUACGUGCAUUAGGAAAAAAAAGUGUUAAAGACCAUAGCGACUUUAAUUUAUUCUUAAAUGUACAUCACAAGGAAGCAUGGAGCAUGUUAAAUAAAACCUACUUCCAUUAGACAGGUUUCAAAGUGGAAAUCUGUUUUACAAUCUCUUGGACUGCGUGAGUCAGAUGGCACUGUAGAAUGUUUAGCUGCAGAACGCUUUUUUAUUAAACAUUGUCUUCUUAAAGGAACAUGUUCUUAAACCGUUAAACAGACUAAAAUAAUGUGACUGGUGUACGAUGAUAAGACUAAAGUGGCAUUAAAUGUUUUUGUUUCUUUAACUUUGCACAUGAUCAUAAUCAGUCAUUUGUAUCUGUGUGGGAAGCGGGUGCUUUCUUCUUCUGUGCUCUGUAUGACAUAAGUACAGAAACUUAGUAAGGGCCUCCUCUUUAAAUUGUAGAGAAAAAUCAACAAAUUUACUGUUACCCCAAAAGAGGACACUGUAAUCACAAUAGUGCACUCUAGUGGUUGCUUGGAGUGUUCCUUUAAAUAAAAAUCUGGGUUCAAAAUAGCUAAUAAGAAAUCCCAGACAAGCCAUUGUUUUUUUUAAUGCAAUGAUGUACAAGCGCUGUUGUAAUUUUUUCAAGGAAUUCACCUGUGUCUUAUAUAUUUAUGUCAGCAUGCAUAUCUGUCAAUGUUUCAACACUUAAAGAAAUGUAAUAACAAUCCCUUCAUUAAAAAGUAUUUAUGGUCUUUGUACCUGGAAUGUAAGUUUUAUACUAAGUAUUAAAGGACCACUAUAGUGCCAGGAAAACAUACUGGUUUUCCUGGCAUUAUAGUGCCCUGAGGGUGCCCCCACCCUCAGGGUCCCCCUCCCACCCGGCUCUGGAAGGGGGAAAAGGGGGAAAACUUACCUUUUUCCAGCGCUGGGUGGGGAGCUCUCCUCCUUCUCUCCUCCUCCGUUCCGCCCCGUCGGCUGAAUGCGCACGCACGGCAAGAGCUGCGCGCGCAUUCAGCCGGCAUAGGAAAGCAUUUACAAUGCUUUCCUAUGGACGCUGGCGUGCUCUCACUGUGAAAAUCACAGUGAGAAGCACGCAAGCGCCUCUAGUGGCUGUCAAUGAGACAGCCACUAGAGGAAAUAGGGGAAGGCUUAACCCAUUCAUAAACAUAGCAGUUUCUCUGAAACUGCUAUGUUUAUUAAAAAAUGGGUUAAACCUAGCUGGACCUGGCACCCAGACCACUUCAUUAAGCUGAAGUGGUCUGGGUGCCUAGAGUGGUCCUUUAAGCUCAUAAUUAAAUGUUUGCUGUCAGGGAAAAUUUCGAUUCUGCGGUACCAUAAAAAAAAUGAUUCAGGGUUGCUGUUUUCUGACAGAGGAUCUAGAAUUACUUUUACACAAACUAAAAUAAUGUAUGUUUCUCUUUUUUGGGUUUGCAUUACAAAAGUGGAACAUUAUCACAAUGCGUCAUCAUCCUUGUUUCUAUCCCUUCUCUCUACCCUUAUAUAGGGCCCCUCAAUGGAUAGGUAACCAAUGCAAUUGUUUGUUUCUUCUUGAUAUAUAUUCAAUAAGGAAUCCUUUAGAAUAAGGAUUUUGGCAUUGGCAGUAUCAUUUGGCCAAUAAUAGCAAUGCUAGAAUCAGCCACAUUUUCUCUGCAUAUGAAUAAUCUAAGGAGCGUUGGAUGUCAGAAGAUGGAUGACCUUGAAAUGACUUUCUAAUGACAUUCUGAAAGACAUUCCAUAUCUUUUUGAUGGACAUCUGGGCACUGUCUUUCAAAAAGAUAUGGAAUAUGUCCACCUCUCAGCAGUCUGCAUUUUAUAAAUUUAUGUACAGUUUGUUGAUGCUAGUGACCUACAUUAAGAACAGCAGUUAAUAUUUUAACAUGUAUUUUACUUAAAGUGAAAUAUUUAACAAGUCAGCCUAGAGGCUUUGAUGUGCAAAAGAACAUUUUAAUUAACCCCUUUGCUACAGUAAGAAAAGAAAAAGAAAAGUAGUUCUGCUAGGUCUAUAGACACACAGAUAUGUACAUACAGUAUAGUAAUGCAACAUCAAACUGCACAAAUAAAAAAUUGGAACUAUUUAUAAGCAGGGAUCGGUAGGAUCCCCUUCUAUCCAACUCUCUUCCCUUUCAUCCUUUGUGAUUCCAAUUAUUCAACACAGUGUUAUAUAAGCUUGGAGCUUUAGUCCACAAUAACUUGAGUGUAUAAUACUCAAGAUUACAUCAUGUCUAGUCCGUGUUUGGUUGAUCUUGAUGGGAGGUGCAUACCCUUCCCCAGUCUCAAUUUCAGGGUCCAUACCCACUGUCCAAAGUUGGUACCCUGGGGCUCCACAUCUUAAAACUCCAUGGAACGGUCCCUAGCUAGCACAACGUGAGUACAUAAUUAGACGAACUCGCACUGUGCUGAAUUGCGUCAGGGCCCUACGACCACGAACAAAGUAUAUCAUUAGGAGGAAAGGGCAUGAUUAGUAAUGUGUGUGCUCAAAUGAGGGAAUAUUGAUGUGAUGAUUGGAGGGGUGCUGAGAUGAGAAAAGGGGGUGCCAAGAAGCUAAAAUUAAAAUAAUGGAAAAUUACGGAAGGUAUGAUAAAUGCACUUUUACAAGCCAAACUGUUGCUUAUGUUGCGCCUAUAAAUCUAGUAUUGUCUGAGGUCAUGUCUGCCUGAUCCUUUUGUUUGUAUAUUUAUUGCCUUAUGUUGUGGCCUGUUCUUUGGUUUUAUUUGGCAAAAGCAAUAGGGAGCCAUUUUGUCUUAUGCAGGUAUUGUCGACACUGUUUACAAAGGCUUAGAGUUGUCUGUAUGGGGUUUAGGUUUUUCAUUUCAAAUGGCAUCAGCAAGCAGGUUAUAAACCUCUCCCUGCUAGACUGACCUUCAAUGUGCAAGAAAGCGAAGUAUGAUUAAAUGUAACAUGAUACCCGUGCUACUUUUAUAUUCGUUGACCCUUCCAUCCCUUCACUAACUUCAUUUCAUUUUCUUGUUCGUUUACUCCUUACAAGGAAAAGUCGAAUUUACAAGUUUGGCAAUUAUGUUUUACAGUUCCCUAAAAUGUUCCAUUUGAUGGCUUUGGCAGGCAGGGUUUUCCUGUACGCCAUUGGCUAAUAAACACGGCAAAGUCAAUGCUCUUAGUGCAACCAUCUGCAUUCUACGUUGUCAUCUCUUGCAUAUCUGCAAUAAAACUGUGAUCCAUAAUUGUUUGCAUUCCCCUUAAGGACUUUCUGCUCUGUUUUAUUGACGUGGUGGAUGAGAAAAGUUUAUUGGUAAUGUAAAUUCAAGAGUCAACAAACAUAUGGCAGGGAAUGGAGCAAUGUGUUUAAAAGCCCGAGGAAGGAAGAAAAACAGCAUUUUGGUAAUGAAAGUCAUUGUGUGAAACACAGUAAGAAAGAUUAUUAAUCACUUUAAUAAUAAUACUAAUGAUAAUAACAACAACAACAACAACAAUUUAGCAGCCUGGGGCAGGUGGCUUAGAUGGAGUGAAAGAGGGGUUUAAAGAUGCACUUGAAAAUGGCAAAAAAUAUUAAAGCAGAACCAUUAAAUUAAUAUUAUUGUUGUUGUAGGACCCUUCUUAAACAGAAUAUGUUUAGAAUUUGCCAUGCUCUAUAGAUUGAUGAUGGUACAUUUUGGCAUUAGUCCUUAAGGGGCUAAGAUCAGGAAAAACAGUUCAAGCAUUAUUUUACUUAAAUUUGCCCUAGCCCAGUGCAUCAGAAUUAUCAGUGAGCUUUGCAAGUGUCAUUCUUUCGCUUUCAAAUAGAAGCAUUUAUGGAAAGUUAUCUGUUUGCACUUGAUGCCAGAUGCGAAGUCCCACUGAAGUCAAUAGAAUUUCCUGUUCAAGUGCCAAAUAUACUGCUCUGCACUUUUAUUAAUUAUUCUUGCCUCUCAAACUGGCUGGAAGGGGAACAGGGUAAAAUCUCAGUGGGACCUGGCAUCAGAUGGCUCUAAAUCCUGCCUAGUUAAUAUUCCCAAUGUAUCUAAGUGUUUGUGCCCUUAAUAGCACUUUCUAACAACACGCUGCCAAAUCAAGAGAGCAAUUUGUUGUGGUUAAACCAAGUGCGUACCAUGUCUCACUCGAGAUGAGUCAGCCUGUUUAGUAUAUGAGCGAAUAUCGGAGUCUGUGUGUACUGUUACAUGUAUAGGUCAUGUCAAACCUGUGUGCAUGUUGUAUGUGUUUUUAAUUUUUAGCGUUGUCCUUAUAUUCAGGGCCGCCAUCAGGGUGGUACAGCCAGAGUCAAGUAAGGCACCAGAGACAGUUAGGGGACCGGAUGCAGCUGAGGGCCGUUUGGAGUUUAGCAGGUCUCUCAAACUGGCCAAAUAUAAUUUAGUAAUAGCUAUACUUGUGGGGAUCCACAGUGUACAUUACAUUUGUUUUCGACCCUACCUCUGUUGCCCCCCAUCUCUAGCUCUGGCUGUUAUUAUUGCCAUCGGGUCGGGAAGAGGCCUUGUUUUGGUGCAAGCACAGUGUAGGAGAGAGGUAGAGAUAAGAUGUGACAUCAUAGUUCUGUUCCUUCCACACUGACUCUGCAGGGGAUAUGUUGAGAAUGUACAGACUGCAGACACCAUGAGCAGCCAGCAGCAUUCAGCUAGCUAGCUAGAUCUGAGGCAAGGAUAAGGACGGAGUGAGAGGAAAGCAAAGAGGUAGAGAUAGGCAGUAGGAUUGGGAUGGGGGGAGGGGUAAGUGAAGGGUGACAGAAAGGCUGUGACAGAAGAGAGGAAUUGGAGAGAGACACAAGUAGGGGUUCUGGGGUUGACUAGAUGGAAAAAUUAAAUUAGGGGUGGCAAAGAUAGGUGACAAGAAGGGGGCGGGAUAGAGAACAAACCUCAGAGAAGGAUACUGGGAGAGACAAGUGGAAUAUAAAAAAUGGUGGCUGGGAAAAUAUAAAGUGAAAUAAACGUCAUACAGUUUUGUCCAUUAAAAUAGACCUUACACUUUUAUUACACCUUAAUAAUACUAUUAACCUUACACUACUAUUAAGUACUAUUAUAUUCACACACACACACUGACACUCUGCAUUUAGACACUGAACACACAUCACAAAUACAUUCCUACAUUUAGGCACACGUUAUGAAGCUAUACACACAUCAACAAUCUUGCACUACUAAAAACGACAGGUUAUGCAUUCAUAAACUGGCAAAGAGUUUGCAUAUUAGAGACUAAAAAAGAUGAAUCAGAUCAUUUCUAGAAUCCAGAUUUUUUUCAGCAAAUUUUUUUUGCUUUUUCAAUUCCUUGUCAAUUAUCCAUAAUGUAUUGCUACACAGACAUAGGGUUUGUUGACUGAACAGUUAUUUAAUUGAAUUGAAUACUGAAUUAUAGAAUCCAAGUCAAAAUAACCAAGAUGUUAUUCUAACUAAAGUGGAGAAUGUUUCCCUAUUGGCCUAUGUUUUGGAGUUUGUGUUUCAAACAUUCCAUACAUUUGACAGUUGGGGACCCAGACUGCACCGCUGGACCGUGUGUUUCAGUGUGAGUCUGACAUUGUGCAUCUGUGUGUGAAGUUGUGUGUCUGACAGUGUGAAGUUGUGUGUAAUUGUCUGACAGUGUUUAGUUUUGUGUACAUUAUGGGCAUUAUCUGUGCGAUUGAGUUUUGGAAGGGCCCCAGCCAAUGUCCUUGUAAAGGGCCCUACGAUUUCUAAUGGCAGUCCUGCGUUAUUUUUGUGUUUGACUUAAAGGGACAGUUUAGGCAAUCUAAAUGAAGUUGUUAUGCUGCAUGAGGCCCCCUGAUGCACUUUUACCCGAAGGGGUUAAACCAUUCUAGAAGGAUUUAACCCAAAAGUGAGCCUCCAGUUCCAAUCCUCAGGUCCCCAAGGCGGCCUCUGGCUUCAGGAUCUCAGUUUUAGGAAGCGCAAAGUGCCACUGGCCAGCGGUGCCGCAGAUUGGCUGAGAGCCAAUCAGUGACUCCCCAUUCAUAAAGCUGGCUUGAAAAAAGUAAGUUUCUUUUAAAGCUCAGCCAAACUGAUUCUCUUACUGGAUCUAGUGUUUGGGAGACUCCCAGGGUCUAAACAGACCCAGGAGUGUCUCUCACGAUGCCCCAAUUGCAUUUUGAGCACUUUUGGCUUUGUUAGUUGCCCAGCACUGAUUUCAAUUCAUUAGGCAUACUAUAUUGAAUGAAAAAGAUAGGAAGCUGUCAUACUAAAAAUAGCCAGAAAAUGGCAGCAACAUACCACUCUGUGUGAGCGUAGAUUUCCAUUUACUAAUUUAACUUGAUAGCUAUCAAACUGUUAUAAUGCCCCAAAAAUACAGAAUAAGUCCAGCAAAUUCAAUCAAUCAAAUUCUAACGGUAAAAACUGAAAUAGCCAGGUCUCUUAUAUAGUACUGUAACUUCACAAGAUAGUGCCAAAGGCAUACAUCAAGGUUAUUGAUUUAUUCAGAAAAGUUUUCUGAGCAUACAUUUUGUGGUUUGAUCACAGUGGCACAUAUCAAAUCAUCAUGAGCCAUAAGCCCAUCACCUUUGUCACUUUUUAAAAUUCCAACUGUAUAAAUGGAAAUAGUCCGAUCUGAUAUAUGAUGCUGUAUCAUUGUACUCAAAAGAUGUAUCUGAACACAUUAUAAGGUUUUUUAAAGUAGUAGCAGGUUUCCGAAAUACACAUUCAAAAAAUCUUGUUACAUGUGUGUAUGUUAAAAAAACUGAAUACAAUGAAAUUUUACUCUAAUAUGUAGCAGAGAUUGGCAGUUAAAUUAUUACAUAAUGAGUGUCAAAAUACCCUUAGGUAAAUAGCCUAUGAUAUCUUCAUUAUAUAAAUAUAUACUUCUGUAUGGUAUUUGUGUUUUCUGUGAUGGCUAUUAAGCGUACAAGACAAACAUACCAUAUUCUAAAAUAGCUCCACAUUGAAGUUUUAUUUUACUCCUUGUAUUGUGUGACCUGCAACUGUCAAAAAGAAAAUGAAAUCCUAGACUUAUUAUGUACUCUGUAUAUCAGGACAAAUAAAUUAUUUCUAAUUACUUCUCAUAAACUGCACUAAUUAUACACACACUAUAUUUAUUGCCAAAAACUCUGUGUUUUCUUUUUUUGGUUCUUUUGCAUUUUUGUUUUUGCAUUUUGAGCCGUUUUUUUUGUAUUAGAAAUGAGAAGCCUUUAACAAACAAUAUAUAACAUGUAAGGGGGAACUUGAAGAGAAACUCUUAAAUUAUGGUGGAACGCACAUAUAUUUCAAACUCAAUGUUUUGUUUUGGUUCAGAAUGUGAACAGUUACUUCAGUCCUUAAGAGGUUAAACAACUGAAUCCAUAUGAUAAAAAAUCCAUUGUCUUCUUUGCUGUUUCUUCACUACAUUACCACAGGUUUAACAGCCUAAUGCUAUGUUAAAUGCACAUUGUUACUACUUUUUCCUCAGUAUUUUAUUAAUUUUAAUACAAUACUAUAUGAUGUAAUAUGAAUACAUCAGUCCAUCAAAAUGGCAGUUUUACUCAAAUCAUAGCACAUUGAUGUAUGCCUUUGUGUUUUACUCAUGUACAGCCAUACACUAGACUAACAGCACAUAGACUGUAGGAUUGAAUGAGUUAAAAAAUAAUUAUUAGAUCUAUUACAGAGAUAAUUUAAUGAAAGCACUGUAGAAUAUUGAACAUGUAAACAUAUUUGCCUCUGUAGUUGUAUUUUCCACAGAUAUACCUGCAAAAUAUAACUUAUAAAUCAUGUGCAUGACAAAUUCAUUUGCAGGUAGGUUAACAUACCAUAUACACAUUGUGCCAGUGACAUUGGAAGCUGAUAAAAAAAAAAAAAAUACCCUUAUCAAAAGAUCACUUUCUGCAGACUUCCUCCACACACAACAUGGAGUCCUAGACUGGACAUAGUGUCCCAACUGAACAUGGAGUCCAUACACUAUUAUACUAGGAGUUGCAUAAUGCAAUUUCCUCUUUUAAGACAUGGUGGCAACCAUUUAUAGAACCCUCUAAUGCUAUGUUUACUGGUCUGACGUAGCCACAAGAGAGAAAAUCGGAAAGGACAAGUUACAUAAAAUGAAUCAUCUCAUCAUUUGUGUAAGACCUCACCUUGUAGAUUGCCAGUCAAUACCACACAUUUUUAAAAGUAUGUGACAUGACAGAUCGUAGGAGAGAGUAAGCAGAGCAUGCUGACAUUAUUCACUAACCACAAUAUAACCACUACCCACUGUUAUUUUUCGUAAUUUGGAUGUAAUGUACUGCCUUAAAAAUGAACUGAAAAAGAAUGCAUGUAAAAAAAAUAAAGAAAUCGCACAUAUCACCUUGGAAACGUAAUAGAAGUAACUUGUAAACUAUUUUCAGGGAAAAAAAUAGUUUCAACAACAAAGCCCAGAUGGCUGCAUAAGCUAUUAUAUGACACACAGUAUAAAAUAAUAAACAUAUAAACAAACAUACAUUCAAAUAAAUUAAACAAACAAAAGAGAGUGCUGUAUUUGGAAAGGAUCUUUGUAUCUACUCACUCCAAAUGUAAGGAAUUGUACCCCAGAGUUGUCCAGAAGCUAUUGUUAUCCUUUCCUAACCCCUGUUUUUUGGGCUCGACCUUGUUGAACACACCUGGCAUUGCUCCCAAUAUAACAGUGCUCAUAAUAUACCCAUAUACCUCAUAAUACCUCACUGAAAUCAUUAUUGUUCAUUUUCUUAAAUCAAAAAGUACAAUACUCUGGAAAUACCCAAUUUGUCUGGUACUUACUGUGUCCAAAUUUCCUUACGGUAAAUCUAGGUGUACACCUCUCAACAGUGGGAGGCAUAAGAUCAGGACAGGUGGGCUGGUCCUGAGGAGGGCAUUAUCAGUGAUGCGUCAGGCGUCACUGGUGAUGGCCAUUAUGGGUGGGCCUGUUCAGAAAUGGGUCAGGCCUGCCCACAGAAGUGGCCUGUUUGGCCAGCUAAUAACGUGCUGAAUCGCUCUCUAAAGGGUCCUAAUGACAAUUCCCAUCAUGAGCGUGUCUAAUGAUAUGUUCACACUGUGGCCCAAGGACAGGAUGCAAUGGAACAUUGGGACUAUCCUUUCAAAAUCAGUACUGUUUCGAGCUGCAAGUGACAAAAACAUUUAUUUACCUAAACCAACGUGCAAUCAUACAAUGGCUAAGUAAACAUGUUUUAAUGUGAGUUUUCUUGUUGUGAAUCUGUCACAUUUCACACAUUCAUGUGAGCUUUAUUAGUGUUGCACGGUAAGUUUCAUUACCAAGUAUACCAAGUAUAAUGCCAAUAAGAUGUAUAAUCCCCAUCUGCACUUCCAAUUUUGCAACACACUAGAAAAAAAAUCAUUAUUGACCCCAGAAUGGCAGUCAUAUUUAUCUUGGAUCAAGAAGCCAUUACCCCACAAUUUAAAAUUAUUUCCAUGAAUAUUCUGUUUUUGCAAGUAUUUAUCCAAUUGCUGUUUAAGAAUCUGUACAGACUCUGAUAAAACCACCUCUUCAGGCAGAGAAUUCCACAUCCUUAUUGUUGAUUCUAUAAGAAAAACUAUUCCUAGACUAAAUCUCCUUUCUUCCAGUCUAAACAUGUGACCUCAUGUCCUAUGCAUAGUCCUGUUUGUAAAUAGAUAUCCAGACAAUGGUUUGUAAUAGUAAAUAAAAAAAUAUAUGCAAAUCAUCCAUACCCAUAAGAGAAGGCAUGACGCUUUUACAUUAAUUUAAAAUGGUAUAUAGACAGGUAUAGGCUAACAUCUACGAAAGAGGCAGGGGAGCAUGGAGGUAGCCUUAUGAGCUUCAUAGCUGAUACAUUUAAUCAUUGGCUUUAGUACACAACACAAGACCAGAAGACCAUAAACACAUAAAUUUACAAUGGACUUAUACUGUAAUAAUUCAUACUGAGGGGGAUAACUUGUGGCAACUGUGACUGAUUUUUCAUAUUCUACAUUAUAAUGACUUUGGUUUUAUGGGCCAUCAUUGCCACUGCAAUACAGUACACUGAUCCUGUGAGUGUGGAUGGUUACCAUGGGCAUUCCAACUCCAGGAUUCCAAAGCAAGUCAAUGUCUUGAAGACUAGACUAUGACAAAACAUGUUCGAAUGUUGAUUGUGUUUCCCAACAGCCUAGGACAUUUUCUUCUACUUUUGCAAAUCAAACAACCAAGAGCUGUGCUCGAUCUAAAUAGUGUAGAAGCUGCGUAAUUUAUUAUACAGACUUAACAGGCUUUUUUCUGCAGACAGUCGGUGCAGAACGGACUCUUGACACGCUCCAGGAAGCAGUACGAAACAUGGUGAAAUAUAUCAAAACUGACUCAGAUACCACAGGGGACCGUGUUCAACAUGGUAAAAUUUGAACCAAUGGGGAGCAUCAAAACCGUCUUGUGUAGACAGUCUAAAAGUUAUAAUUAGACAUUGAUUACUAGACUUUUCCACUGACUGGGUGCUUUUAAGUUGAAAAUCUACUUAAACAGAGAGGAAAAUUAAUGACAGAAGACCAACAAUAAAUUUUCAGGACGUUUUUCAAUUCUAAUUGGUAAUUGAUCAUAGUGAUAAUUCAAUUGAAAGAUGUUUUUAUUUGCGAGCAGACAAAGUGUAGAACAUAAGCCGAAAACUCUCACUUACAUCAAAACCUAGAAAUUCAUGCUUUGUUGCUUUUUUUUCAACUCUAAAAAAAAAGUGACCAUAUGAAGUUUUUUUUUCUUACUGGUGUAAAAAGUAUGUACAAGACAUAUCCUUGUGUGCUAAUUAAUUCUUUACUCAAUUAUUUCAUUCUGAUGCCAUCACACCUCUACUGAUUAUAGUUUAUCUGUGCCCGAUCUUCCAUUCCAACAUUAAACAGUUGGGGGAGUGCACUCAUAUAAAGUUAGAAUAUUUGUUUUCUGCAAUAAUUAGGAAAUGUUUUACACUGCACUUAUUAGCAUUCAUAAUUGCUGGCAUCAUAGCAGUUUUGUAAUAAAACACAUUAUGUGCUGCCGUUAGAGAAGUGUACCUGUCAGCUGGAAAUAAAUUAGCAUUAAUGAAUUGCACGCAUUUAACACAAAAACAUUUCUAAGCAGAUCAGCAGUUUUUAAAUAUUUUUUAUUGUAUAUCAAACUAAUUUGGAACUUUGUUUUAUAUUGUUAGUAAAGUUAAACUCAUACGUCUUUUGAAAUAAUGUUUUCCUCCUUAAUAAGUACCAAAACUACUUACUAAAUAUUUAAGCACUGCAGUCGAGCAAGAGAAAGUGCUUAAGAAUAUGCAAAAGCAAAUGGGAAGUACAUUUACAGAAUAAUUUGUGUUUUCUAUUGAAAUAUCCAGGAAUUUUUGUUUUGUUUAUCUGAUAAUCUGUUAUAUAUUGUUAUUAUUCUAUCUGCUAUAACUAUUAAGAUCAGAUCUAUAUAAGUGUAUUUUAUUUAAGACUAAAUAAAUUGCUGUUAACAUAUACGUAAGGCAAUUAGUUUAUCGUGAUUAAUUUACAAAAUGUCUACCGCAGAUACAGCUAUUCAGUAUAUCAAUACUUCGACCACACAUAAAGUUAGUGAGCUUGAAAAUUAAACAUAAUGUUCAACCAUUCUGUGGUAUUAUUUACUGACUUGAUCCAUGUAAGGGUAAACAUAAACGUGUCAGGAUUACUAGUUGGUCCAGCACGAAGAACCGUAUCACACCUAGGACUAAAAGGUAACGUAUUACCGGGCCUUAGAAUGGACGGACUUAACGUACCAGAGAAUAGUCAGAAUACUUGCCGAGGUCAAGUACACAGAAUGGGACACAACGAUGAGGGAAAGCCAAAAGUCAAGGGUACCGGAAUACAGGGAAGUCAAAACGGAGCCAAGUCAAUAACCAGAAAUAAAUGCUCUGGAACACACUCUUGGACAACCACUAAGUGAAACCACAACAGGGCAAUGAGGAGAAGUAAAAAUACGUUUAAAUAAGCCUUUUACAAAUCUGAUUGGUCGAAAUCGGCUUUUGACACCAGAACAUGCGUGUGUGUCUCCCACGUGACAUCACACGCAUGCCGAUGUCGUCAUCACAGUGGGCGGAGGUAUGGCUAAAAUAUGAUGUGGAUCCGCAGCGGCCGCCGUCCACAAACAUGUUGCAGGAGUCAGGUACUCUGACGCAUGGCCGCUGAGCGCAGAUACUGCAAGGUGAGGAUGAAUAUGUUACAAAAAAUAGCAUUGCUUCAUAAUGCCAGCAAUUAUUUUUGGAUGCCCUGGUUCAAAGAUGGUGCCCAUUAAGUGGACACUAUGGUCACCAAAACAACUUUCGCUUAAUGAAGCAGUUUUGGUGUAUAGAUCAUGCCCCAGCAGUCUCACUUCUCUACCAUUUAGAAAUUAAAUCACUUAAUUUAUGUAGCUGAAGUCACACAUCCUUGCAUAUGACUUACAUAGCCUUCCUAAACACUUCCUGUAAAGAGUCAUCUAAUGUUUACACUUCCGUUAUUGCAAAUCCUGUUAAAUUCAGAAUGUCCUAUCUUCUGCUCUGUUAAAAGCUUGAUACACCCUGCAGGAGCCUCUUGUGUGUGAUUAAAGUUCUAUUUAGAGAGCAGGGACUCACAGCCAGGGGAGGUGUGACCAGGGUUGCAUAAACAUAAGCAAAAUUGAUUUUACUCCUAGAUGGCAAAUAAUUGAGUAGUGAGACUUCAGAGGUAUGCUCUAUAUACCCAAAUUGUUUAAUAGAGCUAAAGUUGUUCUGGUAACUAUAGUGUCCCUUUAAUGUCUUCUAUUGUUUAAAAAUGAUCUGAAUUUCCUGAUAGCAUAUUGUGUCUGCAUUCACCACCUUCCUAUUACAGAACUCUAAUCCUUGAUAAUGUAUUCUGGAAAGGGUUCAGGAAUAGGUAAAUACUUUAAUAAUGUUCUAAAUAUUCAUUAUAAUAAAUUAACAGGAUAGAAGAUAUCAGUUCCGCAGCUAUAAAUAGCAUUUUCAGGCACCUUUAAAAGAUAAAACCAUCAUAUACAGUAUAUAAAGGUUUAGUAUGAAUAUCGUUUUUUUUAUUUUUACAAUUAGGACAGUCUAGAUCAAGCAUGUCAAACUCGCGAGCCGCAAGUGCAUGCUCAGUGUUAUAGCAGACUAGGCACCUGCUUUCCCCAUAUUGCAGGUGCCUACUCUGCUUAAAUUACCCGGCCGGGAGGAUGGCCGCGAGGGAGCUCAGUGUUCCAGCUCCUCACGGCUCCCUCGCGCACGCCGACUGAAGUGAAGCCAGCCGCCGGAAUAUGACAUCAUAUACCGGCAUCUGGCAUCACUAAACCGCACGCGGGAGCAGUGAGGAGCAGGUGUCAUGCGAUAACACUUCCGGGUUCGGCAGUCCGCAGUGUGGAGCCAGACCCCGCCCCCUCUGACGUAGCUCUGACGGUAUUUAGGAAGACUGCUCCAGAGAGAGGGGGCUUGGUGAUACUGGGAGCUACUUCCGCCAGACUUACCUCUCCACAGGCACUCGCAAUGUGGGUCCUACUUCCGAGUAUGCACGCCGGCUCCUGGGAUACGCCGGCUCUACAAGCUCUGAUGUCGUCCUAGCCUACUGGGCUAAGACAAGUAUACUUCAUGCCAUAGAGAAUUACUGGAGAACAGAAACUCACUUACUUUACAAGUGGACCAUAUCUCUGAACUAUUGGAGGACUACCCACAUUAACCUUUAGUAUAUCUUUCAGCUAUUUGUCUACAAUAUCAUUUAAUAAUGAACUAAUGCUUGCUUACUAAAUCUUCACUGCUUCAAACUACUAAUUAUGUGGAGGACAACUCCCAUCAUGCUUAAUCACAAUGAACUGUUUCCUGCUUUGCAAAUACACUCAGUGCUUCAAGAUACUAAAUACUAAGCUACUAAAUAUGGAGGACAACUCCCAUCAUACUUAUUAACUAUGAACUGUUCCUGCUUUGCAAAUAUUCUCAGCUACUUGCUUAAAGUUACUAUUGAAAGAUUAUUCUCAUUUACCUAAAGAAUGUUACUAUGCAUCUCUGAGGAAAUACUUAUUAAUGAACUUUGUGUUGUUGAUUACUUUCACUUCUUCUUAUUGCCUAAAUACAAUUCAUUUAAGUUUAACACUUAUUAGAACUUCGUUUGAAUCAAGUUACCAGCAAUUCUCUCUUUUCUUAAAGCUACAGUAUUGAUACUUUAAAGAUUCUCCAUUUCUUCACUAUUGUAAUUAGGGAGUUUUACAAGCUGCAGUUGAGUUCCAAUCCAAAUCACCCAAGUAGCGUAACAGCAGGAAGGACCCCAGGGAGAUGCCCCACAUCUGCUCCAUAAGGUAAGGAGCAAUAAUGAAAAGUAGGUGUGUGUCUGUCUGUGUCAGUGUGCGUGUGUGUCUGUCAGCAAGUAUGUGUGUCUGUCUGUCAGUGAGUAUGUGUGUGUGUGUCUGUCAGCAAGUAUGUGUGUGUCUGUCAGCGAGUGUGUGUGUGGCUGUCAGCAAGUAUGUGUGUGUCUGUCAGUGAGUAUGUGUGUAUCUGUCAGCAAGUAUGUGUGUGUCUGUCAGUGAGUGUGUGUGUCUGUCAGCAAGUAUGUGUGUGUGUGUGUGUCUGUCAGUUAGUAUGUGUGUCAGUGUGUCUGUGAGUAUGUGUGUGUGUGUCUGUAUGUGUUUGUCAGUGUGUCUGUAUGUGUGUCUGUCUGUCAGUGAGUGUGUGUGUGUGUGUGUGUGUGUGUGUGUGUCUGUGUGUGUGUGUGUGUGUCUGUGUCUGUAUGUGUUUGUGUCUGUGUGUUUGUGUGUGUCUGUGUGAGUAUGUCUGUAUGUGUAUGUGUGUGUGUGUCUUUCUGUUUGUCUGUCAGUGAGUAUGUGUGUGUCUGUCAGUGAGUAUGUGUGUGUGUGUGCGGCCCACAUAAACUUAAACCUUGUUUAUGUGGCCCGUGCCACACUUUGAGUUUGACAUGUUUGGUCUAGGUGUUUACUGACCUUAUUAUUUUUUCAGUAAAUCCACAGCCAAAAGUUAUUUUGUGGGAUAUAGUUAAUGCUAAAAAUUAAAGUUAUAAAGUUACAGCAAUUAUAUUAAUUCUAGAUGAUGUUUUUGUAUACCUUUAGAUCAACAAAUACAGAGCCUAUUCAAUAAAGUGACAGAAACAAAGAAGCAAAAAUUCCCAAACUGAAUAUAAUGCUGACUGGAGAUAAAGAUGUAGGCACCAAAGCAUCCAGUGGUAUAUGGAAAAAAUAUUUGCGGGGGAUAUAUUUAAGACUUUCUAAAUCAGCUAUUUAUGUCUACAUUUUGCAAUUCAGAUUUAAAUUCACCAUAAUUUAUUGUGACCCUGGCAGAAUAUGACAUUUAACACAAAGAAAGAAAAAAAAAUGGACCUGUCACCUAUAACAAGAUAUUAAAAAUGAAUCUAUACUGUUGUCCUCAAGAGCUUAGUAUGGUCACAUAUCAAGCAGUAAAAGAUGUUGAAUUAAGGAUCAUAGGCAUGUCAUCUGUUUCAGUGGCCAUAUUUAUAGAUUUCGCCUCUAUGCUGAUGGCAUGAAAUCUGUGAAUAAAACAUCAGUUUGGCUAGCAUAAUGCAUAGAUGAAAUGUUAUUCUAGUUAAUGGAAUACCAUAUCAUUUUUGCAUGACAGGUACAAUUUAUAGGCCAAUAAGUUCUUUACCUCUAUGAUGUAUUUUUUAUACAGCUCCUUUUAAUGUGUGCUUGAGGUCUAGAUUUAUUUAAGCUAGUCAAGCUGGGUUCGUGUAAAUAAACCACAGAGGAGACUGUGCUUCGUCCUUACUAAACUUGUCGUAAGGUAUAUAAACAUAAAAGAAAUGGGAGGUUUUAGUUGUAUAAUUUGACCGAAGACUAAUUGAAAGGACCCUUUUAAGAAUUAAAAAAAACAAAUUUCUGAUCUCUAGUAUUUAUUUUCAGAUCCUUGAAGGCUGCAGAGACCAAGAACAUUUUUAACAAUCCUCAUUCCUUCUGUUGUAGUCAGUUGAAGGUGUGUACAUAACCCAUAAAUCUUUACGACUGUGAUCCAAGGUUUUUGGGGCUUUAUAGUUGUACGAACAGCUGGACAGCAUACGUCAGGCCAUGAGUAGAUUUAUUUCCAAAAAUUAAAAGAUAUUAGACUAUUCAACAAAGUUAAAGAGACACUCUAAACCCCUAAAGCACUCCAGCUUUCUGAUGUGCUUUAGGGCUAAAUGGCAAGCCCCCUUGUCCCAAUUCAUAAAACUGCUGAUUUCAAGCAAAAUCGGAUAAUUUCUGAAUUGAUUAGCAGCAACUGGGGAACAUCUUCAUGUCAGUCAAGCUGACAGCCAGGAGGGCUUCCAGUUUCACUCCACCUGACUGUUUGGUCAAGCAGAACUGAAGGGCUUUAAUAGGAAUGCAUUAGUUUAUGAUUCCAUAUUAAAAGCAUUCUGUUGGACGAUCACCAUUAUUGAUUGGCCCAUUCACAGCAAUGAUUGUGCAUGCACCAAUUUUUUUUUUUUGGAAAGCAUGGAGAGACUGUUCUACCCAUACUGUUUUAUUUGUCAUUUUUGACAAGCUACCUGGGGCAGAGCUAUUGGUAGAGAAAAAAGGUUAAUUAUAUUUAUUUAUUUCAUUUUAAGAGGGAGCAGGGGGGCUCCAAUACUGUAAUCUUUGAAGGAAAACUCCAAACUUUAACAAGUAUCAAUUUAAUCAUUGGAGUUCUCAUCCACAGCUUUAAAGGCAUAACGACAAAUUUGAAUGACUAUUAUAGAGCUGGGAGUGGCUUAGUCCAGCAUGCAGUAUAUCAUUGCCAUUGACAUUUGGACACUUUUUUUUAUUUUUGAACUACCUUUCCCAAGAUGCUCAGUCAGAAUAGAAAUUGUGGGAAAUGUAGUUUGUAAGCAUCUGAAGUGCAGAGUUUAGUUGUGCACAAAAUAAGAGAUAAUAUGCAUAAAAGGCAGAUGGUGGCUGGAGAGUGAGCAUUUUGUCAUUAUCAUAGAAUAUGCAAGGAGCUAUGGGGGAUGGGUGUGUGAUAUAAUUAUUCUCAGCUGAGGUAAAAAUAGCGCUGUCUCUUUACAUAAAUAGCUUCACGUGGGAGGGAAUUUCAAAUUGCUUUUUGAUUUGUUUUACUUAACCAAAGUACACUUUAUGUUAAAAUGCAAAUUCAGUCAAAAUCCACUUAAUAUGCAGCAAGUUGUGUUGUGUUGACAAAUCUUGACAAGCUUGACAUAUACAACUGGGGUUUCUUACAAGUCAGUCGUCAACUCACCACCACCUACAGUGCUAUUUACGAAACAGUGAGUUGUGUUAAAUUCCAAAACUCAGGCCAACGGAGAUGAAUUGGAGACAUACCUUAGAUAAUGUUGCCUAAAUGCUGGAAUUGAGUUUCAACUCACUAUUAUUCACUAUUUAGUGAUCCAAAAAUUCUACUUUCCUAAUUAAACAUCAAAUUGUGGUGAAACAAAGUAUCAAUAUGGAGACUAAUGACCCAAAACAAAAAUAACCCCCCAUCCCCCAAUAUGUUUGAUUGGUCAUAACUGUCUUGGAUGCCUGACUAUGGCAGGUCACAAGGCAGACAUGGAUUAUUGAGGGAAAUGUUUUAACUUAUAUGUACUGUUAUAAAUGCUUCUACUCUCCCUUUUCUCCUCUUUUGGUUUUUGGACAGCAUUGCAAGAAUAACCUUUUCUGCCCACCUCCCCUUUUUACUUUCCAUUAUCUCCCUUUUUGUUUUUCUCUUUCUGUUAUUGUCAGAACUGCUUGGACAAGAUUUAGCUCUGAAGAUAGCGCACCAGUGGAGUGGGUUCCCAUUGAUGGUACAAUUGGAGCAGGAAGUUCCAAGACUCAAAUUCUGGAUUAUUUAUACCUGUCUGAGGGGCCGACAUCUUACAGCCAGCAAGGGAUGGUUUGUUGACUUUUGGAUAAACUAAGCCAAGGCUUGAGUAAUUGAAUAGAAUACUUUUUAAAUUGGAACUAAAUGCUUGAACGGCAUCAUGGUCAAUACUCAGAUAAAAUAAUUUAUCCAGGAAAUAUAAAUACAUGGCAAAUAAACAUAUUAAUAAAUAGACAAAUAGAUGGACAUAGGUUAGAAAAAUUGAAAGACAGGCACUUAAAGAGGACCUUUAGUUAUUCCAGAAUUUACACAAUUGAAUAAACAUUAGAAAUCACCCAGAACUUGAGAUAUCCAUUUCUUCAUAUCUCAAGCCUGUGCACACACACCAAAUAAAGAGGCGAAAUACAAACAUUAUUUCAUUCCUCCUUUUCUGUAUGCUGACUGCCAGGUGCAAAGCCCCCUGUCAAUAAUGACUGACAGCGGUCUAAGAUGGAGGCUGCAGAUUGAAGAGGUGUAGGAUAAAAAAAAAGUGUGAAUUUCUACAAUUAGUAUUAUUUUUAACAGCACAAAAAUACAUAUUUGUUAAAUAUAUAGGGGAUAAGUAAACAUAUUAUUAAAAAUGCUUGGAAGCGACAGUUUCCCUGUAACAAUAUUGUGGAAUAGCUUUUACUUCAGAUUGACAUUUUAUCAUAAGCAUUAAAUUAAAUCUACAUAUAUCAUUAACCUUCUCUUUCAUCAUCUCUAUAGACCAUUAACCUCUCCUUUUAUCUGUGUAUCCCACUAACCUCUCCUUUCAUCAUCUACUGAUACAGCUAACCACUCUUUUCAUUGUGACUAGGUAUGGGCUAAAUCUCAUGCUCUCUCAUUAAAUUCAUUUUCAUAUACAGACGAAGUAUUUGCAAAUUUUGGCAAAAAAAAAGUUAUAAUUAUAAAAAUUGUACACAACUUUAUCACGUCACAUUUUCUACUUUAUGACUUUCGUACAUCUGGUUUUACGUUUAAAAAAAAAAAAAAGGUCUAAAUUUCACAAUUUUACCUGUGCAGAAGUGGCUACUCAUUGGUAUCUGUACAGAAUAUGUAGCACCAGUUGCUAGUAGGCAUAACUCAUUCCUACACAGAUAUAUACUGCCAGCUUAGCAGUGGACAGCCUACCAACUGAGCUGAGAUGGAUUUAAUUUUAGCGUCUGUGGAGCUGUCUGAGCCCUCGCAAAAGAUGAGAAGCUGGGCUCAUUUUUCUCUUGUGCAGCAGACAUAUUAUUACCUGGAGCAGCAUGACAUAUUGCAUCAGGAAUCUUGUUUGAAGCUUAUUUAUUUCAGCUCUCGAGCCGGUGGAGAUAUUACACGGCCAAGAUCUGCUUUUGCAGGUUUGGAGAUAGUUUUAGUGUCUGUGAAUGUACUUGCAGUCUGAACUCCAUUCAUCUCUGCAUACAAUCAGAGCAGCAGGUGACCUGGGCGCCUGCUAAGUUUUGUAUUCAUUUUGAAUGAGUGGUAACUCCAAUCCAAUUUCUGGAAGCAACAGCAGCAAGUGUAAAAAACUUGUCUUGCUCUGAAUCUUUUAACAGCUAAUACAAUCUAGACUAUAUAUACACAUAGCUCUAAAAACAAGGCAUGAAUAUUUACAUUUUUAUUUCAAAAACUUUAUUGAAAUUGUUCAUUAAGGACAAUUAAGCGAAGAAAUAUAAGGAAAAAAAAACAAUAUAUAAAUAUAAUAGUCUAUAACAUGUAGAGGACAACAUAUUUUGUUCUGCCUUCUCCCUUUAGUCUAUUAUUUUCCAUUCUAUUGCUUUCUAUAGGUUAAUAUUGUUGUAGCUCAUUCUUUCCUCCCUUUUAUUUUGUAUUUUGGCCUAAGUCUUGAAAGAUACUUUUUAAAGCACUGUUUAGAGAACGGACCCUUAAAGGAACACCCUAAGCAUCAUAACAACUACAAUGCACAUUGUAUGACGUCAAACCAUAUUGGAAUGGUUUGACUUCUUACCUGGACUUCUCCAGGUUCUGCUCCCAACUUCCUUCACUUUCUACGGAGAUCUGGAAGCUCCUAAGUAGAAGCUUUUGUUAGCUCUCCUGAACAAAGACCUGAGUGCAGAGCUAGAUUUUUAGUUGAUUGUUCUAAGCAAAUGAGCUAGGCCCUGCACCACAGUUUAGAUACAAUCUCUCUAAGUUUAAAGGGUAAUACAGCCAUGGACCCUGUGCUCACUGUGCCGAAUAGGGUUUCGGCUAUACCUCAGGAACAAGGCCAAAGUGAAGUUCGAAAAAGAAAAAACUUGCCAGCAUUUCAGUUCUCGGUUGUUGGUGGGAUCAAUCUGUAUGUGACUGGAAUAGGUCUCUUCUGUAAUGGCACAUUCGAACAAAAACUAGUUUGAUACCUAUGAGGACCAAUCAAAGGGCAAGUGAUUAAAGGAACACUAUAGGGUCAGAAACACAAACAUGCAUUAUAAGCCUAUAGUAUUAAAACCACCAUCUAGCCCCGCUGGCCUCCCCUUUUUUCCCCUAAAUAUAGCACAAUCUUAGUUUUGUUCACGUCUGCAACUGUUGGCUCUGCACCUGAUCUAUCUGCUUUGCUGACAUCAUCAGAAGUGUUGUUCUGAACCAAUCUCAAUACUGUCCCGUAGGAGACUGUCAAGGAAGCAAAUCAGGGCAGAGCCAGCAAAAGCCAAAUGCAGCCAUGGCCAACCAGCAUAUCCUCAUAGAGAUAUAUUGAAUCAAUGCAUCUGUAUGAGGAAAGUUCAGUGUCUCCAUGCUGAGGGAUGAGACACUGAAUGGCAGUGCUGCACAGUGUGCAACAUUGCUCCAGGAAGCACCUCUAGUAGCCAUCUGAGGAGUGUCCAGUGAACACUAUAGGGUCAGGAACACAAACAUGCAUUAUGAGCCUAUUGUAUUAAAACCACCAUCUAGCCCCGCUGGCCUCCCCUUUUUCCCCUAAAUAUAGCACAAUCUUAGUUUUGUUCACGUCUGCAACUGUUGGCUCUGCACCUGAUCUAUCUGCUUUGCUGACAUCAUCAGAAGUGUUGUUCUGAACCAAUCUCAAUACUGUCCCAUAGGAGACUGUCAAGGAAGCAAAUCAGGGCAGAGCCAGCAAAAGCCAAAUGCAGCCAUGGCCAACCAGCAUAUCCUCAUAGAGAUAUAUUGAAUCAAUGCAUCUGUAUGAGGAAAGUUCAGUGUCUCCAUGCUGAGGGAUGAGACACUGAAUGGCAGUGCUGCACAGUGUGCAACAUUGCUCCAGGAAGCCCCUCUAGUAGCCAUCUGAGGAGUGUCCAGUGAAGGUAUGCAUAGGCUGUAAUGUAAACACUGCAUUUUCUCUGAAAAUACAGUGUUUACUGCAAAGGCCUAGAGGGAAUGAUUCUACUCACCAGAACAAAUACAAUAAGCUGCAGUUGUUCUGGUGACUACAGUGUCCCUUUAAGUGUUCGCUUAUCUUCAGUGUUCUCAUAUCUUCGGUUUGUUUCUGCUUAGAAUGGAAUGCUAUUGGUAUUUUACUACCGAAAGAAAUUGAUCUCAUUUUAUAUCUAUUCAUGUUAACUUGAUAAUUCCAAUUUGCUGUGGAAUUGUGAACAGUAGUGUUUUUUUUAAGUUUGUACUUAAACAUUAGUAAAUGUCUCCAAAUUUACAAAAGAGUUGCAAAAAUUUAGGUCAAAAUAGCCAAAAUGGUAAAAUACUCCAACCUAGAUAUUUUCAAGUUAUUUUAUUUUUGCCUAAAAUACACAAUUCCCUGGUCAGUUCCAAGGUUUAGUGAAAAGCGCUCUUCGUGAGAUUGUCCACAUGUAUUUACACCUCCUGUAUACCUAUCUGGAGAUGGUGAGAAAGUAGAGUGUUCUACAAUUAUUUCAUUACUGCUCGUGUUGAGAGAUGCGAAGUGGCCACAUGUUUUGUUGAAUCCUAUUUGCUUGCUUUAACAAGAAAAGAUAAUGUACAAUCACAGUGCCUUGUUUAAUAGCCUGCCUGUUGAAAUGAAAUGCAGAGAUUGUUAUUGGCUCCACAUUCUCUCGAAACAAUCAAUGCUCGUGUAUAUGUAAUGCUCAGUAUGUCACACUAGCCUUUGAAUAAUAUCCAUUUCAUGACAAUGUAGACGUUUCACAAACACACAUAGGAUUUUAUCCAGAAGCAAUUUUAUUUUCUAAAUGUUUCUACAUGUUUCUUGCUUGGAUAUUUCUGCAUGGCUCACUUUAUUCCUAGUCUUUAUUCCUUAUUAAUCUAUUGCUAUUACAUGUCUUCUGUUAUCCAUGUCUUCUCAAGGUCAAUGUAUUUUAACAAUGUCUUAGGAAGGGAUCAUGGCUCCACUUUUAACAUUAUGUGCCUUUUAAUGAAUUGUGCUGUCAAACAGUCCAGUGUUCCAUUAAAUCAAGAUGUCAAAUUUAUGUUUAAAAAGUGGCAAAGUCAUGUCUAAUAGCAGCCUGUUGGUUCUUUAAAAUAAUUAUUCACAUCUCUUGUGGUGUCACAAAUAGGUGCACAACAGGAGGGUAUAUCCUUGUCCUAGCAUUGCUAAUGUUAAAUAAUUGUUAUAAUAUGAAAGUGGACUUCUACACUAACCUGUGACAACCAGCCCAUUACUAACAAUACACAACACCAUAAGGGAGCAGUGAGAUAGAUUUCUGGUCCCUAGCAAGUAGCAAUUAGCACCAGACUUUGCUGGUGUAAAACAAACUAGCUCUGUUUUUUGGGCACAUGAGGGAACUUACAUGGAAUGCUUGAGCCAUAGAAACUGUGCUUUUAGAACUAAAUCAAAGAUGGCUGUAUAAUGCCACACACAUAACCACACAGGUACAAUGGAAAGGUGGAAAGCACAGACCAAAAGAACAAGCCAGGUCAAAAGGGGUAACUGCAUUGGGCCCAUGUGAAAUGCAUGUGCCAUGGUCAGUUUACCGUUUUUCUCUGAUUUAAAGAUGGUCCAGCGGAGGAGAUACUAAGAUAUAUAAAAUAUUGUUCAAUAUAGCACAGAUGUGAUACCAAACAUUACUAGCAUGAGUCUAAACGCAACAUUAACUUGAUAACACACAAUAUCUUAUCACAUUCUUAAAGUAAGGGCAAACCUAUGAGGUAACAUGAGAAAUAAAAUAUAAAUUAUGCAUUUUUUUUUUAUAUUUACAUCUUUAUUAAAUAUUUUAGAAAAUAUAAAUACAAAUAUAGAGUACUCAUUACGCAUACAAAACACUUAAAAUGCAUCCUUGUGUUUUACAGAGGUUUUGUAUAAACAUUUUCUAUUCUAUUAUAUGCACAAAAGACCACAUUCGCUUAUUAAUUCAAACUUGUUUAAUCAAAUGCUUCUUUAAUAGAGGGGGAUUUUUAGUAAUUUAAUUCACUGUCAGAUUGGAGAGCUGUUAAUUCAUAUCAGAGAAGGUGUAUCUUAAUUUGAUUAUUGCUCAAUAUUUAUCAUUGAUUUUACUUUAAACCAAUCUGACCAUAUAUACUUUUGUUGUACAUGUUUCCCUAAAACUCAAAAACAACUGCUCCCCAUGCGUAUCUGGUAUUCUGUUUCUGCAACAAUUUCAGCCCUUAUAGGUGGCACAUGGGUUAGAAGGAUUUUUGGUUCAAGUUGGAAACUCCAGAUGAAAAACGAAAAAUGAUCAUUUGACCUAGUGUUAAACAAUACAACAUGACAAGGUGAAAUAAAAAUAAAACUUAAGAAUUCAAAUAUAUUUCGGAAAUUGAAAAUAUUUUCUGAAAUGUCACAUGAACAAAUCAAUAAUGGUCAACACAAUUAAUAGAUCUUCGCAAGCUGUAGGAUGUUAGCUAGAUAGUUUCUUUAAUAGUGAUACAUCUGUUUUCAUUCAGCUGAACCUGAUAAGGAGUUAAACCAAAAUAAGGUAACGGUGCAGUACUACAUGAUAUCAGCAUCAUUUUUAAAAUUUUUUUUUCCACAUUUCUCAAGAUCACUAGUAACAACUAAACAUUUUUUACAUUUACUAAACACACUUUACAUCUGCUAAAAGUGCAUUUACAGUGCAGUAACACAGCUGCUACAGACUGAAAAUUAGAAACGUUAAGCCUUUCUUGAUGUUAUUACAACAAAAGGAGUGUAAUCCUUAGGCAAAUGCCACCUGCCACCUAACCCAAGGGUCAAUUCCGCUUUGGAAUCGGUGGUUAGAAGAACCAACCAUCGUUAGCACUUCAUAACAUUUGAGUCCUGCUCCUGUUCCAGAAGCCUUAUAAGUCCUGCUAUAAAUCCUUGAAGUUCUCCACAGUCCUUAGUUUACCAUUUAGUAUAACUAUUCUAUUUAUUAUUAUAUGAUAUGCAUACUUAUUUACUUGUAUUACUUUUAAUUCCCUUGCAUGUUCUUAAAGAGUUAAUUUGUUUCACCUUACUUCCUUCUUUUUAACUGCUUCAGUACUGAAUAUGUUCCUCUCAGCAUUGUAACAGCAUAUUGUGAAAUUGGCCCAGUUUUUCAUAUUGCUCAUAGAGUCUGUAAUAUAUAUGCUGCUUUAAGACGAACAUAUUUAGGGCACAAUUUCCUGUACAUACCAACAUUUCAGUACAUGCCUAUGUAUAUAUAAUACACUACACAUUACAUCGCACUUCACUCAAUGUGGCCACUCACACCAGGGCAGUUAAGUAAAUGUAGCAUUUAUUAGUACAAUCCAAGACAAUAGAUAAACAGGCAGAGAUCAUUAACCUUGUGCACUUCAUGCUUUGAACAGCACUUAUUGCUGUGGAAACACAAAACUCAAGAGAUUAUUUCCACUUGCCUGUCUAAUGUUCACCUUUCAGAUUUAAUUGUAC